GAACUCCUUUUGGCUUGCAUGGUUUUCCUGCAGAAAGCUUCAGGGCUGAUAGUGCAGUGGCAAGACUUCUUCAGGUGAAACUGUCACUGAUGACUUCUGAACCCAUUGUGAUGUUUUGGGUGGUACUAGCAGAGCAGAUGGAACCAGCAAUGUAAUGUUGUAGUAGUAGUAACUAAGAACUGGAGCAGAGUGACUGAGGCGCGGGUUUCGCCGGAAAUGGUUCGAUUUCAGGCAUUCGAAAACACCCUUUCGGUUGCCAUGAUUUUGCUAGAGAGUUGCACUACCCUACCCCUGCUGCAUCUCUAGCUAAAGAGUCGACUUGUUCAUGAGUCAAGUAGGUGUCUCGCUGAAGUAGCAGCAGUUGUAAAGCAGUGAUCAGCUGUGAGUGUAUUUUAGGGAAAGUCUUCAAAGCCCUGCCCAAAUGCUCUGUGGAUUUAUUACAUUGCUCAGCUUGUGAAGUACUUGGUGUAUGCUGGAAUUCAACUCGGCUUUCUGUUUUUGUCUGCUCCUGAAAUCAAUUUCUCGUUGCCUUCUCCCAGAAUAGCAUAGUUUUAGCGUGGGAUGACCAUCUUGUGGCUCAUGGCGUCGAUGGAGAACCAUCACAGCCGAACGGGAGUUUGCACAAGGGUGUUUAUGAAGGGAUUAGGUAUAGGAAGUAGAUUUUUACUCUCAUUCCCUUGUUUGGUGUAUGAUGAGAAUUGGCCUGGGAUAAAACUCUGCUCGCAAAUUAACAGGAUACCCUGGAAUGAAAUCCGUGAGAAUUGGCUUCUUCAACUCCCAUUCCCCUUCCCACUUCCACUCCCUGUAAUCAAAUAGUGGACUUUUAAUCUCCUCACCCCCUCAACUCCCAUUCCCCAUCUCUAAUUCCCUUGAACCAAUCACGUUGUCAGAGUUGUGAAAAACAAAGAUGUUAGUUUUUCGAAGCAAUAUAUGUUUUUUAGUUGGCGAACAAAUAUAUUUUUCUACGAUGUUUGUCAGAGGGGCAAGAUUUAUUCAUCUUUGAUAGAAGUACUCAAAUGCGUUUGCUAACCGGAACUUGAAAUUCUUUUGAGCGUCAAUCAUUUUCCGUUCCGCGCGAGGCCAAAGGUGCAGUCUGCGCGGAUGGUGUGAGGAACGUCGACCACGACAAGGCCGAGCCGUGCACGAGUAGGAACCACUGAUAGCGAGUCCGGAAAGGUGCUGGCGGGAGGGGGGGGUGCCAGAGUUCAUGUAGUUGGUAGGGGUAGGGGGGUCUUAGAGAGAUGGUCACGGUGGCUUCAAAGCAACAACGGUAGGGAAGAUUGAAGGGAGGGCGGGGUGGCACGUGGCAGCCCCCGCCGACCGUGGGAGGCGAAGGGAGGCGGUUGAGGUGGGGUGGGUAGGCGAUUGCAUAAGGAAGAAGAAGACGAGGUUGAAGAUGAACAGUGCAUGGUAUGUCUUCGGCCGUUGGAUGAAAAUCUAGCGGCCCCUAACGGAAGUAGCGGACGCAGAUGAAUUUUUCAGGUGCCUGAUGUAUAGGCACUCCCAUACUCAAAACCUUACUUCACCCUUCUUGCCUUACGCGCCACAACCACCUUCAUCCUCCCUAUUUUUGUUUCCACCAUCGGAUUAAUCACUUUCUCAAAACUCUCCUGACUCUGUGAAAACCACCAUCAUAACCUCUAACUCGUCAUCGCCUAAUCUUUGCCUCACUACUAGCUUCAACUCGAGGUGAAUCUUGUCUCGCCAGUGCACCGGAUAUGAAGCCGAAAGAGGAAGAUACCAAAAUUAUGUUUUUGCCCUUUUGGGGUUGAGGUGCAUUAUUUAGGAUUUUUUAGGGGUUUGAUUGGCCAAUAGUUAGAAUUGUAUAGACUUGGAGAUCUUCACCCAACGGUCUAGAUCCAUCCCUCUUUAUAUAAAUACCCCAAAUCAAAACCCUAAUUUCGUCCUACCCGCCUUACCCACAACCGCCGCCUUCUUCCUCCUUCGUUUCGGCAGCCUCCUCAUCGAAUCAACCGCUUCCCACCUUACUCACGCCCACCACCUUCACCGUCCACGGCUCCGGUGACCUCCACCCCCAGAUCAUGAGCUUUCGCUAAAACUCCCCCGACUCCGGUAAGCCCUUUUGCCCUAACCGCCAACUCGUAGAUCUUCAUCCAUGGACCCGGAUCCGCCCCUCUUCAUACAAACACCCAAAAAAAGACCCUAAUAACUUCGUCUUUCUCGCCUUACCUGCGACCGCCGCCUCCAUCCUCGGGUCAGACGUUCUAUCCAAACUCCCCGUGCUCCGGAACCCCUCCACCCUAACAUCUAACUUGUCGUCGAGGCGACUCUCAUCCCUACCGCCGCCGCCGUUUCCACCACCGCCGGAUUCGGAGAAGAAAGGAAGAGGAGCACAAAUUUAUUGUAGUAGACAGAAAUUCCAUGAAGUGCCCAGUUCGGAAAUCAAUAAUGUUCUUCCGAUUAUGAUGAUUACUGGCCGGGCCAGCUGUCCGAAACGCUCCCCCCCGUCUUCUCUCUCCUCUUGCCCGGCACGCUCUCCAACCCAAAGCCAGACCGGUCCUCCGCUCCUCCCACCCCCCAACCGCUAACCCUACCCGCCGGCGGCGCGGCGGAGAUCCGACUCCGGGAGGGCGCCCGAUCCCCCGCGAGCCAGCCAUGCCGCACGCGCGCUCCGAUCUGGUGAGCUCUCGCUCCCGCUCUCUCUCCCGUCGUCAGAUCCGCCUCACCUGCCCGGGCGCGUCGACGCCGCCGCGAGGCGGGCUUGAGGCCCCUCGUCUCGCCGUCGGCGAUCUGCCUCUACUGGGCCCCCGGAAUUUUGUCUCUUUCGCCCGUGCGCGGCCGUUUGGGGGGUGUGGAUUACAGCGUGGUUUUGGCGUUUAUGGCGAUAGCGCCCGCUGGUAGCGUGUGAGCUAGGCGAGGGUAGGGAGAGCUUUUGGGAUUGCUCCCGUAGACGUGCCGGUGGUCGAUUCCUAGAGAUCGUCCUGAAAUUUGCGAGUUCUGUUGCAUAGAAUGGUGAAUUUCGUGUUGAGCGGAAGGGUCGCCGCGGCGGGUUUUUGUUCUGAACUUGAGAAAUAUGCUGUUCUUAGUGUGACCCCUGUGCAAUUUCCUUGUGAGCAGGGCUUGGAUGAUUCGCCGGCAGAGUCGUCGAGCUUCCGCAGCCCCAGUUCUUUCCCCAGAACAAAGCGUACAAAGUGGUCUGACAGGGAACCGCUUGAUUGUUCCGCCUCGGCUUGCAGUGGUGCACGCGUGAACAUGCUUGACCGGUACAACCUUCCGUUGAUCCUCUCUGUUUGUUUCGUCACAUUGUUAUUUCCUUCCCUUUUUUACUUAAUUAAAGCUGGAGCUGAUCGCUGGCUCUGAUUGACCAGGUGUUCGGAGAGGCGUCAGAUGGCUUCCUGUAGCGGCGACCAACCACAGAGCUCAGGCAUGUUUGUUGCCACGCAGGGGAAUGUUUGUCCUGUCAAUAACGGCGGUGGGAUCUAUUCGCAGUCUGGCAUGGGCUAUUCAAAUGGUCAAAAUGGGACAUAUGGUGCAUAUCCGCAACAUCAGCCCUUUGAAGGCUGUAUGUAUGUGAAUGAGCAUGGCCAGAUGUGUGGGCCUUACGCACCCAAGCAGCUCUAUGAGGGGCUAUCCAGUGGUUUCUUGCCUCAAGAUCUUGCUAUUUAUGCUCUUGUUGGUGGGCAAAUGCUCAAUCCUGUAGCCUUGAGUUCUCUAGAGCAGUUCCUUUCACAAUGGAAUUCUGCUGGCGCGGUCACCACGCCAAAUGAAUCGAAGGAGAAUAAGACAGUGGCUCGUACUGAUAAAAUGGCGCUUCCAGAUGUAUGCCGAGCACUUUUUACCUAUGUUUCUGCACACCGGCCAGCCGCUUGUCUACCUCCCUGAUUUGUUUAGCUUCUGUUCUCUCACUAGGCUCUCUCAAGCGAUGAGUCAUGCUGGAUGUUCGAGGACAGCGAUGGUAGCCGUCAUGGGCCACAUUCUCUUGCUGAACUUUCUUAUUGGCUUCAUAGCAGCUAUCUCCAGGAUCUUUCUAUGGUAAAAAAUAUUCAGUAAUCAAAAUCAUGUCUUGUAAAUCCCAUCCUCUUGAGUUAUGUUGGUAUAUGCUUUAUCCAUUCGAGCAACAAUUCAUUCUUGUUACCCUGUUACUGGCUUACUGCAAUGUUUCCAUUAAAGUUACAUAAUGGCAGGUCUGCAAUUAUUAGAAGGCAAUUACAUAUCUGGUCAUAACUAGCCAAAGCUCAAGAAUAUUAGUCUGGUACAUACACUAUUUAUGCUGCUGGUUUUGUGAAGACCUCUUGAAAUUCGUUGCAUUAUUGGCUUGAGUGUCCUUGCACCUAUGUGUUAGAUUAGCACCACUUGUAAACCGUUUGGUAAAUUAUUUCAUUUACAUUUCUCUUCUCGCCUUGUCAAGUGCAAAAUACUGGGUAACUCAGUGAGGUUGAAUAACAAAUUGAUAGCACAAGCUAUUUUCUGUGUACAAAUGGUUAAAUUCACUAAACGUCAAUGCAACUUCUAUCUGUAAGUUUUUGUUGUUCUCCCAUGAAUCAAGUUAAACAAAAAAGUUGACGUGCUGUGCUAGUGCUACUAGAUCCUUUUUAUAAUACCAUACUUACACAUCUUGCGUGUAGCUGUGAACUAUUUUCUUUAUCUCAUUAUUAGUCUGCAAUCUGAAUGAAGUCCGUUUUUAUUGUAGGUUUACCAUGUUGAUAGCAAAUUUGGUCCAUUUACACUUGUCUCAUUAAUUGAUUGGUGGAGUGGAGGUCACACCGAGCAUUCAGAAGCUUCAGAGAAUGAUUCUGGGUCAGCCAGUGACGUGAUGGGUGACAUAGUCGAUGAUAUUAGUCAUCAGCUCCAUGCCGGUAUAGUGAAAUCAGCCCGCAAGAUUUUUGUUGAUGAAAUUUUCAGCUGUGUGCUUCCAGAAAUUAUCGCCUGUAGGAAGACUGAGAAGCAACUAGCUGCAAAAUCGAAACUCCUAGCUGUUAAGGUGUGUAUUAUUUGGCACAAAGUUUUUCUAAUAAGAGCACCUCUUUGUAUGGUCCUUCUUUAGUUUUUCAUAAUCUCCCCCUCAUGGUUUUGACAUUGGCAGCCUGACAGCAAGAAGGCUUCAGCAUUAAAGGGCAAGGCUCAUGCAAAAUUUACUGAUCACAAAAAAGGAAACUCAUAUAAUACAGUACGAGCAACUUCUCCCGUGGCUGUUCAGUCAACUGCGGUGCAUGCCAAAUUUGCUGAUAUAUUAUCAGCAGUUUGGCAAACUCUUUAUUACGAAUCCAUGAAGAAUAUCUGGGAUGGGAUACUGUAUGAUCCUGUUAUGGACUACUGUGGUGCAUGGAUUAAGAGAAAUCACCAUUCAAGUCUUCCUUGUACGAGUAUUCCUGGUGGGUCUGAUAAUGGAAACAAGCAAGAAGCUGACGGAUUGAAGGUUUUGUCUCUGACACCAAGUGUAUCUAUUUCUUGGAGGGGGGCAAUAUGUCGUUCAUAUCCUUUCUUUCGUCAUAUAUAACGGGUUCUUAUACUUCCAUGUCUUUGCAGGUAAUAUGUGAUUCAGAAGCUAUCGAGUGCGACAUGGAUUUCCCACCUGGAUUUGGGCCAACAUUGGAGUGUGCAAGCCCUGUCUCUCCGCCGUUGUUAGAUAUUGGUUCUUGCGAUGGCAAAAAUAGUUGGUGGCGUGAAUCAAGUUCCACCAUAUAUUUUGAUCCCUCAUCAGGAGUCCAGGUAAUGCUGGCAAAUGAACUAUACGUGGCAGCAAAGGAAACUUUGUUUCACCAUUUCAGGAAGGUUAUUGCAGAGGAGAUAACAAACUGGUUGGGCUUUGGACUUGAAGACAUCACUGAUCAAGUGAGAUAACAAUGAUAAAUAAUUUCUCUUAUGACUACUGAGAUUUUGAAAUUUACAUGAUUCAUGUUGGACAUGUGUAUUGCAGGAACUAAUUCGUACUCCUGUUCAUGCACCGGACUCGCCUAGUUCUGCUGGAAUGGACAUUCAUGAAACACCCCCCAUUCCUUCUGAAAUGGCUCAAGAUAAAUUAUUGGAUAUUGCUAAAAUGACUACAGAUGCAAUAACCAGUCCGGCUGAAAUGGCUCUAGAUGCAAUAACCAGUCCGGCUGAAAUGGCUCUAGAUGCAAUAACCAGUCCGGCUGAAAUGGUUCUAGAUGCAAUAACCAGUCCGGCUGAAAUGGCUGUAGAUGAAGUGUUGGUUACAGCUGAAAUAGCUACUGAUACUGUACCCAUUCCUGCUGACAUGGUGGCAGGCGCAACAUCAUCUGUAUCUGAUGUGGCAACAGAUAAAAUGCUCACUUCUCAUGGUAAACGACCAUUCUUCUAUUGCAUUUUGUCUUACCUGAGCUUGGUUACAUUAUUUUAACCCCUUUAAUUUGCAUGCAGUGGAGCAUCAAUCCCCUUCUUCAUCUUAUGCUAGUAUAUUUGAAAAGCUGGAUGUAUCCGAGGCAGCUGAAUUGGAUGAGAGUUUUGAUGAGGUGCCUCCUGGUAUGGAGACUGGCUCAGCUUCUGUGCUGGUCAUGGACAAAAACAAAUACCGACCUUCAAAACCAACCAACUCUAUGCCCGGAAUUUCUAGAUACAUUACCGUGGCUAUCUGCAGGCAGACACUGCAUAAGAAUGUUAUAGAAGAGUGGGCAUCUCUCCUGUCAGAUACUAUCAGUGAGUGCCUUGAUUCAUGGUAUACCAAGCAGACUGUUGUGCCUAAAAACAUCGACGAAUCAUUGAGACCUAAUAAAGAAUAUGCGUACUACAGAAAGAGAAAGUUAAGGAACAGCUGUGAAGCAGUGUCAUCCAAAAAAGCAGUGAGAACUCCAACGGAUGAGCAGCUUUCCAAGCCUCUACGUGAGCUUGUUGAGCGCAAGGUUCAUCUUAAAAAUGUCCAGGAACCAAGGAAGGCCGGGAAGUCGAAAAAGUCCUCCAAGAGUCGUACCAAAACUCUUGAUAAUGUUGUAAACACUUUGAAUAUCGAACAAGGCUUGAAGCGGCUUUCCAAUGAUGUGCCAAAGACCUCCAUGAGUCGUACCAAAACUCUUGAUAAUGCUGUAAACCCUUUGAACAUUGAACAAGGCUUGAAGCGGCUUCCCAAUGAUGUGCCAAAGGCCUCCAAGAGUCGUACCAAAACUCUUGAUAAUGCUGUAAACCCUUUGAAUAUCAAACAAGGCUUGAAGCGGCUUUCUAAUGGUGUGCCAAAGGCCUCCAAGAGUCGUACCAAAACUCUUGAUAAUGCUGUAAACCCUUUGAAUAUUGAACAAGGCUUGGAGCGGCUUUCCAGUGAUGUGCCAAAGAUCUCCAAGAGUCGUACCAAAACUCCUGAUAAUGUUGUAAGCCCUUUGAAUAUCGAACAGGACUUGAAGCGGCUUUCCAAUGAUGUGCCAAAGAGUAAGCAUUUUAGUCUUGUUUGCUUCAUCCCCUGUAAAUUUGCAUAGAUUUAUCACAUGCAUCAUCUUUCUUUUCUAGGACAAAGGACUUCUCAUCUUACUAGGAUGCCUCUGGUUGAUAACGAGGUUCCUUUUGAGAACGUUAGUGUGCCCACAAAGCUUGCAAAGAAAAGAAAGAAUAAGAACAUGUCUACUGACUCCAGUCAGAAGGCAAAACCAUUGAUUUUGUGUCCAGAGUCAGAUGGUUGUGCAAGAGCUUCCUCCAAUGGGUGGGAGUGGCGUAAUUGGGCACGCACCGCCACUCCAUCAGAAAGGACUCGUGUGAGAGGGUACCGCGUUCGGAGUAUUCUUUCAACUUCAGCUAAUAAUGUGUGGAAAAACCCACAAGUUAAAGGUACAUCUGCGCGAACAAACCGCGUUAAGUUACGAAACCUGUUAGCUGCUUCUGAAGGCACCGAGCUACUGAAAAUUACCCAAUCGAAGGUAAAAUAAAUCAUUGCAUGUACACAAGUUUCUCUUGCCAUGACAGUUUGAAUGACCACUGACUCUUACCUUUGGCAUAUAGGCAAGGAAGAAGCGGUUACGUUUUCAAAGGAGCAAGAUUCAUGAAUGGGGUCUGGUGGCCCUUGAGUCAAUUGAUGCAGAAGAUUUCGUUAUUGAAUAUGUUGGUGAACUGAUUCGCCGGCCGGUAAUUUUGUUAUCUUGAAUCAACAAUCCCUUCAUCAAUGUAGUACUCCCUCUGUUCACUUUUGUAAGUCGUUUAAGACAGCUGAAAUUGAACUGUUUUAGGUGCUGUCUUAAAUGUCUAAAAGGUCUUAUAAAAGUGUACGGAGGGAGUAGUUUUUAAGAAGCUUAUUGAUAUAUCUGUACCAUACAGGUCUCAGACAUACGUGAGGCUCAAUAUGAGAAGAGUGGAAUUGGAAGCAGUUACCUUUUUCGCUUGGAUGAUGAUUAUGUGGUAGGUGUAGAAGAUUAUUCUUAUCUGCCUUUAUCUAAAAUGGUGUGCUGCAUACGUGUCUUUAUUUCUGAUAUUUGCUUCUUAGACAAUAGAAGAAUUGGAUAAUGUUGAAGCAGUACAGAAAAUGAUGGAGCUAUGUGACAAUAUAAUAAUGUAAAGCAUAAAUGUGAUCUUUUAAUGGGUUGGGGUCCUUGUGAUGCUUGGUAGUCUCAAACCUUUGAUUGAAAUCAUGUUUAAUCUUUGCCAGUUUUUGUGACUGCACCUUGCGCAACUCUGUUCAUUGCCUCCAUUUUUUCUUAAUUUACACAGGUUGAUGCUACAAAGCGUGGCGGUUUAGCAAGAUUUAUCAACCAUUCGUGUGAGGUAAACUGCUUAACAAUAAACAUUCAACUAUGGUUUCUGUAACAUGCUGAAUAGCAGUCUCGUUAUUUCCUUGCCAGCCGAAUUGUUAUACAAAAAUAAUUACUGUUGAGGGCCAGAAGAAGAUUUUCAUUUACGCAAAGAGGCGUAUAUAUGCUGGCGAAGAAUUGACGUACAAUUACAAAUUUCCAUUGGAGGAAAAUAAGAUACCAUGCCACUGUGGUUCCCAAAGGUAAAUCGCUUAGAUAUUUUACAUGACAUCUUCUGUUUUUGGUAAUUUUGCUGCUUAUGAGCUUAUUCCCAUAGAAGUUAAUGCAUUUCUUUUUAUAGUUUUUACUGANNNNNNNNNNNNNNNNNNNNNNNNNNNNNNNNNNNNNNNNNNNNNNNNNNNNNNNNNNNNNNNNNNNNNNNNNNNNNNNNNNNNNNNNNNNNNNNNNNNNNNNNNNNNNNNNNNNNNNNNNNNNNNNNNNNNNNNNNNNNNNNNNNNNNNNNNNNNNNNNNNNNNNNNNNNNNNNNNNNNNNNNNNNNNNNNNNNNNNNNNNNNNNNNNNNNNNNNNNNNNNNNNNNNNNNNNNNNNNNNNNNNNNNNNNNNNNNNNNNNNNNNNNNNNNNNNNNNNNNNNNNNNNNNNNNNNNNNNNNNNNNNNNNNNNNNNNNNNNNNNNNNNNNNNNNNNNNNNNNNNNNNNNNNNNNNNNNNNNNNNNNNNNNNNNNNNNNNNNNNNNNNNNNNNNNNNNNNNNNNNNNNNNNCCCCCAACACACACACACACACAGAGGAUUGGUUACUGCUCUGAUCGCUGUGAACCUUCAUUCUUCUUUUAAACUUUCAGUAUUAUGUAAGUUUCAGUAUGACCCAAUAGCGAAUAAAGUACAAAACAAUUGACAGCUGGAAAUGACACUCUCACCAGGAACUAAUACUCCUGCUACCCACUUUGAUUAGCCAACUAGAUUUUAAACUAUGAUCUACAUACAUAUGAAUUCAUAUGUUGCUAAAUUGAAUGACGUCUUUUUUCUCAUUGAUUUUCUUUGUCGUGCUAUUUCCUGUAAUUUGCUUGGGAUGUAUUCUGGAAUUCUACGCUUGCCACUGACCGUCCCACCAUCAUGUGGACCUGAGCCCAAAAUAGCCAGUACUCAAACUCAAUUUUUUUGGAGCUUGGGAGUGCGCGUAGAAUAAUUGUGUGUUUAUUCAUCUGAUACAAUAUUUAUGCUACCAUUGAACUUGUUUUAUUUUAAUCUUAUCCUUAUUUUUUUGAGAUAGUUGUUUGUGCCAUUUUUUAGGAUAUUUCUCUUUUACUCCUUCACUUGCUAACUAUGUGCUGGCUGUUUAGGUGCCGUGGUUCAAUGAACUAAGAAGUCAAGCUUAUUACUGAGGUAAUGCUACAGUUACAAGUAUUUCCAUGUUAGGCUCAGAAGUUAGCAUUUGCAUUAUACUUCGUCGUCUGUUAAGCUAUCAUUCUUAUUGGUGAAAAGCUGAAAGCCGACAAUAAUCUGCUCCAAAGAAUUUGAUAUGGUAUUCCUCGAUUGCAAGAAAAAAAAUGUAGCAUAUCCAUAUCAUCAGUAGAUAUUCUUUGAAGUGGCAAAUCAUUGUGUUCCGUUAUUGUGUGCCCUAAAUUUAGGUGUUAGUAUUAUCGUUGGGUUAGAAUUUUUGCCGGAGUUGGACAGGAUAUAUAAGUUUGAUUAUAUGGAACUGCAAAUGCUCAGCUGAUUGCUACAAUGAACUUAAUUUCCAGGAGAAUGGGCUAUGUUGUCCCCUUCUCAGCGUUCCUCUUCUAAUACAAACUACAUGCAUUUCGGUGUGGGUUCGAGAAAUCUAGGUCAAUGGGGAAAUAAUCCGAUUGGUUUAGCAAUGGUUCAGUCCCCUCAUUCAUUUUAUAUCUCUGUUUCUGAGAUCAGUUUAACUCCAUUACUGAAGCCGUAUGGGGGUGUUGUGCAGUCAGAUAAUCAAAUGCAAUUCUGUCAUAUCAUGUUAUUACAGAGACUAGUUGAACGCCCGUGCGUUGCCACGGGAGGAUAUAAAAUAAUGAUGAUUUAUCGAUCAAAUCAUGGAAGUACUCAAUGUUUGAUGUGCUUACUUUGGAGUUCAAGGUUAUUUGAUCCAUUUAGUUAUAGCGAAUGCAUUGUUUAUUGAACUGUAUCAUAUAAGUGCUACGAGAUUGAAGCGUUCAAAAAUAUAUUUUUGGAGAACUUUCAAAAAGUUAAAUUACAUCUAAUACUUUAGUGACAAGACCAUUAUUUUCAGAAUUCAUUUUCUUGUAUAAGUCGCAACAUUUUCUUGGCGUUGCCGACAAAAGCCUUAUUGAAGCAACCUGUCGCAUGGUGUAGUUGGGAGUGUAGAACAUUAAGGUUCUACGGUCCAGGUACAUCAUCAGAAGUAAAGAUUAGAGGCACGUGCAUGACGUGGGAAAGAAAAUUUAAUCACUCAAUUUGAGACUUAUAUUUGAAACAAAACAAUCAGAUAUUAAGUGAUAACAAUAAACUAAUACCCCCUUCUUCCAAAAAUGUAUAGUAUUCUCUCCUUCCCAAAAUGUAGGGCCCGCUUGCCCUUUUAUGUUCUUCGUCACACAACUUUGACUAUUAUUUUCACUUAGUGUAUGGCUAUAAAAUUAGUAUACACACAUGAAAUAAAAUUAUUUUUCAAGAGAAAUACUACCAUACCUUUUAAACAUGUUCAAUCCACGUACUUUGGCAUGUACAACAGGUCAAAGUCGUGUCCUCCAAAUAAGUGCUUUACAUGUUGGGAAGAAUGGAGUACAUAAAUCAAAAGUCUGCUUCAUGCCUUCCUAGCUUUAAUACUUACAGGUGUAUGGCAACUCCUUGAAUCAUAAAUCAGGGCUUCUGACCAAUAGAAUCAUAUACGAAAUAUUUCAUAUGCUUGGCUACAAUUUACACAAUACAACAAUGAUACAUAGUGUUCAAGAUAGAUGGUUUCUGUAGCAAAUAUAAGUAGAAGGUAAAGUGUUACAUUCCAGCCUCAUGACUGCUUAAGUUAGUAUUCCAGUGUGAAGCUGGCCUCCUCAUGGCUACACAACUCUUUGAUCAUGUUCGCUAAAUCGUGAAAUCAAGAAGUUGAUUUUCUUUUCGCCUGACCUCAAAAUAUUUGCACAAAAUCCGUCAGUUAAUUAGUGAAUCUGGACCUUGAUCAUCAUACCUACGAAUCUGGGAGUAAAGGAAAGUACUUGCGAACGUUAAUAUUCUAAUAUGAAAGCUUAGUACUCCCUCCGUCCCAUAAUAUAAGAACGUUUUUGACACUAGUGUAGUGUUAAAAACGUUCUUAUAUUUUGGGACCGAGGGAGUAGUUUAUUAGCAUGUCUACAAUAAGUACCAUUAAUGAAAGCUUAGCAGAGGUUAUCAUGUUCGUUUUGUUGCGCUUGUGAAAGAUUCCAAAACCAUAUUUACAUCAUGAUAAACUCAUGUAGAACUACAUAUUGAACACUGCCACUUAUCUAGUAGUGCUAAGAGUCAUUUAUUCAAAAUGUUCGACAAAUAAAUGAUACCAAAAACAUAACACGUGAGAUCAUAGAUUAUUAGUCUGCAACAAGUCCCCUCUCCAUUUUUAGGAAGCUCGGCAAUAUGGAAUGAUGGAGCAGUCUCACAACCUGCAAAAGAUUGCUAGAUAAAUAUAAGAAUUUUCAGUUUAAAGAAAACAUACAAAAUACUUGAUCUUGUAGCUAUUUUUGGUCUCUAGGAAACAAAGACCUUUGAUGCCAUAAGUGUAUAGAGAUAUAUGUGAGAUCUUAAUAUUACAUGAUAAAUUUUGUAUCUUUAUCAUUCAUAAAAAUAACUUGCAGAAAAUUACCAUAAUCUAUUUAUUAGACCAUGCUACCCAUUUAUAUUCUCAUAUUUACUGAAUAAGCAGCAGUUGUGUUUACUAUACCACAAAUCAUAAUAUCAAAGUGUAGGAACAAACUUGAUUUUUGUUGAACAGAAUUUUUUUUUACUUUGUUCUUUGUCAAACUCUCCACCUAGAUUUUUCAUCUUGAUUUGCACAAGUCGUGCUUAGGGCUAUAGGAUACAAGAGGCAAAAAGGUUGCUUGAAAAGUAAAAAUACAAGAGGCAAAGAGAGUAGUGUACAGGAGGAAGCACAUCGCAUAUGAGGGAGAGAAGGGGAGAGAUGAACAUGAGUACUGCCUGUCCAGAGAGAGAGAGAGAGAGGGAGGAAGGGAGGGAGGGAAGGCGGCCGGCAUGAUGGCGAGCAUGACGAUGAACGAGGUCAGGUAGUGUGGAAGUUCACGUGGAUAGGGCAGGUGCCGAUGGCGCGCGGGAGUGCGAUCGGAGGCGACGAUAGGGUAGCAAUUUCCUUCGCCCUAGCAGAUCGUGCAUGUGUAGAGGUAAGCGGCCCACGGCAGUUAGGGAUCACAUAGGCGAGACGUGUGUGUGUGGGUUGGGUUGUUUCCUUUUUGUUCCGGAAAAAACCGGUGGGGAUCGGUGGGGAUGGGAAAAACAAUGGGAAGGGGGAUCGCACGUGGUAAGGAGGUGGAACCAUCAUGAUAACGGCAGAUCCCUGGGAUGGGAAAAAUGAUGGGUUGGGGGAUCGUACGUGGUAAGGAGGAGGUGGAACCAUCAUGACAACGGCAGAUCCCCCUUUAAUAGUAGAGAUGGCAUGGAACACGGAAUGUCAACGAGUUACUUUGUAGUCCAAGCUCGCACAAUUGCCUGCCUUCUUGUUAAUAUUUCUGACAUAAAGAUCCCGAUUGAUAAAAUCAGUUAUUUUAGACUUCAGCAACCUAUAUACUUUGUAGGAGUGUAAUGUAACUUUUACCUGUAUAUGGAUGACCUUCCAUAUGUUCAUAUGGUUGAGUACUGACCUACUUACAUGUACCUUUAGGCUUGAUCCAGCACCAGCAGCCAACUCUAUGGGCUAAUGCCAUCAUUUUUAUUUCCAUUUCAUUACAUAGGGAGGACACAUGAUUAAGUAUAGGGCACAUGAUUAUGUCUGCAUUGCUGGCAACUUUGGAGUUUCUUUUGAAUCUUUAACUUGAAAACGACUUGCCGGAGAUCUAGAGUUUUUUAUUGUCUUCCUUUUGUCCCUGGGCAGGAUUUUACACUAAAGUACAGGAUGGUGGAACAUGCUGUUUUGGGGAGAUUGCAGUUUCUUACCCUGUGAUGAAGAACGAACUACACUAUUUUAGGCUAGAUGAGCUAAUUCAGGCUAUCCAGAGUAAGGCACAAGCGCCGACUAUUGGUUGCCAGCUCGCCAGGAAGACUGCAACUGAGCUUUCUCCGUCUGGUCUGUUGAGAGUGAAGAGGAGUUCAGCGUGUGCGGAGCUAGUGGAUGGUUGGUUACUUGCUGACAAGGUUAAUACUAAUGUUCUUGCUCAUAUCUGGAUAGAAUUGGAAAACCCACAAUCUUGUACAUUGCCAAACAGCCCAACACUAUGAUUAAUUGCAUUUGACCGAUUGAAAGAUAUAGAGAUUACAUUGUGGUUAUUGGAUGAGAAGUAAAUCUAACUAGUAGCCUGUAAAAGAUGAAACACAGAAAGGCAAGCAGUAAUGAAGUGUUUCCUUCAUCUUGUGAGGAUUAUGCUCUUUUGCCCCAAUGCUAGAAUUUCACGAUUAACUUGAAUGAAGUGUGCAUGGCAGUAUGGAAGGAAAUAGCCUUGUGGCUUGCUUGCACAUGCAUGGCACGGAAUCUCCUUUCCUGCUUGAUGGGCCUGUGGUGUGAUGCCUUCUUCUUGUAUCCCCUACCUACGGAAGAUGUACCUACCAACAUGGCCAGCUUUUGCACCCGGAUCAGCAUGAAUCAGAUUUGGGCCUUUUCUUUGCUUUGGCUUUAGUUGCUUUGAGCAGGGAAACACUGUCGCUUGGAGCUUUUUGAUUCCGACCCAUUCUCUUGGGAUGGACAAGAAGUUCUCUCCCAAUCACAAGAGAAUUAGUCCGGCUCAGAGCCAUUGCACACAUGUUUAAUACUCCCUCCGUCCCAAAAUAAGUGUCUUGAGCUUAGUACAAAUUUGUACAAAGUUGAGACACUUAUUUUGGGACGGAGGGAGUAUGUUAUAAAUCACACUACAAAUUGUGUUUUUGGGCGCAGUUAUAUCCUGUCUUUUGGUAAGCCGUGUUGUUUAUUCAUUCAUGGACCUGCUCGUCUUGUUGCAGGUACAUACAUACAUAUAUCUCUCUGUCAUCCGUGGGGUUUGUAUGUAGACACGCCCUGUAUGAAUGUGAAUGUAUAUGCUUCCAUCCACAAACUAUUCGGAACCAGUGUGGUAUGUGCUCAUCUCCUGCCUGUAUUAGCAACCAAUUAUUUCCCCUAAUUGCAAUCCUUAUAUUUGGUCUGCUUUCUGUGUUAACCACAGGACGGCGUUCUCGCAGGUUGCUUGAUUUCUCGCCGAGACAUAUGCAUAAUAAUCCAUCAGUGUAAGUAAGUGCGUUCUUAACCUGUUUGCUUGUGUAGCCCCAACCCGUGAUGCAGGUGUGCAUGCUAAUCUCACUGCAAAACCGAACAGGAACGGGGAAAUAAUCCAAAGCAAGCAAGAAUAUGAGGAGGCCCGCAGGUCUAAGGCUCGGCAUAUCCCAAAGAAAACAAUGGGUAAUUCGAGUUUGGUGUGUUGCUAAAUCAGCUGGCUUUGCCAAGGAAAAAAAAAUACCCCGGUGUUGCUACUUCUAAGUCGACUGAGAUUCUCUUAGAGAAGCGCAACUUUUGGUGAAAAAUAAAAUGUAAGUCGCGCUAUUUCACUAAAUUGAAAAUGCACUCUUCUGAACUGAUCCGCGACUUCACAAAAUCUCAGUCGACUUAGACAUAGAUAGACCGACCAAAAAAAAAAGGAGAUCCUAAGCCAGGAAUCUUGCCCAUGAAUAGCCAAGCCAAUACAUAGUUAUGGCAUGCGAAAAAAGACCAAGCUUUGGCAAUGAUUCAAGCAUGUACCAAACUUUUAGGCCCAGCCAGCAGGAGAAAAUUCAUGGUUAGUUUGGGCACAGGCAGAACACGUACGCCCAUUGUUACCAUCUUUCCAUGGAUGCUCAAGCUCAGUGAAGCCACAUGGCUCCUCUUGGCAUUUUGGGGUGUGACGUGAGCGUGCAAUCAUUGUGGCUAUGUUAGAUUUAUUGAUCCUAUUUUCCACCAAACUAACCAGUACUCCCUCCUUUUUUAUUUACUCUGCAUAUUAGUUUUGGUCAAAGUCAAGCUUUACAAACUUUGACAAAGUUCAUAGAUAAAAAUAUUAACAUAUACAAUAACAAAUCAAUACCAUUAGAUUUGUCGUUGAAUGUACUUCCACAUCAUAUAGAUUUGUUAUGCUAAAUAUUUAUAUUCUUUUCUAUAAAUUUGGUCAAACUUUACAAAGUUUGAUUUCAGUCAACUCUAAUAUGCGCAGUAAAUAAAAACGGAGGGAGUAUUUUCACUGUCAAAAUACAUAAAUAACCAGUAUAUUUUUCAUAGCAGCUUUAACGACCAGCCGACGCAGGAAGUUCCUUUUUUUGCAUGACGUGGGAAGGGUGAGCCCCCAAAUAAAGUCAGUAGCAUGACCGAACACACCAAACCCUUGCGUCACACUGUUGGUAUAUGGCCUCUGGUUCUCUGUCCCGUUAGCCUUGGCCCACCUGUUCGUGCAUGCUGUAGACUUCCAGAACAAAAUCAACCGUGGAGAAAAUUUAUGUUAAGUGGAGAAAAAAAAAUACAUUUUAAUGGUACACUGUAAAUAUAACCAUGUCCACUGGAGGUGUGGAUAAAUGUUGGAUCAUCCACCGAACGUCAAUCAUCUAGAAGCAUUUGCAACCGUAUGAUUUGUAUUUGGGCGCCUAGGAAACGCUGAUCUGCCUUGCCGGGCCCAUUCCAUGGACCAAAGAUUUAUUUGUGCGAGGAAAACUCAAAGAAAUCCGGGCCCAAUCGCUUGGACAAGAGAGAGCAAUGAAAGUGAACACCAAACCCAAGGAGAUCUGUGGAUUAUAUUUUGGUUUUAUUGUGGAUGAUAUAGUAUACUAUAUAUAUACACACGUCUAAAAGCAGCAGAUGUUUGUACGCUAAAUCCUGUACUAACAUGUGGUUUCUCUGAUACAAAAUCACAAUUAUUAGUAGUUGUUUUUUAAAAUAUAUUUUUGUGAUACUAGCCAUUUCAUGUCAUAUAAACAAAAAACAUAUUAACUAAAUAAUCCUUUGUUAAUGUCCUGUCUUUAUUAAGCCUACUAGUAGGUGUAACAAGUGGUUUUGUGUGUCACCGGCUUUGAGCUCGGUCGGAAGAGCGUGGGUGGCAGCACAGGGAUGGGAAAUCCCCCGUGCUCUCCUUUGGUCGGUUCGAAUCCGGCAGGUCGGCAAUUUCAACUAAAUAAAAUUAAAAUUGACCUCCCGAAUAUAGUUUUCUUGUGUCUGUUUUGCUAUGUGAUCAGUCCUGAUUAAUAAUGCUCCCUCCAAUCCAAAAAAAAAGUGCCGUGACUUUAGUUCAGUUAAGAAGUACUCUUUCCGUCCCCAUGGUUUACCUUUUUAAUCUUUUAACCCAAAUAUACGUAUUUCGAGGAGGAAAAUGUUACCGAGCAUGCACCGCAAGGAUGUAAAGCUUCAGUGAACCCCUGUUUUAUUUUUCCUGUAAAACUCAGGCCACAAAGUAAUUGUAUUGCCAUUUUAAGACUUGUUUGCAUUCUUGUAUGUAACUGCUGUUAUAUAAAAGGCAAACAGUGCGUGUCAGAGCAGAUAUAAGGUCCUGUGUCUGUGUGGCUCGAGAAAAAAAAAUUCGUUUGCACCUCGCGCGGUCGUGGGCUCUUGGCCGUGCAAGUGCAAGGUCACCUCUUCUCAAGAGAACACUGAGGUUGUGUUUGGCAUUUUGUCAGAUCACAAAAGUUCUGCUUGCCCACCAGAUUUUGCUAUUUCAACGUUUGUUUUACUCGUGCCUAUCCUCUUAUAUGGCUAAUUUUUUUGUAUAUAUUCUAUCUUAUAUUUUUUGGUCAGUGCUAAAGCUGUUGCCUUGUGAUCAUGAGGUCACAGGUUCAAGUCGCCUUGUGGUCAUGAGGUUACGGGUUCGACUCAUGAAAAAACCUCUUGCAGAAAUGUAAGAAAACCCGCGUACAAAAUAUCCAAAGUGGUUGGACCCUUCCCUGGACCUUGCACAAGCAGGAGCUACGUGCAUCAAACUGCCCUUUUUAUUAUAAAAAAGAGUGCAAUACAGUUCAUCAACCAGGAACCGAGUUUGAAGUACAAGAGAUUGCGACUUUCUCUAUUGUUUUAUUGCAGCGAACUGCUACAAGAAAUAUGAUCAAGUUCACAGAAAGAAAAAAAUUUGAUGGAAAAUACAUGGCAUAACGUAUGUAAGAGCAGGUUUCGGAAAUGGACUUUCCUGCGCGAUGAGCAUUGGUCUUCACUCUUCGACAUCUUUCUUCCCUGUCCUGCUGCUUUUGGAGGCAUGCAAAUUUAGAGUUGCCAUAUCCGAGCCUUCAUAAUUUUCUUACAUACGAGACCUAUAUAUCAUUAACUACAUACUUAUUCUUCAAUUGGACUAAAAUUGCAUACUCAAAUAACCAAUAAUAGUGGACCAAAGGGCAAAGGUCACAUGUAUCAGAGAACGUCGGUGGCGGCGGCGGGUUCGAUGCCGCCGGUCACAAAUGUGGCGAGGGCGAGCACGACGGUGAGGGUGAAGAUGACCACGAGCACGCUGGCGAGGAUGAUUCCAACGACGAUGAUUUCAGGGACAACUCGAUUUUGAUUCCGGCAAUGCUCGAAAUUACAAUACGCGUUUAGCCAUCAAGUGAAAAUUUUGGUGGACGUUCCCCGAUGAUGAGGGGAGGGUCACUGUCUCUUGCCCUUCGAGAGCAGCACCCAAUCCGCCCGCAUGGAAGGAAGUGGUAGCUGUGGGCGACAUGAGGGAAGUCGAGAUUGUGGGUGAUGACCUUUUCAUAGCUACGAGUGGCAAGAAACGUGGCAGGAAUGCCCGCCAUUAAUUCGCUGUGGGCUACGCCAUUAAUUGGCAUGCUUCUUGGUGUCACGGGCACCUAGCUGUCUCCGCCGUUGCCAAGGAGAGAAGAUGGACCACACGGGAGGCUGAGGAGGGAGGGCCACCUCCCGCGCGAGUGGUUGGCAUAUAGAGUGCCCUCCAAUCCAACGCUCCACAACCUCCGAAUAUGAAGGAUCGCGGGCUCGAUUUGGAACACCCUCUAUAAAUUAUGAUGAUCAAGGUUGGAUUCUGACUUUGCUUGAGUGUCCUUUUGGGCCAAAAGUGCUAUAUCGGCGGCUAUUAUACUGAUCGACCUGAUAUGGGACACAACUAGAGUUGCUCUUAGGGAAGGUACACUGCAACUUUCCUUCUCCCCUGUCCUUGUCCAUCGUCAGUCCAUAUGAUCAUCGUUGCGCUAACGCUUGGUGCACCACUCCAUUCUUGGUACUUCGAUGCAAACGGGCAUCACAAUUGACUAUCCUCACUAGUAUUGUUCGGUGGUCAUCUAUCGUCACAUUUGUCUCCCUGCGGUAGUUAUAUCCCUCUAUUGCUAAAGGGUGUUCACAAAUUAUCAUAAUUUCUAGGAACAAAGAGUUUAAGCUAGAAAGGCCUUUUUCGAUGGAAAUACCAUGGCUUGUCAGUUUUAACUAGCUAAGAUGGAGGCGAUUGACUCCCUUUGGACCUCCAUGUAAUUUUAUACUUUGUUGGGGUUGUUUGUAUUGUUGGUGUUGCUAAUAGAUCUGAGGGGUUUUUUUCGCAAAAAAAAACUUGAUUGGUUAAAUUCCGCCUAGUAAAAAAGAAGGAUUAUAAAUUUCUAAAAUGGUAGAUGAAAACAUAGAAGCCACUGCAACCCUCCAUAAACGAGUAAUCUGCCAAUGCAAAUGUUUUCUCAACUUGUUUUUUUAUGGUAUUUAGAAAUGUCAGAUAUAAAAAUUCACCUUUUUUACCCGCAGGAAACCAACGUUGCUUUGUUCACUCGAAACACCCAGAAAUACUACUUUUUAUAAAAAGAAACAUCCAUAAUGUUGACGAAGAUAUGAGCAUGUAGUAGUAGAUUGAUUUUUUGGCCCCUUUCCUGAAUAUCCUAACGGCGGCAUUGCAAAGGAAAGAAUGAAUAUUAAGCAUGAGCUACUUGAUUGUGACUAAACUAUUUAAACCUACUCGAUUGGUUAGCACUUUGAAAGUGGAGAAAGAAGCAUCACACCCACCCAACUCUGAUUCGUGCCGACCGUUCGUCGCAUCAAACCGGUCGGCGGCGGUGCUGCCGAUUAGCGCCGUCCAACCCCCUUCUUCAUUCUCCCUCACCGCACGCACUCUUCUCCAGACUAGCUUCCAUGUCUCUCCCCCACCUCGCCUCGCCCACACUCCUUAUGGCGUUGGCUGGAUUAAUUGACCCACCGGGGAGGCUAGACUCGGAGACCGGCUUGUGUUUCGUGCGCGCCCAAGCUUUGGUCCGAUCCCUCUUCACGCACGAUGUGCCGUGGUAGUGCUUGAUGAACCCAUUUCGUUCUAGGAUCAUACAUGAGUUCAGCGAGCCAAUGUUUUUUUCCUUAUCAUUCGUCGUCGAGUCCAUAUGUUUAAUUUGUGUCCAACUUAUUUAUUAACCCCACUAUUAAUUAGGGCGUCGUAUCUUAUGCAUCCGGGGUGGUUCGUGAAUCCCUGUAUCCGCAGUCUCCCCGACCGGCCGAUCGCCAUCCCACGCACGCAAUCAAAAUCGGAAGGAAAUUGCAAAUACACGCCCGCAGCAGCUCUUAGUUAAACCUGCUUAUUUGCUAAUAACCCCUCGGCCAAGCUAAUCCCCGCUUGUCUUCCUCCCAAUCCAAUCACACUCAAUCCCUCCAUGGCGGCACGGACGACGGAGCCAUGAAUCCUUGGACGGCAGCCGCGCAUGGGCCACCUCCGUGUAUGUCCGCCUCAAACGGCUCCAUGACCUGGUGAUCCCAACGACGAUGGUCGUCCCUCGUUGGCCUGCCUCCACGCCUGUUCGCCUCAAAUGGCUCAACGCCCUCGGGGAUCCGUUCGGCGGCCACGGCGGGAUCCACCACGAUUUGGCGUAGCACCGCGCCCGUCCACCUUCUUGCCGGUCACCGACGCAAGUCCGCCACCGGCCGCAACCUGCAGACCAUCUACUGCACCGCGCCUGCAUCCAGCCAUUUGCUGCUCCACCUGACGACGUCCGCCUGCUGCAAGAGACUCGUGUAGGAAGCGAGCACAACCCGUUGCAUAGCAAACAAGGACCACGUCCUGAAUUUUAUUGUUCCUGUUUAAUGUUUCAAGUACUUGCAGAUUGUAGCUUGUGAGCUUAUUCAUUGCAGACUAUAGCUUGUGAGUUCAGAGACAAGUGAAUGUAGCUUGUUGUGAAUGCACAAUUCAGAAAUAAACAAAUUUCUUAUUGCUCAGUUCCCGAUGAUUUGUGGUGUUAUGCGAUAUGUGAUGCAAUACAGCUGAACAAGGGCAUAGUAUAACUUGGCGCUUAUCAUUCCUCUGCAUUCCUAUUUGUCAUUUACAUAUUGACAAACAAGAAAAUGUUGCUUUUGCUGCAACCUUCCCAAACUGUCAAUAUUCUGAAUGCCCACCUGUUUAAUUUUUUUUCAUGAAUGCUAUUGUGGAGGUUGACAUGGGUUUGCCAACUGAGUUUGCUCCUUGCGUGAUUCAUAUGCUGUUGUUAAACUUUCACACCUGAAACAUACUACUGCUGGUAAAUACAUCUGGUAAUAAUUGACGACUCAAUGAACUCGAUGCUUUUACUGUUAUACAACUGAAUAAAGGGAUGAACGCUACAGGCUGACAAAGUUUCUUCUAGAUUAAUCCCUUGGGUGAUAGCUGCUGAUUGUUUGCAUCAAAGAACAGAGGAUGCUUCAGGUUUAUGUGAACAAAAUGUAUGCUGGUGCUCUUGCUGAUUGCUACACUCCAUUCAAUACACAUCAAGUCAGGGUAAAUAAAAGGAAGACAGUUUCACAAAACACAUAAUUCAAUCAAUUACAAUAAUCCAGUGCAUGGAGGAAUAAACAUUAAUAACUCAUAUAAAUUCAUGUGUUCUAGUAGACUAGGGCCAUCAUAGAACACCAUUUGGCUUCAUCGGUCGCACAAUCUCGGUCCCCUUGCCUUGAACUUUAAUCUCCUUGCUCUUCUCAGACCUGAAUCCUUCCCUAUUGCACAUGAAACACUUUGUCCGAACCACAUCAUUGUCCAACUUUUUUUGCUGUCCAACACGAACUCCAAAACCCGCAUGAUGUGCAUGACUUGUAGAACUCCUCCACGGCCUCAAGGCCUUCAAAUGUCAUCCCUACUGGCUUCAACUUCUCGUCACAUCUCUGCGUAAAAGAGGAGCACUAAAAAAUAAAUAAUGAAUGACAAUAAUCAUCAUCAUGCAUAUCUCUUUGAACUGAACAGGGACAUGGCAAACGAAAAUUUAUUAAACUCACAAAUAGAAGAAUGCUUUCUUUCUUUCUUGGGGUAGCAAAUUCUCCCUCCUUCACUUGAGUUUCCAGGCUUUUGCCUAAUUCUAUAGCUGCACUGCACAUGCAUCAACAUGGUUAGUCUCUAGAUAACAAGUAGUACGCAUGUACAACACACAAAUAGUCUGGGUCAUACACAACCUGGUCAUUACCUGAAGCUCCAUGUACAGUACUGAAAUCUGAUUCGUAUUCUGCAGUAGUAGUAUUUUCUACAGCCAUAACAGGAAACUGAGAUGGGCCUCCAACCGGCUAGAUGCAGAGGCAUACUCAGGAUCAGCACUUGAACUAUGGAUCACUGCUGAUGCAUAUUGGACAUCCAUAACAGCAGGAGCCGCCAAAAGCAGUUGCGGCGUAUCACGUGACAAAGAUUUUUCCAUCCUGCCGAAAGGGCGUUCGGAACCAGAGAUGCAUCCCGCAUGGCCGUAGCGGAGAUCGUCAGGGCAGAUGAACUCUGUCGUCGCGAUUGUCCGUCCAGAUGCAUGCCGUCCCGGCCGUGCCUGCCAAUGGGAUGCAUGUUGCGGCCGUGAUUAGGGAUUGGGAGGAAGACGAGCGGGGAUUAGCUUGGCCGAGGGGUUAUUAGCAAAUAAGCAGGUUUAACUAAGAGCUGCUGCGGGCGUGUAUUUGCAAUUUCCUUCCGAUUUUGAUUGCGUGCGUGGGAUGGCGAUCGGCCGGUCGAGGAGACAACGGAUACAGGGAUUCACGGACCAUCCCGGAUGCAUAAGAUACGACGCCAUUAAUUAGGUCGGUUUCCUACCACAAAUAUGUGUGAGAAUUAAGCUGGGUCAUGAUAAUGAGGCUGAGUCUAUAUACAGUAGUUCAUAAUUAUUACUAUAACAUUGUUGAACUUUCUUUAUUUACGAAAAAUGUUGUCAAUCUAUGAGCUUAACGAGUCAUAAUUUUUCCUUGUUUUUCGUCAUUGAAUCCAUAAGUUUGUACCUGCAACUAUCCAUUUAUGAAUAUAUUUUCAUUUCCUUUGAAACAUGGUUUCCAAAUAUUUCUACACAUGCUUUCUGAAAUGGCAACUUUCUUUACUGUUGGUGAUAAUAGAUACACGUUUGAUCAAAUAUUUUAUUCUACUUAUUUAUUAUCUCCACUAUUAGGUCAUUUUUCUAGCACAAAUAAGUGUCAUGAUUAAGCAAACAUUUCAUUGUUUUUUCUAUUCCUAGGAGAGAUACUCUGUUUAUGUAGUUUUGCUACUUUAUGAGAGAGCCCUUUCUUCUUUUUGAUACAGUUGAUCCUUUAACCUUUUAGAGCGUGAGGUUUUGUUGCAUGGCUGUAGUUUCUAUUUGCUAUGUAUACUGGAUACCCCCAGUGAAUCUCUAUGUUAGUAUGGUGCUCAUGCUUUAGUAAAAUAGCAGGGUUUACAUAGUUCAUAAUUAUUACUUGAACCUCAGUGCGCUUUUCUUCAUUUCUCACGAAAUAUGAUGUUGAUUCUUAUCACGAUAAUCGUUUCAUGAUAACAGGUAGUGGUGUACAUGUUGCACUCGUUGAACCAAUGCUUCAUACAACAUUGCGUUAUACCUGGGCAUUGUCUCCAAAAGUAUGUUGCCUAUCAGACAAGUGGCAAAAUCAUCUUGCUCAUGGUGGGUUGACUUCAUACGUAUGCAACGAAAGUCUUGUGUACAUUGCACAAAAGAUUGGUUAGGUAAAUGGAAAUCCUUGCUCUUUGAGGAUUGACUCCCCACAGUAAGGUAGUUUUUCUCACUUUGCUCAAAAGUAUGGAUAGCACGAUCCUCGCUUCUAGAGAAUUGACCCCUCCGCAAAAGCGAGAAGAUUUUGCUCACUUUUCUUAUAAUCAAGGAAAAAUCCUUGAUCACUUAAGGAUGCUAAGGGUCAAGACAAUCUUGCUCAUGGAGAGUUGACUUCCCACGAGCGCAAGGUAAGUCUUGUGCACAUUGCAAAAAAUUUGCCCAGUCAAAUGGCGAUCUUUGCUGUUGGAGGAUUGAUUCCCCAAAGGUAACAUGUUUUUUCUCACUUUGCUCAAACAUACGGCUAGUUAUGAUCCCCGCUUAUGAAGAAUUUCCCCUUCACAAAAGCGAUAGCAUUUCACUCACUUUUCUUGUUCAAGGAAAUCUUUGAUUACUUAAGGCUACUCAGGCAAUCCUUACUAGUGGAGGAAAACAAAUUUUCUUCUUCAUCAAAAACAAUGAUUGGCUUGUUUACUUGGCGCAAAGAUAAGGCUAUGCAAGAGGCAAAUCAAUUUUUGCUACGUAGAAUAGCAUAUUUUACUUCUAAAACUGAAGGCAGAUGCUGGUUAAUUAAUACAAAUGUAAAGCUAAGCAAGGGGUAAGGGGAUCGUUGAUAGUGAAGGAGAGCCAUUUGGCCCUCCCUCAAAGCCAAGGAAAAUCUUGCUCACCUGAGGCUACUCAAGGGGCAAGGCAAUUCUUGCUAUUGGUGGAAAGCAAAUUUUGCUCUCCAUCAAAACCACUGAUUGCCUUCACCAUUUGGUACAAAAAGCCUAUGCAAGGAAAAAAUCAUUGCUGCUUAAUGCUACUCAAGGGUGAGGCAAUCCUUACUAGUAGGGGAGAGCAAUUUUUCUCUCCCUCAAAACUAAGGAUUGUCUUGCUCACUUUGGAGGGUGGGUGAGUAACUCUGCCUAUGCUAUAUGUAGCCGGUCCCAAGCCCAGAUAAAAAGAGGAGGGGCCGCCAUACCAUUUAUAUUUUUGUAAUGUUCAUUGUGUCUUUUUGUUUUAAAACAUAAAAGCAAGUAAUUAGAAAAAAGAUAACCCCUUUAGGAAAUGCAACACAUUUUCCAUUGUUUAUAGUUGGAUUGCCUUGAUACUAGGACCUGGUUGCCAACUCAUUUUGUGCCUUUUGACCUACUCUUACACAUUUUCCUAUCUAUUGUUGAUGAAUGAAAUGCUAGAGCUCAUAGUGUAUAGAAUUAAAACUUUUGAAUUCAUAUGGUUGUAGCUGUACCUCUUUCUCUUGCUCUACACCGGCAAGCACUGAGACAAAGCUCGUACUCUUCGCUGACGCAUUGUAUUUUUUCAUGCUUUGGAUAAUUUUUCCCUAUUUUAUGUUCUGUUUUUUGCUUUGCUGUCAAUUCAAGAGCCAUUACUAGCUUGGGUAUUAGCUAGCUCAUGAGAAACCACUAUAUUUCCUUCUCAAAGGAGCUUCUAACACGCUGCUAAGAAAAUUCUUUGUACCAUAUUUUAGACUCAAAAGUAAGAUAAAUAAUGGACCAAUAUUUGCUCGUUUCCAUAUUAUACCAUGCGAUGCAAUUAAAUUGUAUAGUGAUGCGUCUCCAACACUAGCACCACCUAAUUAACAUCCAUCCAUAUUGCUCUGUCUUUUGGAGCAAAUGAAGCUUUCUCAUGGUUAGCUCAUCGUAGAGGAUACAUGUGAACAUAUGGUUUGGUAAUUGGUACUUUAGAAGUUUAGGAGUCUAUAUAGUUUGGUAAUUGGUACUUUAGGAGUAAUAGUUUUUCUCUGAUUGACAGAUAUGGUUUGCUAGCAACUAACUGAACAAUCAACUGCAUAUUUGUUUUUAGUAUAAAAACUUCUGCUUGGUGGUAUCAUAUUGCAUCAUUUGUCAAUUCGGUGAUGUGCAUGUUUUUAAUCUGUGUCUAACUAAAUUCUUGUGUAUUUUACCUUUUUCUCACUAAUAAUGUCAUGUGGUUUACAAGAUCUGGCCCAAGAGACAAAAAGGUGACUACCAAUCCUUUCAUCAUAUUGUACCAACUUCAUUUAAUCCUUCAUCCAUCGCUUCUUUGUGUCGAUGCCUGAAGUUAUUCUUGAAUGCUUUGUCAUGGCGCUCUAGCUUGUUACUUGAGUUCCUAGGUAGCUAUUGUGCUGAGCUGAGUCUUUUGGACUAGAGUUGUCUCCCCUUUUUGCCAUCAGUGAUUGCUGCUUCAUCAAUUUUUCUUGCUAGGUUGACCACAGGCUAGAUACUAAUCCUCGGGUAAGAGCUGAGAGGUAGAUUCUCAAAGCUGAUUUUUUUGCCUUUGAUAUUUCAAGUUCUCAAGGCUAAACAAUCAUGUGAUUUUGUGUUCGUAAAGUAAGGAAAUGCAGAAACUGACAGGCUACAAGGCAUCAGAGUUGAAGGAUUGCAUUAUAGCCAUACAAGAUUUGCUGCUCAAUAGAAAGGGUCCAUAUUUACCAGCAAUUCGAGACAAAAGUAUAAGCAACACAGGGUAUGCGCAACUCCAUCAAUUAUGUGACAUUUCUCUAAUAUUUUAAUGCUGGUAAUGUUAGUCUAAUUCUCUAAUCAUUUGGAACAAUUCAAAUGUGUAUCGAUGAUGCUUCCUCUUGUAGAUGCUGGAACAAUUAUGCAUUUUAGAGUGCUGGAAGCUAUUAAGAUGUUGGAGGUUUUAAAGCCUAACCAAGAUAUUUUCAAAUUCAUUAGGAGCUAGUCUAUCACCAAAGGCUAGACAUCCUCUUCUUGUGUAGAAUUGUAGUUAUGUACAAUAUCUUAGAACAUUAUGCCUUGUUGGUCUGUUUGGCCACAUAUUUGUAGUGUUUAUAUAUGGUAAAUCAUUGCCUUAUCCGAUUCUUUUUCUUCUGAUAUGUUACAUUUAUGUGCGCUUACAGUACCUACAACCUACCUUUCUACCAGUGGGUUGUACUAGACAUAUGCCUAAAUAUCGUAGCUUGCAUAAAUAAUCAUGAUGAUGCUUGUUUUUCGCUAUUUAAGUAUCAUCAUCUCUAUAGCAUGCUAGUGUAACAUUCUUUGUUGAAUCAAAAUCCUAGAGAUCUAAGUAAUUUCCAACGAAUGAUCUGAGUCAUUUUAUAUGAUCUAUGUUUGAUAAAUGAAAUGCUGGAACUCCUACUUUUUGGAAUUAAAAUCUUUUGAAUUAACAUAUUGUAGCUUUAUCUCUUCCUCUAGCUCUUCACUAGCAAGGGUUGACAUAAGUUCAUACUCUUUGUCGAAGUACUGUGGAUUUUUCAUGCUUCUUAGUAGUAUAAUUCUGUCCUUGUAUUUAUACUCUAUUUUUGCUUUUGUGUCAAUUCAAGAAGCAUCACUAGCAUGAAUACUAGAUAGCUCAUGAGAAAUUAUUCUUUUUAUUCUUAUCAAAGGAGCUUAUGACACACUACCUAAAAAAACUUUUGUAUCCGAUUUAAGACUCAAAGUAAGAUAAAUAAAUGGACCAAUAAUUGUUCAUUGCCAUGUUGUACUGUACAAUGCAAUUUAAUUGUGUAGUGUUGCGUCUCCAACAGUAGCAUCACCCUAAAUCCACCUCUGCUGCUAUGCCUUUUGGAGCAGACAAAGCUUUCUCAUGGUCGACUCAUUGCAGAGGAUACAUGUGGAUAUGGGCUAACCUUUUGCUUUGAUUUCAGUUUGAUUGUUACUUCGAGCCAUUCUGCUUGCAGUUGAAUCUAUUUGAUUCCACAUGGUUUGGUAAUGGGUGCUUUAGGAUUCUAGUUUGUCUCUGAUUGAUAGAGAUGGUCUGCUAGCAACUGACUGAAUAAUCAACUACAACUUUAUUUUUAAUAGGAAAACUACAACACCAUGGUAUCAUAUUAUGUCAUGUGUUAAUUUUGCGAUGUGUAAAGUACAGUGUUAGGGCCUACUAUAAAUGUAAAAAUGGUUAGUUCAUUACUAUAAUUUCAAAGGGUUGUAGCCUUUUUGAGGGACAUAGGGCUAUAGUCAUGUAUUACCGACAUAUUGACUGACAUAGUGUUGUAAAGUUAUCUUCGGGGAUAGAUAGUACUGUAUGCCUUACAAUAUAUUGUGCACUAUAUCUCAAUGAUCUUACUAAAGGAGCAUAUACCCUACUACUUCAUAGCGAGCUUUGAUUCUUUCAAGAAAAUUACAUGAUAUAAUGGGACCAAUUAGCCUUUUCAGUUGUUGACCAAGCGAUGCUUGAAAGGCUGAAGCACAAGCAAACAUGAAGUUUACUUAAUUUUGAAUGCACAGUGUACCCAAGUUCGGUUGGACCAGCUUUGCCCCCGCAGUUAGUUAGCUGUUCAUCUUUGAGCUUGAAAGGUGAAUUUUGCUCAGUUUGGGAAUAACUUGAGCCACCUACCACUUUUGUCUCCCCAAGAAUGGUUUGUGAACCGAUAUGAGUCAGUGAUGUUGCAUUGUUAUUUUGGGUGUGAGCACCUACUGUGUGGUACCCAGUCACCAUUUCUGCUCAAACUGUGAGGCACUAACAUUGUUGUUUAUCUCUCUCAAUUCAGUUUCUGUUUUCAUCUCUUUGUUCUUCCCAUUUCUCCUUUUCUUAACUUGCUUGUGUCCGAGUUCAUUCUGGUCAUCUCCUUUGUUCCCUGGAUCUUGUUGAUAUUCUUUGUAGCAGUUCAUCAACAUCGCUACAAAAGGGGAACAUGUUGUCACAACUCCAGUUAGGAGGAAUAAUCCCCCAAAACUUUCAAAAGUGAUAGCGCCUGAACCAUCGAGUGUGCCAUCAUUUUCAUGGCUAUUUUGAUCUAUCCAUUUCUUUUCAAAUUGAAUGAUAGUAUCUCCCCCUGUUAUGUUGAGUAUCGCCCUUGACAUCUCAGCACAUAGUGGAGAAUUCUUGGGAAGCGCCUAAUUAGCAAAGAUAUAAUUGUUAUAAGAUGCGCAUGCUAACAUAUUAUGUCCCACUAACAACAUCGACUCAGUAAAAUCCUAAUUUUUUCUGCUAUAAUAUGCAGCUAAUAUGAUGGUUCUAUUAUUUAGCAGUACCAUACCCCUCAUCUAAUCAUGCCAAGAGUUGCUUAAAUAGCACAAAAUCCAAUAAACUCCGUUAGACUUAGUUUGUGAUUGUUGUGGAGCAUUAUGUACUUACUUUUAAAGUUGGUGUAAAAAGGUUGUGAAAAGUCUAUUGAUAUGUUUGGUAAAUCAAAUUAGAGUUAGAUGAAGUAUUAUCAAUAGUUGAUAUCCCACAUGAGAUCUCAUAUGUUUUGAAAUGCAAAUAUGCUAUUUGAUUUAGAAAAAGAGAGAUAGUCAAACACCUAGGUAUCCAAAAACAAACGAAUCGACGUAGAAUAUUUAUCAUAAUGCACGACAAUUCCAAAAAGAGCCUCAAUGUGAUGAGUUACAAAUAUUAGCUCAUGUUAAUGUUUCCUAUAGUAAACAUGUGGAUCUAUGUUGUUAUAUGUGAUUGUUUCACCAAGCGUCUUGUAUUUGUUGUUGUGUAUUAUAGCUAGAUGUAUUAAAAGGGGUAUUGUGUUUAUUUUGCUAUUUAUUUUCUUAUUUGUUGUUACCGAGUUGGUUGCAACAAUUCUUGUCGUAAAAUUUCAUCAUUCCAUUGGGACGCUAUUAGAUAAUCAUACUAUCUAUUUAUCUUUGAUUUUUGCAACAUAUAUUUAUAUAUUUACAAGUAUGAAUUUUAAACUGCAAUCUUGUGAUGAUAUGGUACUAGAAGAGAAUAGUGAGUUUAGUUAAACUUACAAAUGCAAAACCUGCACUCUUGUAAAUAGGCCCCACCAUUGUGUAACCUUUGUUGUACUUUGCGAGAAACAAUUUGAUGUAUGGGACGUCCAGUACAACCGCAACAAUGCUUCCAUUAGAAAGAGCACUAUAGAAAUCUUCAAGUGUUGCAUAGGCCCUGAGCUUAGAUGUAUCGAAACCAAUUUCCACUAGUAGACCCUCUAUAUAAGAACCUUGGUGGAACCCUACAUAUUCUCCAUUCUUUUGGAGUUCCUGAACAUCAUUCACUGUUGGUGAAAGCUUAUGUACCGUAAGCAUUGAUGCAAAGCUUGCUGUAUAACUUGCUGCAAGUACCAGAAGUACAACCAUCCAUACACGCAAAACAAUUCUAGGUAGAAAGCAUUCCAGCUUUUCCUCUGCAGAAAUAACAAUCAUUCUUUAUUAAGACACAACAGAAAUUUGAAAGCUGGAACAAUGCAAUGCACGACAUUUCAGGACUUGCUAGAAAGUAUGUGCAAAUUUCUUUAGAUGAUUAAUUCAAGUUAUGCCAUCAAUUUUUAACUAAUUCAAACAUCGGAUAAUGUCUACAAAUUUUCUCUGUAGUGAAGUGCAAUUAAGAAGAACAUGUGCAUUGCUGAAUUUCUUUUCAGAAAAUACAAACUUGGAUUAGUUCAUCCCCCCUAAUUCUUCAUAUUGUGUUUAUUGAGCAUUAUUAAGUAGAAAGAUCAAGUUUUUGUGUUGUUGAAUUCUUAAAAUAAAAUUAGGUACGAUAGAUUCCUAGAGAAGUUUAGUCAGCUCAAUAGCAAUCUUUCAAUGAUUACUCUUAUUUUGAUAUAGUGCAAAACAUGCUUUGUCUAUGCGACUAAAAUACUUUUUCGAAAUUCUACCAAGAUCUAAGAAACUGUAACAAUACUCAACUCUCUUCAAAAAUGGUGAAUAUUGUAGUCGCCAGUUGUUUGAGCGAAAAGGGACCAUGCACAUGUUCAUUGCCAUUUAGAUACUCCAGCAGCCAAACAACAACUCCUGUGUACAUAAAUAAUAUGAUGCUGCCAAUCCACAUCUCAGUGCUCAAUGGUUUCAAGAAAAGCCACACAUCCUUCAUGACGUUUUCCUUCACUGGAACAAUCAUCCCUACUCCGGAUUCUGUGUAUGGUACAGUGAAGUCGACAUAUAAUGAUCUGUUGUAUCUUAUAGUAAUAUCUGCAACCGCUAUAUCAUAUUCCUGUAAUGACACUAGUCAGACUUUUAUAUUUGAGAAAAAAGUGAAUAACUAUAUUUUAUGAUUGACUAAACAAUAUAAGCCCAGUUGUCAACAAAGAGAAUAUCUUAGCAAUACAGACUUUUGGUUUGCUUUGGGAAAGAAAACUAGAGUGAGCAUUUAUGGUUAGCCUCCUUUUUUUCUAUACUUGAAGUAAUUGUGGCGUGAAAGUAGAACAAAACACUGGAAUGAAAAUGCAGAACAAAUUCAAUACAUGGUAAAAUAUUUGAGCUACUAGAGUUAUUUCUUCACAAUGAAAUGUAUGCAACUUUAGUUUUUUCACACGACAAAUUGAGAAAUUUCCUUUUGUAAAGUAUUUCUUACCUGAAGAUAAACAUGAUAGACAAAAUCGUUGUAGCUCCCUGUAUCAGUUGUGUCGAAUUCUAGGUACUCAUAGGAAAGUGGAAAAGGUAACCUUUUUACCGCCUCCUCAAAUAUAUCAAUGGUAAGGCCGCUCACUAUUGUUGCAUUUUUGACAGGAUCUUUGUAUGUCUUUAUAAACUCCGGAAUUUUGCUUGAGCGCACACCAACUCUAAGCUUCUUGCCAACGGCAGGAAUUUCCCAGCCCAUUGGUAUUUUGGUUGACUCUCCGGGCCAAAUUACAGGAUUUAGAUCAUGCAUUGGCUGUUGUCCUGUUUUUUUGAAGCCAUCUUGCUUUAACUGUCGUGAAAGUCCACUUUUCACAGUCCAAAACCCAAUUUCUCUCCAACCUCUUCCAACAACAUUUAUUAUCUGAAAAACAUAAGCUUUAUGUUGUUUUUUGUAUGUAAGGUCAAACUCACCACUGAAACCUUUGAACUUAUUUUGUACAAUUGUCUUUAAGAGUUCACGACCCUUAGUGGAAAUAGUCAUGGAUUCCAAGCAUGUGGAGUUUUUAAUGGACAAUAGUGGAUUAUUUGUGGUAUUGGAUACUCCAACCUUUUCUGCUGCUCGUGCCAAUGCCCAUAUUGCAUCAUAGCCCCAUAGCCCAACAAUGCUUAGUUUAUUGGAGGGUGAUUCAUCUGGGUUAUCCUGCAAGUACAUUUUGUUCCACCUUUUGGAUAAGUUAUCAAGUUCUUGCGAUCUAGAAACAUGAUACCUUACUCCAAGCACACCACUCAUUGCCUCAAUGACUCUUGGAUUGAGUGUGUCCAUGAUGUUUGCCACUCCACUUGUGGUAAUCCACGCAAAUCCUUGGUUCAUCAUCCCUAGCUCUUUCGCCUUCAUAAAAAGAAGGGAAGUCAUAGUGGAUGACAUAUGAACAAUAAAUACCCUUGUUUGCAUUGCCAUCAACUCAUUGAGUUUUUUUAUAAUGGUCUCACUUGUUGCCAAUGAAGGGAUGACACUGCGAUAUGGAACACGAACAUCAAUUUUUUGAAGUGCAUCAGUGAGGUAUGGUACAAUGCCUCUCCCAUAGUCAGUGUCAUCAUAUACUGCCACCACUUCUCUCCAUCCAUAGGCUUGUAUGAGCGAGGCAAUGCUAUUCACCUGUGCCGAGUCAUCCGGUGUCGCUCGUACAAAAUAUGGCAUACUAUCACAAGUGAGAGAGGGGCUUGUUGCUGUGAAUGAUACUAUGGGGACUUGGGUUAUAUUUCCAAGUUUGGAUAUGAACACAACUUCUGAUGAUUUCUGGGGACCAAUGAUGGCUUGCACUUUGUAAUUCUCUAGCAAUUCAAUAGCUUUGGGGAGGGCAGAACAAAGAAAAUGAUGGUCAAAUAAUAUAUAUGGAAUAAUCUGUAGUACUCAACAACAUAAUCAACUAUUUCAAAAUUGGAAAAAGGUUACCAAAACUUAGUUUUGGACCUUCCAGUUUUAUGAGUCAAUAUUCUAAUUUAAAAGCUUGCCUCUAUACUCCCCAGACAUAGCACAUAGCCAAAUAAUGUCACAAGAAGCUGAUAUUUGACAACACAAACAUGUCCAAGGAAAUACAAAAUCUGAACUCUUAUUAGGAAACACAAUAGGGAAAGAGACCCUACUACUUUUCCACAUAUAUUAAAAAUAUAAGGGUAAUAGGGUAACACCCAACAACUUCUUACUCCCUCGGAUCCAAAAUUAGUGUCGCAGUGUUGAACCGGGGUUAGUUUAAAACUGCGACACCUAUUAUGGAUCAUAGGUAGUAUUUGUUUUCCUCAUACUUGGAUGACCUGUAUGGACUUGGUUAGUGUUUUAUCUAUAAAGUGGGGCGAAAGCCUAUUUUCUGAACAAAUAGUGUAACACCAUGGAGAGAUAUUUACUCCUUCCGCCCCAAAAUACAUUCCAUAUUCGUUAGUCAAACUUCAUAUAGUUUGAGAUGUCAUUCUUCAGUGUCCCCCUUGUGCUCUGUAGGGCAACUCAGGCGGUGAGUUAGCUAUAUCUAUAAAGCAGGGUGAACGCCUAUUCUCUAAACUUUAUAAAGUUUGACUAAGUUUAUAGGGAAAUUAUAUCGGCAUUCACAAUACCAAAUCAAUAUUAUUAGAUCUAUAGUGAAAUAUAUUGCCAUAUUGUAUUUAUUUUGUAUUGCAAAUGUUUAUAUAUUUUGAAUAUAAUUUUAGUCAAACUUAACAAAUUUUAGCUUAAGACAAAACCAAUAUGCAAUGCAUUUUCGAACAGAGGGAUUACAAGCAUAUUGUAUUCAAAAUGCAAGAUACAAGUCAAAAGUAUGAACCCGCCCACUCAGAAAUGCCAGAUCCAAGUUUCUGAGGUAUUCUAACUAUUAGCAAACUUAUACAAAAUGGCAUGAGUAAAAUGUACUCAUUUCGUUGCACUUUUUCUAUGAAAAUGCACCUUGCAUUUCGUUACAUAGGUAGAAAGAACUCAUGUAUGUUGUUACCUCUCAUCUCACAACUGGUUCUAGAUUGUUAUGGAUGUUGGUUGCUGUGUAUUUUGACUUUUCGAUUUCAAACCUCGAACUUAAAUUUGAUAUUACGAUAUUCUAUUGAUAGUACAAAAUUACAAUCAGAAGAAAAUGCAUUUAAAUAGAGAUCUAAAUUCCAAUUGCAUCUAGAUUAUAUAACAUAAUCCAUGUAUUAUUGCAUUAAUUGUUGGUUGGUGCAUGUCUUUGUACAUGACAAGUAUGCCAUACGUUUUCCAUCGAGGUACUAAUUUUCUAUUUCCUAUGGAAUUAUAUCAUUAACUUGUGGAGCUUUUUUUAGCCGAAACAGUAGAACAAUUGUUCUACGAUAUUUUCAUAUAUAAUAAAAGUAUAAAUACAAAGUCACAAGUAUAGAUUAACCAAUGCCCGCUCUAGGAAACAUAAAUAAACAUAAUUAUUCUGGUCCUAACAUGUGAGUAACCCAGGUCCUGAUCUUGUCUAUCUUCUUUGGUUUAGCUCUUAGUUCUGAUGCCCAUAAACCCUCUUUGAGGUAGAACUUCCAUGUAUUGAGAUGAGGUGGUGCAUAUAUGAAGAUUUUGUCAUUCCUGACCGACCAUAAUCCCCAGCAGCCCAUGAUGAUUAUGUCGAAAGCAAUCUCUGAUGGCAAGGUGUUCAUGGCUAGUGAGAUUUCAUCAUGAGAUGAAACCCCUCUUUGUUUAUCUGGAAGAAUUGGAUCCCAACAUGCCAUGGCAAAUGGACAGUCCCAGAAAAGAUGCAGGGAUGUUUCUUCAGUGUGGUGUGAGCAUAGAGCACAAUUGUAGUCUGGCAGGUACUUGUUUUUAGCGACACAUUAACAACCAAGAGGUUCUAGUUUUUUGCUUAUAAAUUGAGAGUGUGGAGAGCUUGAACAUGUUUUAAUUUCAAUUUUGAGGCCAUACUAUAAUAGGGGAUUGCUUGAUUGAGUCAGUUAGGAGAAAUUAAUAUGUCACUCAAGAAUGGGGUUUCAACUAGAAAUAAACCACCUUCUUAAUUAAAAAACACCUUUUCUGUAUUGUGGUUUUCAUACAUAUUGCAUCUAGUCUAAGAUCUCUCAACUGUUCCCAACUAAACGGGAAGCAUCGGAAACAUCAUAUUUUCCAAUUAAAAAGAGAUGAUGGCUCGGUAGUAAAUGAUGCUGGAUUCAAACAUAACAUCACCAACUAUUAUAAGGGUUUGUUUGGUUCGUCUAAGCACAACAAUAUUAUGAUGUCUAAAGCUUUUGGGGAAGAUAUCCCUCAACUUUUCGUGGCAGAAAAUAAAUUCCUAGUGCUCCUUGCAUGAAAAGUGGGGUUUGGGAUGCUGUCUCUUGGAUAGGACAUAAUAAAGCCCUUGGACCGGAUGAAUUGCCGGCCGAGUUUAGGUAUUUUGGGAGGCAAUCAAAGUUGACUGAUGGAUCCGUUCCAUGCAUUUCAUAGCAAUGACCUACCACUGUGUAAUCUCAACUUUGGGGUGAUUAAAUCGCUUUCAAAAUUUAAAGAGGCCAUGUGAAUUCAGAGGCUUAGUAGUUUGCUACUAACAUUUGGCAAAAUUAAAAGCUGCCAACAUUUGGCAACCUUUAUGAGAUUGACAAUGAAAAGUGGUACCAACCAAUCUCUAGCCAAAAUUUGGCAGAUGCCAAAAUCUGGUAUGUCAACUUUUGGCGUCAAACCAAGUAGGUACUCAACACUUCAGACACAUUUGCAUGCUAAACAUGAGGUUCAAAGUAUUCACUAAAAUGGCAACACAUAGAAUAUUAAUCAGGCUGUUGAUCACGUGGUUCGUCCAACUCAAAUGAUAUUCAUUAAGGGUAGAAACAUUCUUGAAGAAAUUCUAUUUCUUCCUGAGACUGCUCGCGAACUCCAUCAUAUACGAGAGGAGUGAUUUUUAAAAUUGAUUUGACAAGGAGUACCAUAAAUUUAAGUGACCUUUUCUUCUCCAGACCCUCUAGAUGAAAGGAUCUUCACCAUCUUGCUGCAAGUUGGUGAAAAGGUUUAUAUCCGAUGGAAGUGUUGGCACCGAUGUUGCAAUAAUUUAGAGCCAUAUUCCUAAUAAAAAGGACCUAUGUCAGGGGAGUCCUCUUUCCCUCUCUUUUUUAAUGUAGUUGACCCAGAGAGCCAAGUCAGCGGAUCUUAUUAAUGGGAUGGUGCUUCAUGUGGUGGAUGGCGGAUUAUCUUUCUAUAAUACACGGAUGAUGCCAUCGUAUUUAUGGGUCUUGACAUCCUAAAGGCAAUGAAAGAUAACCCUAAAACUAGCUUGGUACAUUUGAGCAAUUAUCUGGUUUAGAUACUAUUUUCAUAAAAGUAAGAUAUUCUACUUCAACGAGCCGCAUGAAGCAGCUGAUCAGUACACUAGAAUGAGCGUCUAGAAAUGACUAGUAGUUGGAUAGUCAAGCAAUUUAUCUUUAGGGGAUAGGCUAGUCCUGAUCAAUUAGAUUCUUAGGCAAAUGUACAUGUACUAGAGACUAACGCGCGCUUCGCCGCGCCGUUCUUCACUCGUGAAAUUAACCUUUUUAUAUUUAUAGAUUAUUGUGAUCACUUGUUUUGUUUUGAUUUUUUCUGUGUUGGCUUUGUGUUUUAGUUUUCUAUUGGUGGUGUUGUUUUGUUCGUAUAUCGUGUUGGGUUGGUGUUGGAGUAUUUUUUCAAAAGAAGGGAGAAGUUAUUUGAGCAUAUUUGUGAAAUCUUUACACAUUUUGGCCUUGGUGUCAGCCCGUUGGUGAUUGUUUGAGCAUCUUGGGAGAUCUUAUUUCAUGUUAAACCCAUGGAAUUGCUACAGUCACACUCACAUGGGCCAGUACACGAAGUUCUUGCUCGCUCCGCUUGGCUUCCUGCACCUUUCGCUCGUUUAAUUUUUUUCCCUCACCCCACUGCUAGCUCAGAAAAAAUCGCCUAUCUUUUUUUAUUUAAAAAGGUUAGUUAAAUUAAAUGAUGUUUAAAGAACUUUAAAAAUAUUAUACUUUAAAAAACCAUGAAUUUUAGAAACAUUCAUGAAUUUAAAAUAUAUUCAUGACUUAAAAAAUGCUCGCAAAAUAAAAAGUUUUCAAAUUUAAAAAAUGUUCACAAACUUUAAAUGACCAUGACUCUAAAAAUAUCCACACAAAUUUAAUCAAUAUUAAUGAAUUUGAAUAUUUUAAAAAUAUUUUUAUGUUUUUUCAAGUAGAUAAGUUUUAAUAAGUGCUCAUGAAUUAAAACAUGAAGAAAAACUAAAAAAGAGAAGAAGAAAUAAAACUAAAUAACACACACUUAUGCGUGGGGCCUUAGUGACCCCACAACCCUUGAAGCACCAGAACGCUUCAAUUUAAGGGAGCUUAGUAUCUCUAUAGAUACGAUCUCUUUCUUAGGCCAAUUUUUAUAUCUACGAAGUACGGAGUAGUAGCAAAUAAAAUCCUUUGAUAUUUCUGAAUCCUGACAACGUGACAUACUGCCUAGUGCAUGCACACAUACAUACCUGCUGAUGCGGCCUUGAUGUCACUGCCCAUGGAGUCCCUAAUGUGGAGAACAAGCUUGGUGCUGUAGUUCCGGUGGGCCGCGUAGAAGUCUUGAACGGCCAGCAAAACGCUGGCUCGCGCCACCUUUCCUACCGGCGAUCCCAGGUCGAGGAUCACCCCGACAUGGAAUCCAUCUGCUUUGCCGGUGGUGUUCUGGGCAAUGCCGAAAUCGACAGCGAGUAACAGGAAGAGGACGAUGGCUCCGCUUGCUCUCUCCAUCACACUUUUCUUGUGCUGAGAUGCACUAAUUGCACCCUCUUAUAUAUAGGAGUAUGCAUCAAGGAUGACGCUGGUGGUCAAACUGGGAGUAGCGACUGACUGGAGUGAAUUGCAGAAAACCACCACAUUUGGGAUUAGCUUUGCGAAAAACUACCUAGUUCCUAAUUAUUUGCAAAACGCACCGCAGAUUUAGUAAACUUGUUGCAAAUAGCACUGAUGAGGUGAUCUGGCCCCUUUGAUCACUUUCUGACAAGUGGGGUCAGAUUGUAAGAAGCUGACUUGGCAAAGUUUUGACAUACAGACCCCUGGAUCUAAAAAGAAAAAGCAAUCAGAGCCCCCUGCUUCGACCCCGUCUGGAUCGGGAGAGUCAGAACCCCCGAGCUACCCACCCCCUGCGCCACUCCGACGACCUCGUCGCCGGCGACCACCGCUGCCCUGUCUACCAUCUCCUUCCUCCUACCUUUUCUUUUCUUCUCCACCGCUGCCUCGUCUACCAUCGGCGACGGCCGGAAAGGCGAGAGGGUAAGGCCGCGUUGGCCGGGAUUGACGACGCGGGUUGCCAUGGCUGUGGAUCUCGCCGUCGCGCGCACGGACCCGUGACGCGCGCAGAGAGAGGAGAGGAGGAGGCGUUCCCCGGCGAGGCCGACCUCCUCGGCGCAGACGGCCGCGCAGUGGAGGAGGUCCCUGCGAAGAGCUCCUCGACAAUACCGGUCAGGUCGGGCCCGUGCGCCGCCGCGUGGUUGGAGCUGGGCGGUUGGUCGGCCAUGGCCUCGGCCGUGCUUGGAGAGCAGCAGGGGAUACAGGUCGCCACGGAUUCCGAUGCCGUCGACAUGGCCGUGGUUGCCAGCGGCUGGGCUAGGUAGGGGCGACGUGCGGGUCAUCCCAGAGGAGAAGGAAAGAAAAAUGGGAGGAGGAUGGCGGGGCAGCGGUGGUCGCCGGCGUGCUUGUCGGUUGCGGCGAGGUCGCCGGCGUGCUUGUCGGCUGCGACGAGGUCGCCGGCCCUCCGCCCAGCGCGUCGCUCCAGCGUCGCCGGCCAAGCAGCGCGGCGGAGGCCAUGAACCCGACGCCGAGCGCGCCUCUGCCUGAGGGGUGGGGGCUGAUUGCUUUUCUGUUUUAGAUCAAGGGGUGUGGGUGUAAAUUUUUUGCUCUUACAAUCUGCACUUGUCAGAAAGUGAUCAAACGGUCCAGAUCACCUCAUCAGUGCUAUUUGCAACAAGUUUACCGAGUCCGCGAUGCGUUUUGCAAAUAAUUAGGGACUAGGUAGUUUUCCGCAAAGCUAACCCCAAAUGUGAUGGUUUUCUGUAAUUCACUCGACUGGCUGAUUUGUGACAGGUUAGUUGUUUAACCUUGGUCACUGGACUUUGGGGUGUGUUCUAUUCGCGGCCAAACUACGGGAAAUUCAAGCGGAGUUGCCUCUGGAUAAAUGAAUUCUCGCAUGCAUGAGACGACAAGAGGGAUCAAAGAUACACGGUACGAAUCGGUCCAUGGUACCUGUGCGCACACGUUCAACGCGGAUUGACUUUGAUCCUUAAUUUGUCUGCGCAUACGAGUGAUCUUUUUAAAUCUGUGCAAUCACUAUAAAAGUCGUCAAUCAAGAAUUAUAAGUUCCUAAACACCAUCAGAGGUGGGCGACGAUUGGGAGGAACCGAUACACCAUGAUGCCAUGAAUCACUUAAAAAAUAAACGUAUCCGUUCCGUUGCAAAGAACCUUGAACCUGACCUCGCGGGGGUAGAUGUGUGUGAUGUGAAUGGUGUUGGUCGUCCCGUCUACCUUUACACACAUAGGACAUGAUGUUUGGUGAGGCAGACCCGGUGCACAAUUCUAUCCAAUGUCCAGCACAGGUUCUGGAGGGCCAUGUGAACAGCUUGAAUUUGAGAGGGGCCCACAGAUUCCACGCCAACAUGUGCCACUUGCGAGCAAGACCAUGCCAUUGAAGACCGGGCGAUAGCCUAUCACGCAGGAGUGCAACUGAUGUCCUAUAAGUGCACAUGGUUGAGUUGUAGCCUUUUCGAUGUAAAAGCAUCGAUUCAAGAGAGAGCUUUAGAAAAUGAUAAUUAACUCGUAUAGAGGUUUAUCAGAAUGUAGCUAUAAGCUAAUUGCGAUCCAAAGCAAAAACAAUGACGAGGUGAAAAUACUGCAAGAGCGCGUUGCUGGGAACCGUAGCGUGCAAUUUAAAAAAAAUUCCUACGUCCAAGCAAGAUCUAUCUAGGAGAUGCAUAGCAACGAGAAUGGGAUAGUGUGUCCACAUACCCUCGUAGACCGAAAGCGGAAGCGUUUGAUAACGCGGUUGAUGUAGUCGAACUUCUUCUAGAUCAAACGGAUCAAGUACCGAACGUACGACACCUCCGAGUUCUGCACACAUUCAGCUUGAUGACGUCCCUCGAACUCUUGAUCCAGCAAAGUGUCGAGGGAGGGUUCCGUCAGCACGACGACAUGGUGACGGUAAUGAUGAAAUGAUCCAUGCAGGGCUUCGCCUAAGCACUACGAAGAUAUGACCGGAGGCGUAAACUGUGGAGGGGGACGCCGCACAUGGCUAACAAUUGUUGGUGUGUGUUCUAGCAGUGGUCCCCCAUCAUAUAUACAGGUUGGAGGGGAGGAAAGGCAGCCAAGGGGGCGCCCCAAGUAGGAGGAAUCCUACUUGGGCACCUCCCAAUUCCCUCCCCCCUUUCCUAUACCUAUUCGGAGUAGGAAGAGAAGAGGGGGAAGGGGGAAUCCUAUUCAUUUUUCCUUUCAUGCUUCCCCUUUCCUUCUCCAAUUUGGCCAGCCCAUAUUGAAGGGGGGGGGGGGCACCAGCCUCUUUGUGGCUGGUGUGUUUCCUCGGUAUUGUUGGAUGAAGCGGCCCGGACCAACCUUAUAUGACCACGUUCAUGAGACCGGUUCCACCGACAGACAUGCAACUAGUUUUGCAUAAAGGUGGCUGGCGGGUGUGUGUUUCUCCAACUCUAGUUGAAUCAAAUUUGACCGCGGCCGGUCCUUGUGAAGGUUAAAACAACAAACUUGAUAAAUCACCGUUGUGGUUUUUGUGUCGUAGGUAAGAACGGUUCUUACUAGAAGCCCGUAGCAGCCACGUAAAACUUGCAACAACAAAGUAGAGGACGUCUAACUUGUUUUUGCAGGGCAUGUUGUGAUAUACGUUAUUGUAUGAGAUGAUCAUGUUUUGUAAAAGUUAUCGGCAGCUGGAAGAAGCCUUAUGGCUGUCGCUUUAUUGUAUGAAAUACAACCGCCAUAUAAUUGCUUUACUUUACCAAUACGCGGUAAUGAUAGUCGUAGAAGCAAUAGUUGGCAAGACGAUGACGCUACGAUGGAGAUCGAGGUGUCAAGCCGGUGACGAUGGAGAUCAUGAUGUUGCUUUGGUGAUGAAGAUCAAAAGCACAAGAUGAUGAUGGCCAUAUCAUGUCACAUAUUUUGAUUGCAUGUGAUGUUUAUCUUUUUGCAUCUUAUUUUGCUUAGUACGGCGGUAGCAUUAUAAGAUGACCCCUUAACUAAAUUUCAAGGUAUAAGUGUUCUCCCCGAGUAUGCACCGUUGUGAAAGUUUUUUGUGGUGAGACACCACGUGAUGAUCGAGUGUGAUAAGCUCUACGUUUAAAUACAGCGGGUGCAAGUCAAUUUUGCACAUGCGGAAUACCCGGGUUAAACUUGACGAGCCUAGCAUGUACAAACAUGGCCACAGAACACUGGAGACCGAAAGGUCGAACGUGAAUCAUAUAGUGGAUAUGAUCAACAUAGAGAUGUUCACCAUUGAUGACUACUCCAUCUCACGUGAUGAUCGGACAUGGUUUAGUUGAUUUGGAUCACGUAUCAUUUAGAUGACUUGAGGGAUGUCUAUCUAAGUGGAAGUUCUUAAGUAAUAUGAUUAAUUGAACUUAAUUUAUCAUGAACUUAGUCCUGAUAGCUUUUGCAUAUCUAUGUUGUAGAUCAAUGGCCCGUGCUAUGUUCCCUUGAAUUUUAAUGCAUUCCUAGAGAAAGGUAAGUUGAAAGAUGAUGGUAGCAACUACACAGACUGGGUGCAUAACUUGAGGAUUAUCCUCAUUGUUGCACAAAAGAAUUAUGUCCUUGAUGCACCACUAGGUGUACCACCCGCCCCAACAACUGCAGACAUUGUGAAUGCCUGGCAGUCGCGUGUUGAUGACUACUCGUUAGUUCAAUGUGUCAUGCUUUACGGCUUAGAAUCGAGACUUCAAAGACAUUUUGAACGUCAUGGACCAUAUGAGAUGUUUCAGAAGUUGAAGUUAAUAUUUCAAUCAAAUGCCCGAGUUGAGAGAUAUGAAGUCUCCAACAAGUUCUAUAGCUGCAAAAUGGAGGAGAACGAGUUCUGUUAGUGAGCACAUACUCAGAAUGUCUGGGUACCAUAAUCGCUUGACUCAGCUAGGAGUUAAUCUUCCAGAUGAUUGUGUCAUUGCCAAAGUUCUUCAAUCACUGCCACCAAGCUACAAAGGCUUCGUGAUGAACUACAAUAUGCAAGGGAUGGAAAAGACUAUUCCCGAGCUCUUCGCAAUGCCAAAGGCUACGGACGUAGAAAUCAAGGAGCAUCAAGUGUUGAUGGUUAACAAGACCACUAGUUUCAAGAAGAAGGGCAAGGGUAAGAAGGGGAACUUCAGAAAUAAUGGCAAGCAAGUUGUCACUCCCGAGAAGAAACCCAAAACCGGACCCAGGCUUGAAACUGAGUGCUUCUACUGCAAAGGGACUGGUCACUGGAAGCGGAACUGCCCCAAGUAUUUGGCGGAUAAGAAGGAUGACAAAGUGAACGAAGGUAUAUUUGAUAUACAUGUUAUUGAUGUGUACCUUACAAAUUCUCGUAGUAGUGCCCGGGUAUUUGAUACCGGUUCGGUUACUCAUAUUUGUAACUCGAAACAGGAACUACGGAUUAAACAAAGAUUGGCUAUGGAUGAGGUGACAAUGCACAUCGGGAAUGGUUCCAAGGUCGAUGUGAUCUCCGUCGGCACGCUAACUCUACAUACCUUCGGGAUUAGUUUUAGACCUGAAUAAUUGUUAUUUGGUGCCAGCGUUGAGCAUGAACAUUAUAUCUGAACUUGUUUACUGCGAGACGGUUAUUCAUUUAAGUCAAAGAAUAGUGCUUGUUCUAUUUAUAUGAAUAAUAUCUUUUAUGGUCAUACACCCUUGAAGAGUGGUCUAUUUCUGUUGAAUCUCGAUCGUGGUGAUAACAUAUUCAUAAUAUUGACAAAAGAUGCAAAGUUGAUAGUGAUAGUGCAACUUAUUUGUGGCACUGCCGUUUGGGUCAUAUCGGUGUAAAGCGCAUGAAGAAACUCCAUGCAGAUGGACUUUUGGAAUCACUUGAUUAUGAAUCAUUUGAUAAUUGCGAACCGUGCCUUAUGGGCAAGAUGACUAAAACUUCGUUCUCUGGAACAAUGGAACGAACUAAUGACUUAUUGGAAAUAAUACAUACCGAUGUAUGUGGUCCGGUGAGUGUUGAGGCUCGUGGCGGGUAUCGUUAUUUCUGACCUUCACAGAUGAUUUAAGAAGAUAUGGGUAUAUCUACUUAAUGAAACACAAGUCUGAAACAUUUGAAAAGUUCAAAGAAUUUCAGAGUGAAGUGGAGAAUCAUCAUAACAAGAAAAUAAAUUUUCUAUGAUCUGAUCGUGGAGGUGAAUAUUUGAGUUACGAGUUUGGCCUUCAUUUAAAACAAUGUGGAAUAGUUUCACAACUCACGCCACCGGGAACACCACAUCGUAAUGGUGUGUCUGAACAUCAUAACUGCACUUUAUUAGAUAUGGUGCGAUCUAUGAUGUCUCUUACCGAUUGACCACUAUUGUUUUGGGGUUAUGCAUUAGAGACAACUGCAUUCAUGUUAAACAUGUCAUUGUCAAAAUCCGUUGAGACGACACCGUAUGAACUGUGGUUUGGCAACAAACCUAAGCUGUCAUUUCUUAAAGUUUGGGGAUGCGAUGCUUAUGUCAAAAGGCUUGAGCCUGAUAAGCUCGAACCCAAAUCGGAGAAGUGCGUCUUCAUAGGAUACCCUAAGGAAACAAUUGGUACACCUUCUACCACAGAUCUGAAGGCAAGAUCUUUGUUGCCAAGAAUGGAACCUUUCUAGAGAAGGAGUUUCUCUCGAAAGAAGUGAGUGGGAGGAAAGUAGAACUUGAUGAGGUAAUUGUACCUUCUCUCAAUUUGGAAAGUAGCGCAUCCGAGAAAUCCGUUCCCGUGAUGCCUACACCAACUGGAGAAUAAGCUAAUGAUAAUGAUCAUGAAACUUCAGAUCAAGUUGCUAUAGAACCUCGUAGGUCAAGCAGAGCACGGUCCGCACCUGAGUGGUAUGGUAAUCCUGUUCUGGAAGUAAUGUUACUUGACCAUGAAGAACCUACGAACUAUGAAGAAGCUAUGAUGAGCCUAGAUUCAGAUAACUGGCUUGAGGCCAUGAAAUCUGAGAUAGGAUUCGUGUAUGAGAACAAAGUGUGGACUUUGGUGGAUUUGCCCGAUGACCGGCAACCCAUAGAGACUAAAUGGAUCUUCAAGAAGAAGACUGACGCUGAUGGUAAUGUUACUGUCUAUAGAGCUCGACUUGUCGCAAAAGGUUUUCGACAAGUUCAAGGAGUUGACUACGAUGAGACUUUCUCACUCGUAGCGAUGCUUAAGUCUGUCCGAAUCAUGUUAGCAAUUGCCGCAUUUUAUGAUUAUGAAAUCUGGCAAAUGGAUGUCAAAAUUGCAUUCCUUAAUGGAUUUCUUAAAGAAGGGUUGUAUAUGAUGCUACCAGAAGGUUUUGUCGAUCCUAAAUGUUCUAACAAAGUGUGCAAGCUCCAGCGAUCCAUUUAUGGACUGGUGCAAGCAUCUCGGAGUUGGAAUAUCUGCUUUGAUGAGGUGAUCAAAGCAUAUGGUUUUAUACAGACUUUUGGAGAAGCCUGUAUUUACAAGAAAGUGAGUGGGAGCUCUAUAGCAUUUCUAAUAUUAUAUGUGGAAGACAUAUUGUUGAUUGGCAAUGAUGUAGAAUUUCUGGAUAGCAUAAAAGGAUACUUGAAUAAAAGUUUUUCUAUGAAAGACCUAGGUGAAGCUGCUUAUAUAUUGGGCAUCAAGAUCUAUAGAGAUAGAUCAAGACGCUUGAUAGGACUUUCAUAAAGCACCUACCUUGAUGAAGUUUAUGAAAAAGUUCAAAAUGGACCAGUCAAACAAAGGGUUCUUGCCUGUGUUACUAGGUGCGAAGUUGAGUCAGACUCAAUGUCCGACCAUUGCAGAAGAUAGAGAGAAAAUGAAAGAGAUUCCCUAUGCCUCAGCCAUAGGUUCUAUCAUGUAUGCUAUGCUGUGUACCAAACUUGAUGUGUGCCUUGCUAUAAUUUUAGCAGGGAGGUACCAAAGUAAUCUAGGAGUGGAUCACUGGGCAACAGUCAAGAACAUCCUGGAGUACCUGAAAAGGACUAGGGAUAUGUUUCUCGUUUAUGGAGGUGACAAAGAGCUUGUCGUAAGUGGUUAUGUCGAUGUUAGAUUUGACACUGAUCCGGAUGACUCUAAGUCACAAUCCGGAUACGUAUUUUUAUUGAAUGGUGGAGCUGUCAGUUGGUGCAGUUCCAAGCAGAGCGUCGUGGUGGGAUCUACGUGUGAAGCGGAGUACAUAGCUGCUUCGGAAGCAACAAAUGAAGGAGUCUGGAUGAAGGAGUUCAUAUCCGAUCUAGGUGUAAUACCUAGUACAUCGGGUCCAAUGAAAAUAUUUUGUGACAAUACUGGAGCAAUAGCCUUGGCGAAGGAAUCCAGAUUUCACAAAAGGACCAUACACAUCAAGAGACGCUCCAACUCCAUCUGAGAUUUGGUCAAGGAGGGAGACAUAGAGAUUUGCAAAAUACAUACAGGUCUGAAUGUGGCAGACCCAUUGACUAAGCCUCUUCCACGAGCAAAACAUGAUCAAUACCAAGACUCCAUGGGUGUUAGAUUCAUUACAAUGUAAUAUAGAUUAUUGACUCUAGUGCAAGAGGGAGACUGAAGGAAAUAUGCCCUAGAGGCAAUAAUAAAUUUGUUAUUUUAUAUUUCCUUAUUCAUGAUAAAUGUUUAUUAUUCAUGCUAGAAUUGUAUUAACUGGAAACUUGAUACAUGUGUGAAUACAUACACAAAACACCAUGUCCCUAGUAUGCAUCUACUUGACUAGCUCAUUGAUCAAAGAUGAUUAAGUUUCCUAGCCAUGGACAUGUGUUGUCAUUUGAUGAACGGGAUCACAUCACUAGUAGAAUGAUGUGAUGGACAAGACCCUUCUGUUAGCUUAGCAUAAUGAUCAUUCAGUUUUAUUGCUACUGCUUUCUUCAUGUCAACUAUAUAUUCCUCCGACUAUGAGAUUAUGCAACUCCCGGACACCGGAGGAAUGCCUUGAGUGCUGUAAAAUGUCACAACGUAACUGGGUGAUUAUAAAGAUGAUCUACAGGUAUCUCCGAAGGUGUUUGUUGGGUUGGCAUAGAUCGAGAUUAGGAUUAGUCACUCCGAGUAUCGGAGAGGUAUCUCUAGGCCCUCUCAGUAAUGCACAUCAUAUGAAGCCUUGCAAGCAAUGUGACUAAUGAGUUAGUUACAGGAUGAUGCAUUACAGAAUGAGUAAAGAGACUUACAGGUAACGAGAUUGAACUAGGUAUGAAGAUACCGAUGAUCAAAUCUCGGGCAAGUAACACACCGAUGACGAAGGGAAUAACGUAUGUUGACAUUGCGGUUCGACCAAUAAAGAUCUUUGUAGAAAAUGUGUGAACCAAUAUGAGCAUUUAGGUUCCAUAAUUGGUUAUUUACGGGAGAGGUGUCUCGGUCAUGUCUACAUAGUACUCGAACUUGUAGGGUCCGCAUGCUUAACGUUCGAUGAGAUAUGUAUUAUAUGAGUUAUGUGUUUUGGUGACCGAAGGUUGCUCAGAGUCCCGGAUGAGAUCACAGACAUGACGAGGAGUCUCAAAAUGGUUGAGAGGUAAAGAUUGAUAUAUUGUAAGGUAGUAUUCACACACCCGAAGGGUUCCGGAAUGUGUCGGGUACAUAUCGGAGUACCGGAGCGGUUAGUGGAACCCCCCGGGGAAAGAUAUGGGCCAUAUGGGCCAUAGGAGGGAGGCAAACCAGCCGACAUAGGUGUGCCGUGCCCCCCCCCCCCAAGUGAGGAGUCUGAAUUGGACUAGGGGAGGAGGCUGCGCCCCCCUUUCCUUCUCCUUCUCCCACUCCUUCCCCCUUUCCCCCUCCGAUAAAAGGAAGGGGGGCUGAAUCCUACUAGGAGCCCAAGUGGGACUCCUCCCACUUGGGGCGCGCCUAGGGCCGGCCUCUCUCCCUCCCUCCUUUAUAUAUGGGGGGGGGGACUAGAGGACACAUAAUUGUUUCUAGCCGUGCCUCUCGACCAUUUCAUGACUCAUCGUCAUGUCCGUGAUCUCAUCCGGGACUCCGAACAACAUUGGGUCACCAAAUCACAUAACUCAUAUAAUACAAAAUCGUCAUCGAACGUUAAGCGUGCGGACCCUACGGGUUCGAGAACUAUGUAGGCAUGACCGAGACACCUCUCCAGUCAAUAAACAAUAGCGGAACCUGUAUGCUCAUAUUGGCUCCCACAUGUUCUAUGAAGAUCUUUAUGUCAAACCAUUAUGACAACAUAUGUUAUUCCCUUUGUCAUCGAUAUGUUACUUGCCCGAGAUUUGAUUGUUGGUAUCUUCGUACCUAGUUCAAUCUCGUUACCGGCAAGUCUCUUUACUCGUUCCGUAAUACAUCAUCCUGCAACUAACUCAUUAGUCACUUUGCUUGCAAGGCUUCUUAUGAUGUGCAUUACCGAGAGGGCCCAGAGAUAUCUCUCCGAUACUCGGAGUGACAAAUCCUAAUGUCGAUCUAUGCCAACCCAACAAACACCUUCGGAGAUACCUGUAGAGCAUCUUUAUAAUCACCCAGUUACAUUGUGACGCUUGAUAGCACACAAGGCAUUCCUCUAGUAUUCGAGAGUUGCAUAAUCUCAUAGUCAAAGUAAUAUGUAUAUGACAUGAAGAAAGGUAUAGCAAUAAAACUGAACGAUCAUUAUGCUAAGCUAACAUAUGGGUCUUGUCCAUCACAUCAUUCUCCUAAUGAUGUGAUCCCGUUCAUCAUAUGACAACACAUAUCCAUGGUUAGGAAACUUAACCAUCUUUGAUUAACGAGCUAGUCUACUAGAGGCUUACUAGGGACACAGUGUUUUGUCUAUGUAUCCACAUAUGUAUCAAGUUUCCGAUUAAUACAAUUCUAGCAUGAAUAAUAAACAUUUAUCAUGAUAUAAGGAAAUAUAAAAUAACAAUUUUAUUAUUGCCUCUAGGGCAUAUUUCCUUUAGUCUCCCACUUGCACUAGAAUUAAUAAUCUAGUUCACAUCGCCAUGUGAUUUAACACCAAUAGUUCACAUCACCAUGUGAUUAACGCCUAUAGUUCACAUCGCCAUGUGACCAACACCCAAAGGGUACUAAGGAGUGAUCAUGUUUUUCUUGUGAGAGAAGUUUAGUUAACAGGCCUGUCACAUUCAGAUCCAUAUGUAUUUUGCAAAUUUCUAUGUCUACAAUGCUCUACGUGGAGCUACUCUAGAUAAUUGCUCCCACUUUCAAUAUGUAUCCAGAUUGAGACUCAGAGUCAUCCAGAUCGGUGUUAAAGCUUGCAUCGACGUAACUCUUUAUGAUGAACUCUUUAUCACCUCCAUAACCGAGAAAUAUUUCCUUAGUCCUCUAAGGAUAAUUUUGACCACUGUCCAGUGAUCUACUCCUGGAUCACUACUACACCCUUUGCCAAACUCAUGGCAAGGUACACAAUAGGUCUGGUAUACAGCAUGUCAUACUUUAUAGAACCUAUGGCUGAGGCAUAGAUAAUGACUUUAAUUCUCUCUCUAUCUUCUGCCCUGGUCAGAUUUUGAGUAUAACUCAACUUCAUACCUUACAACUCAGGCAAGAAAUCCUUCUUUGACUGAUCCAUUUUGAACUCCUUCAAAAUCUUAUCAAGGUAUGUACUCAUCGAAAGUCUUAUCAAGCAUCUUGGUAUAUCUUUAUAGAUCUUGAUGCCCAAUAUGUAAGUAGCUUCACCGAGGUAUUUCUUUGAAAAACUUCUUUCAAACACUCCUUUAUGCUUUCCAGAAAAUUCUGCAUCAUUUCUGAUCAAUAAUAUGUCAUUCACAUAUACUUAUCAGAAAGGCUGUAGUGCUCCCACUGACUCUUUUUGUAAAUAUAGGCUUCACCGCAAGUUUGUAUAAAACUAUAUGCUUUGAUCAACUUAUCAAAGCGUAUAUUCCAACUCCGAGAUGCUUGCACCAGUCCAUAGAUGGAUUGCUGGAGCUUGCACACUUUGUUAGCACCUUUAGGAUUGAGAAAACCUUCUGGUUGCAUCAUAUACAACUCUUCUUUAAUAAAUCCAUUAAGGAAUGCAGUUUUGACAUCCAUUUGCCAGAUUCCAUAAAAUGUGGCAAUUGCUAACAUGAUUCAGGCAGACUUUAAGCAUCGAUACGAGUGAGAAAAUCUCAUCGUAGUUAACACCUUGAACUUGUCAAAAACCUUUUGCGACAAUUCGAGCUUUGUAGAUAGUAGCACUACCAUCAGCGUCCAUCUUCCUCUUGAAGAUCCAUUAAUUCUCAAUGGUUUGACGAUCAUUGGGCAAGUCCACCAAAGUCCACACUUUGUUCUUAUAUAUGGAUCCUAUCUCAGAUUUCAUGGCCUCAAGCCAUUUAUCGGAAUCUGGGCCCAUCAUCGCUUCCUCAUAGUUCGUAGGUUUGUGAUGGUCUAGUAACAGGACUUCCAGGAUAGGAUUACAGUACCACUCUGGAGCUGCAUUGCUGCUUGAUCGGUGGGGAGGAAGGUCUCAAAGUAUGGGGCAAAGGAUCAAGCGCUUUGACUUUGCUUUGUCCCCCGGGAUCCACCACAGGUUGGGUUUGAGAGCCGGGAUAUACAUCCCAUAUACUGGAUCAACUAAAGACUCUGGGAUUCCAUCAAGCCACUACUACAUCGAUUUUGUUAGGAAUCGAGGAUCUUUUAACAAUAGCCUCUAUUGCGGAACGUGCUCUGGUUGACCUACGAGGUUUGGUAGUAACUCGAUCUAAAGUUUCAUGAUCAUCAUCAUUAGCUUCCUCUCUAGUUGGUGUAGGCAUCACGGGAACAGAUUUCACUGAUGUGCUACUUUCCAAAUCGAGAGAAGGUACAAUUACCUAUCAAGUUAUACUUUCCUUCCACUCACUUCUUUCAAGAGAAACUCCUUCUCUAGAAAGGAUCCAUUCUUAGCAACAAAGAUCUUGCCUUCGGAUCUGUGAUAGAAGGUGUACCCAACAGUUUAUUUUGGAUAUCCAAUGAAGAUGCACUUCUCCGAUUUUGGUUCGAGCUUAUCAGGUUGAGGCUUUUUCACAUAAGCAUCGCAACCCCAAACUUUAAGAAACGACAGCUUAGGUUUCUUGCCAAAACACAGUUCAUACGGUGUCAUCUCAAUGGAUUUAAACAGUGCCCUUUUUAAAGUGAAUGCAGCUGUCUCUAAUGCAUAACCCCAAAAUGAUAGUGGUAAAUUGGUAAGAGACAUCAUAGAUCGCACCAUAUCUAAUAAAGUACGGUCACGACAUUCAGACACACCAUUACGCCAUGGUGUUCAAGGUGGCGUGAGUUGUGAAACUAUUCCAUAUUGUUUUAAAUGAAGGCCAAACUCGUAACUCAAAUAUUCACCUCCACGAUCAGAUCAUAGAAAAUUUAUUUUCUUGUUAUGAUGAUUCUCCACUUCACUCUGAAAUUCUUUGAACUUUUCAAAUGUUUCAGACUUGUGUUUCAUUAAGUAGAUAUACCCAUAUCUUCUUAAAUCAUCUGUGAAGGUCAGAAAUAAUGAUACCCGCCACGAGCCUCAACACUCACCGGACCACAUACAUCGGUAUGUAUUAUUUCCAAUAAGUCAUUAGUUCGUUCCAUUGUUCCAGAGAACGAAGUUUUAGUCAUCUUGCCCAUAAGGCACGGUUCGCAAUUAUCAAAUGAUUCAUAAUCAAGUGAUUCCAAAAGUUCAUCUACAUGGAGUUUCUUCAUGUGCUUUACACCGAUAUGACCCAAACGGCAGUGCCACAAAUAAGUUGCACUAUCACUAUCAACUUUGCAUCUUUUGGCAUCAAUAUUAUGAAUAUGUGUAUCACCACGAUCGAGAUUCAAUAAACCAUUUACAUUGGGUGUAUGACCAUAGAAGGUUUUAUUCAUGUAAAUAGAUCAAUAAUUAUUCUCUGACUUAAAUGAAUAACCGUAUCGCAAUAAACAAGAUCUAAUCAUAUUCAUGCUCAACGCAAACACCAAAUAACAUUUAUUUAGGUCCAACACUAAUCCCGAAGGUAGAGGGAGUGUGUGAUGGUGAUCUUAUCAACCUUGGAAUCACUUCCAACACACAUCAUCACCUUGCCCUUAACUAGUCUUUGUUCAUUUUGCAACUCCUGUUUCGAGUUACUAAUCUUAGCAACCAAAGCGGUAUCAAAUACCCUGGGGUUAAUAUGAACACUAGUAAAGUACACAUUAAUAACAUGUACAUCAAAUAUACCUUUGUUCACUUUGCCAUCCUUCUUAUUCGCCAAGUAUUUGGGGUAGUUUUGCUUCUGGUGACCAUUCCCUUUGCAGUAGAAGCACUCAGUUUUAGGCUUAGGUCUAGCUUUGGGCUUCUUCAUGGGAGUGGCAACUUGCUUGUCAUUCUUGAAAUUCCCUUUCUUUCCCUUUUCCCUCUUCUUGAAACUAGUGGUCUUGUUAACCAUCAAAAAUUGAUGCUCUUUCUUGAUUUCUACCUUCGUCAAUUUCAGCAUCACGAAGAGCUCGGGAAUCGUUUUUGUCAUCCCUUGCAUAUUAUAGUUCAUCACAAAGUUCCUGUAAUUUGGUGAUAGUGACUAGAGAACUCUAUCAAUCACUAUCUUAUCUGGAAUAUUAACUCCCACUUGAUUCAAGUGAUUGUAGUACUCAGACAUUCUGAGCACAUGCUCACUGGUUGAGCUAUUCUCCUCCAUUUUGUAGGCAAAGUACUUGUCAGAGGUCUCAUACCUCUUGACUCGGGCAUGAGUCUGAAAUACCAAUUCCAACUCUUGGAACAUCUCAUAUGCUCCGUGGUGUUCAAAACAUUUUUGAAGUACCGAUUCUAAGCCGUAAAGCAUGGCACACUAAACUAUCAAGUAGUCAUCAUAUCGAGCUUGUCAAACGUUCGGAACGUCUACAUAUGCUCGUGCAAUAGGUCUGUCACCUAGCGGUGCAUCAAGGACAUAAUUUUUUUGUGCAACAAUGAGGAUAAUCCUGAGAUUACGGACCUAGUCCGCAUCAUUCCUACUAUCAUCUUUCAACUUAUUUUUCUCUAGGAACAUAUAAAAAACAUAGGGGAGCUACAACGCGAGCUAUUGAUCUACAACAUAAUUUGCAAAUACUAUCAGGACUAAGUUCAUGAUAAAUUAAUGUUCAAUUAAUUAAAUUACUUAAGAACUCCCACUUAGAUAGACAUCCCUCGAGUCAUCUAAAUGAUCACAUGAUCCAAAUCAACUAAACCAUGUCCGAUCAUCAUGUGAGAUGGAGUAGUCUUCAAUGGUGAACAUCUCUAUGUUGAUCAUAUCUACUAUAUGAUUCACGUUCGACCUUUCGGUCUCCAGUGUUUCGAGGCCAUGUCUGUACAUGCUAGGCUCGUCAAGUUUAAUCUGAGUAUUCCGCAUGUGCAAAAGUGUCUUGCACCCGUUGUAUGUGAACAUAGAGCCUAUCACACUCGAUCAUCACGUGGUGUCUCAGCACAAAGAACUUUCGCAAUGGUGCAUACUCAGAGAGAACACUUAUACCUUGAAAUUUAGUUAAGGGAUCAUCUUAUAAUGGUACCUCCAUACUAAGAAAAAUAAGAUGCGCAAAAAGAUAAACAUCACAUGCAAUAAAAAUAUGUGACAUGAUAUGGCCAUCAUCAUCUUGUGCUUUUGAUCUCCAUCUUCAAAGCACCGUUAUGAUCUCCAUCGUCACCGACUUAACACCUUGUUCUCCAUCGUAGCGUCAUGGUCGUCUCGCCAACUAUUGCUUCUACAACUAUCGCUAACGCAUAGUGAUAAAGUAAAGCAAUUACCUGGCAUUUGUAUUUCAUACAAUAAAGCGACAACCAUAAGGCUCCUGCCAGUUGCCGAUAACUUUUAAAAAACAUGAUCAUCUCAUACAACAAUGUAUAUCAUAUCAUGUCUUGACCAUACCACAUCACAACAUGCCCUGAGAAAACAAGUUAAACGUCCUCUACUUUGUUGUUGCAAGGUUUACGUGGCUGCUACGGGCUUAUAGUAAGAAUCGUUCUUACCUACGCAUCAAAACCACAACGGCGAUUUAUCAAGUUUGCUGUUUUAACCUUCAAUAAGGUCCGGUUAUAGUCAAAUUCGAUUCAACUAAAGUUGGAGAAACAGACAUCCGCCAGCCACCUUUAUGCAAAACUAGUUGCAUGUCAGUCAGUGGAACCGGUCUCAUGAACGUGGUCAUGUAAGGUUGGUCCAGGCUGCUUCAUCCAACAAUAUCGCCGAAUCAAAACAAGACAUUGGUGGUAAGCAGUAUGACAAUCACCGCCCACAACUCUUUGUGUUCUACUCAUGCAUAUCAUCUACACAUAGACCUGGCUCGGAUGCCACUGUUGGGAAACGUAUCACGCAAUUUCAAAAAAAUUCCUACGUCCAUGCAAGAUCUAUAUAGGAGAUGCAUAGUAACGAGAGGGGGAGAGUGUGUCCACAUACCCUCGUGGACCAAAAGCGGAAGCGUUUGAUAAUUUGGUUGAUGUGGUCGAACUUCUUCUAGAUCCGACCGAUGAAGUAUGGAAUGUAUGGCACCUCCGAGUUCUGCACACGUUCAGCUCGAUGACGUCCCUCGAACUCUUGAUCUAGAAAAGUGUCGAGGGAGAGUUCCGUCAGCAUGACGGCGUGGUGAUGGUGAUGGUGAAGUGAUCCAUGCAGGGCUUUGCCUAAGCACUACGAAGAUAUGACCGGAGGCGUAAACUGUGGAGGGGGGCGGCGCACACGGCUAACAAUUGUUGGUGUGUGUUCUAGUGGUGCCCCCAAUUCUUAUAUAUAGGUUGGAGGGGAGGAGAGGCAGCCAAGGGGUCGCCCCAAGUCGGAGGAAUCCUACUUGGGCACCUCCCAAUUCGGUGUCCCCCCUUUGCUAUUUCUAUUCGAAGUAGGAAGGGAAGGGGGGGGGGGAGGGGGAAUCCUAUUCCAUUUUUCCUUUCCUCCUUCCCCUUUCCUUAUCCAAUUUGGCCAGCCCAUAUGGGGGAGGGGGCGCACCAGCCCCUUUGCGGCUGGUGUGUUUCCCCUCUUGGCCCAUAUGGCCCAUAUCUUUUGUUGGGGGUGCCCGGAAACCCUUCCGGUGACCCGAUAAGUACCCGGUGCUUCUCGGAACACUUCCAGUGUCCGAAUACCAUCAUCCUAUAUAUAAAUCUUUACCUAUCUAUCAUUUUGAGACUCCUCGUCAUGUCUGUGAUCUCAUCUGAGACUCCAAACAACAUUCGGUCACCAAAUCACAUAACUCAUAUAAUACAAAAUCAUCAUCGAACGUUAAGUGUGUGGACCCUACGGGUUCGAGAACUAUGUUGACAUGACCGAGACACCUCUCCGGUCAAUAACCAAUAGUGGAACUUGGAUGCUCAUAUUGGCUCCCACAUAUUCUACGAAGAUCUUUAUCGGUCGAACCGUUAUGACAACAUACAUUAUUCCCUUUGUCAUUGGUAUGUUACUUGCCCGAGACUCGAUCGUCGGUAUCUUCAUACCUAGCUCAAUCUCAUUACCGGCAAGUCUAUUUACUCGUUAUGUAAUACAUCAUCCUGCAACUAACUCAUUAGUCACUUUGCUUUCAAGGCUUCUUAUGAUGUGCAUUACUGAGAGGGCCCAGAGAUACCUCUCCGAUACUCGGAGUGACAAAUCCUAAUCUCGAUCUAUGCCAACCCAACAAACACCUUCAGAGAUACAUGUAGAGCAUAUUUAUAAUCACCCAGUUACUUUGUGACGUUUGAUAGCACACAAUUCAUUCCUCUGGUAUCCAGGAGUUGCAUAAUCUCAUAGUCAAAGGUAUAUGUAUAUGACAUGAAGAAAGCUAUAGCAAUAAAAUUGAACGAUCAUUAUGCUAAGAUAACAGAUGGAUCUUUUCCAUCACAUCAUUCUCCUAAUGAUGUGGUCCCAUUUAUCAAAUGACAACACAUGUCUAUUGUUAGGAAACUUAACCAUCUCUGAUUAACGAGCUAGUCUAGUAGAGGCUUACUAGGGACACAGUGGUUUGCCUAUGUAUCCACAUGUGUAUCAAGUUUCCGAUUAAUACAAUUCUAGCGUGAAUAAUAAACAUUUAUCAUGAUAUACGGAAAUGUAAAAUAACAACUUUAUUAUUGCCUCUAGGACAUUUUUCCUUCAUGAGCAAUAACUAAAGUAAAGAAUAAGAAAGUAAUGAAAGCAAUGAAAUAUGCAGUAUAGUUAUAUAAGACGUUCUCAGUAGGUUCGGAUUGACCACUAGUGUGUACAUUACUUAAUUAUGCAAAUGCACAAUUCUGAGUUUAGAUAACUAAUCCACUUUAUAUGUUUGUAUGUGUGGGUGGAGCCAAGUACAUAUACGUGCAUACUACCACAACUCCAUGUCAUGCACGCCACCAGUGUUCCUCCCUACUGGAUAGAGGCAACAACGCUUAAAGGGUCUCCCCAUGGACACAACUAAAUGUAGUCCCCGUUAUUCCCCUAUCUAUGUUCGACGAACAAGGGUGGUAGGUGAUACGUCUCAAACGUAUUUUUUAUUGUUUCAUGCUAUUACCAUACCACUUUUAGAUACUUUUGAUAACAAUUUAUAUUAUAAUUUUUGGACUAACCUAUUCAGUGCCUAGAGCCAGUUAUUAUUUCUGCAUGUUUUUGAUUUUCCAGAAAAUUCAUUUUUGCAAAGCUAAAUGGGGAUUUACAAGGAUUUAUUUUGGAAAAUAAGAGACCCAAGGGACCUGGGCCCACCUAAAGAGGAGCUCCAGUGCUCCAGAUGGUUGCCCCAGCAACCACCCUAAACCCUAACCCUCCUAGGGGCGUGAUGGACCCCUAGGAGCGGUGUAGGUCAGUUGGGAUUGCCCUUUGGAGGGUAGCUUGCCCCAAGAGUAGUGGAACCACCAUAAAAAUUUCAGAUUUUUCUGACUUUCAAAUCUUUGUAGGUCGAUAAAAUGGUGAAACCUCCUAGAUUUCAACGUGGAGAGACAGAUAGAAAGUUCCAAGAUCCAAUCUUAGGGGUGCCUCUCACCCCCGGGAGGCCAAGAACACCAUGGACCAGAGGGAGAAGCCUUCUCUCAUCUAGGGAGAAGGCCAAAGAAGAAUAAGGAGGGGUGCUCUCUCCUCUUCUCUUCCGGCGGUGCCGGAGUGCUGUCGGGGGAGCCAUCAUCACCUCAUCGUCUUUAUCAAGCAUCCGCCAGUACUAACAAGUUCAUUAAGAUAAAGUAUGAAGCCCUUACCUGUGAGGAUAUAAAGAAGAGCCAAAGAGGCAAAAGAAAAAAUGAGCCAAAGAUAUAAAAAAGAGAGAGAAUAAAGAGAGAGGGGGCACACUAAUAUAAUUUAUACACAUUUAUGCUUAUAGUAGUACCAUGUAUUUCAUAUAGGGAGUUUUCGUAUGUUUCAUCAUUAUACUAGUGGGGAUAUUUACAUUAUAGAAGUUGGCUUGCAUAUUCCAAUGAUGAGCUUCCUCAAAAUGUUUCAGGUCUUCGUGAGCAAGCAAGUUAGAUGCACAACCCAUUGGUUCGCUUGGUGGGAUUUCAUACAUUCGUAGAUCUAGUGUAUCCGUUGCAUGGCAAUCCCUACUCCUCGCAUCAAUAUCGACUGUAAGGCCUCUCCAUUGCCUAACAGCUAGCUGUAUUGGUGUGAGACUUUCUUUAUUUUUGACUUAUUUUAAAACCUCCAUCAUUAUUCUAUUUUCCAUCUAAGUGCUAAGGUCGCAUCUCACGUUCAAGUAUUGUGUGGGGGUUUAGUAGUUGACUCGGGGCGAGUGUAGCUCAAGUACUUGGUCUUGCGCCUGAGCUUGUUCAUGAUUUGAUUGUCAUUAUUUGAUGAAGACCGAUCGUACUAUUUUUCUAUGAUACACCUGCUUGCUUUUGCUUUUUGUAUGGAAACAUGUAUUUUAACAUCUUUUAUUCUUGGAAGGCAAUGGUUUGUUUAUCUAUAUGCUCUUUUAUUACUUGUUUAAUGUCAAACUAUAAACAAUUGUUGAAUCACUUUUAUCAUUUGAUGAUGAUUAUGUAAGGUAGCACUCAACAUAAAAAAUAUCUUUGUUUUAUCAUCAACCUACUUGAGGACGAGUAUGGAUUAAGCUUGGGGAUGGUAAUGUGUCCAAAUGUAUCUAUAAUUUUUGAUUGCUUCAUUCUAUUAUCAUACCACUUUUAGAUUUUUUUAUAGAAAUUUAUAUUGUUUUACUGGACAAACCAAUUAAUUCGGUGCCUAGAGGCAGGUGCUGCUUUCUGCAUGUUGUUGGUUUUCUAAAAAAUCCAUAGAUGUGGAGCUAAAAAAUACACAGGCAUUUACGAGGAUUUAUUCUUAAAUAAGUGACACAAGGGACCUAGACCCACAUGGAGGGGAGCUCCCGUGACUCCAUGCGGUUGCACCAUCUGCCCCCCCUCCUAGGGGCGUGGUGGGCCCAUAUGGGAUCGGUAGAGACCUAUUGGGGUUGUCUUUGGAGGGUAGCUUACCCCAGAAGCUUUGGAAUCUCUUUUCAAAAUUUUCUGACUUAUGGAUCACUGUGGGUUGAUAAAACAAUGAAACCUCCUAAAUUUCAAAGCAGAGAGAUAAACAGAAAGUUCCAAGAUCCAAUCUCAAGGGUGACUCUCGCCCCCGGGAGUCCAAGAAUACCCUGGACCAGAGGGAGAAACCUUCUCCCAUAUAGGGAGAAGUCCAAGGAAGAAGAAGAAGGAUGGAUGCCUCUCUCCCCCUCUCUUCUGGUGGUGACGGAGUGACGCCAGGGAACCAUCAUCACCGCCUCGUCUCCAUCAACAUAUACAUCACCUUCCUCCCACUCUAUAUGUUGGUCCACUCUCCCAUAACCCACUAUAAUCCCUCUCUUGAAUAUGGUUUUUAAUGCUAUGAAAUAUUAUCCAAUGAUUUGUUUCAUCGUUGUCAUGUGUGAGUAGAUCUUUUUUGUCCUAUGGGUUAGUUGGUGAAUUGCUAUGGUCAGUUUGAGUUGCAUGAUUGUUAUGUUGAUGUCCUUACAUGCCUAGCAUAUGAGCAUGCACAAGAAUAUGAAGAAUCACACCUUAGGGUUAGUAGCAUGUUGAUAGGACUAUGCAUGCGGUAGCUGGAGUGAAUGAAUACCUCUCCACACCAUAGGAAUUGAUGCAUAUGGGAUGAAGGGGGACCAAUAUAUCUUAAUGCUAGGAUUGGGUUUACCUUAAUGAACCUGUUAGUAUUCAUGAGUGCUCCGUAAUAGUUACAACCAUAAGUACGUAUGUGUCAUGGAGAUCUCAUGGCAGAUGCCAUAGGAUGGCUAAAGAGGGGGACAGACACAAGGGCACCGGUAGGCUCCAAAGGCGAGGUUGGUACGCGCGAGUGUGGGAUACAAGACGUACCCAGGUUCGGGGCUCUCCGGAGAGAUAACACCCCUAGUCCCGCUGAAUGUGGUUUAUAUGAAGUGGAUACAUGUUUGCCCCUAGAGCUGUUUUGGGGAGGAAGAAAGACAUGCCAGUUCAUGCGCUGCCUCCUCUAUGUGGGUUGAUGUGUGUGUGUGUGUGUAUGUGUUCUACUGAUGAUCGCCCUGUGCAUGGAGGCCUCCUGGGGGGUGUUAUAGGCCGACCCCCCAGGGUUAUAAUGGGAAUAUUACAUGGGCACGGGGCCCUGGUGUCAGCGUUUGGGAGCGGGCAGUGGGGGUCAUCGGGUUCGCCGGGUGCGGGUCUUGCCGGGUCCGCUGGGUGCGGGCCAUACCAGGGCCGCCUUGCGCAUGUACGACUGGCUACUGGGUACUGUGGCACACCUUGCUGGGUGUCAUGGGACAGUCAACACCGCCCUACUAUAGGACCGAGCCUCCAAGACAUGGCCCGCCCUGGGCGAGGACAUGGGGAGUGUUGCUGCCGCGCCCGCUGGGGCCGGUGCAAAGGAGGGCGCACUAUAGCCACGUCUAUUUGUUGCUGGGGGUUGACUUCUCGUGGACGGACGACAAGCGCUAGCCAGCUGGCCGGGUCACACUGGGCAGCCGACUAGGGGCUUCGCCAGCCCCGAUGUUUUUGAAAAGGAUCCAGGUUUCGUUGCCUGCCCAGGGGCCAUCCAACCAAAAGUAGUCCCCGAAGCUGUGAAGGUGCGCCGGAUCCAAGCAGGAGGGCCCUCGUAGUUUUACCCCCCUGAGGAGGCAAUUGGGUUGGUGGAGCUUGCGGCCGCCGGGUCCCGGCAACACCCACUGUGUGCCAGCUUUUGUAAGCCGGAUCGCAGCCUACCAUCCUGGACAGGAAACUGAAACACCAGCCGAGUCUUGAAGGGGAAGGACACGCCUCCCAUGGCUCAGUGAAGUGCCACGUUGUGAACAGCGGCCGACGAGGCCCUGUCAGGCCACAUGCGAGAUGUGACACAACAGUGGGUUGGGCCCCGCCACGCCGUGCCCUCGGCGCGCUCCAUGUAGUUAAGUCGUGGGGAAAAACAUGCCCACACAAUGCGGGGAAGUGGAAUCGUGGGCACAACUGAUCCCACUUCCCCACAUCCUGUCGUGGUUAUAAAACAGAGGGAGGGGCAUGGCUGAAAUGCCCUCACAUGCUCCCCUCGAUCUCCCUGCACCUUCCUCUUCUCCUUCUCUUCCAAAUCUCAAGCACGCCCUUGCUGCAGCACCCAGACGCCCCCCAUAGCGUCCGCUGCUAGUGGCUUCUCUCUAGAAAAAUAGAAAACGAUGGGAAAACAAUUACUGUUGGGAAAUUGAUAGAACUUCAAAUAAUCAUGAUGACAUCCAGGCAAUGAUCAUUAUAUAGGCAUCACGUCCAAGAUUAGUAGACCAACUCCUGCCUGCAUCUACUACUAUUACUCCACACAUCGACCGCUAUCCAUCAUGCAUCUAGUGUAUUAAGUUCAUGGAGAAACGGAGUAAUGCAAUAAGAACGUUGACAUGAUGUAGACAAGAUCUAUUUAUGUAGAAAUAAACCCCAUCUUGUUAUCCUUAAUAGCAACGAUACAUACAUGUCAUUUCCCUUUCUGUCACUGGGAUCAAGCACCGUAAGAUCAAACCCAUCACAAAGCACCUCUUCCCGUUGCAAGAUAAAUAGAUCAAGUUGGCCAAACAAACCCAAAUAUCGGAGAAGAAAUACGAGGCUAUAAUCAAUCACUCAUAUAAGAGAUCAAAGAAGGCUCAAAUAACUUUCAUGGAAACAAACAUAGAUCUGAUCAUAGACUCAGAAUUCAUCGGAUCCCAACAAACACACAGCAAAAAGCCUUACAUCACAUGCAUCUCCAGGAGACCAUUGUAUUGAUAAUCAAGAGAGAGAGAGAGGAAGCCAUCUAGCUACUAACUACAGACCUGUAGGUCUACAAACAACUACUCACGCAUCAUCGGAGAGGAACCAAUGGACAUGAUGCACCCCUCCGAGAUGGUGUCUAGAUUGGAUCUGGUGUUUCUAGACUGCGGCAGUUGGAAUUGAUUUUCGUCGACUCCCCUAGGGUUUCUGGAAUAUUGGGGUAUUCAUAGAGUAAAGAGACGGUUUAGGGGGCAUCCGAGGUGGGCACAAUCCACUUGGGCGCGCAUGGCCCUCCAGGCGCGCCCUGGUCGGUUGUGCUCCCCUCGGAGCACCCCUGUGGCACCCCGACUCAGAGAAACCGGAACACCCCGUAUUCCAGCCCAGAGAUCGAUGAGAAGUCUUCUGGAAUACGGCACUGCUUGACAUAGAACAAAUUAGCUCUUAUUACAAAGGAUAAAUACAAAGGCCUAAUGUUACAAAGGAUCACAUCAGCAUGGUGACACUACGCCUACGAUACUACACUUGCUCUAUGCUAGCAGCGGAACAACUCGUAGCAGCGGAAAUCUUCUAGCAGCGGAACAAUGACAAAGGUGGUGAACUCCACUCCAUAGGAACUCUGGAUGGGACAAGAUCUAGCUCGUAUGCAUGGAAACCUCAACAAACAAUCAAUCAUGGCAUCACCUACAAUCUGGCAUAACACGCCAGGUCAGUACAUUGAAUGUACUUGCAAGCUCACAACAACCAAAAACAUCAAUGCAAAACAACAACAUAGAAUUAAAUAGGUUAAUUAGAUUAGCAGCUACCAUGAUACAAAAACAACUACUAAACAGGAUAUGAAACUACUACCAUACUGAUAAACCAACAUCUCAAUGCCAAUAACAAUCUCACUCUUGGCUAACCAGCCAAGCAAAUACCAUCUCGACCACCUCGUGGUCCACAUGAUCACCUCGUGAUCAAAACAUCCACGUGAUCACCUCAUGAUCAAAAUAUCCACACGGUCACCUCGUGACCCCAUCACAAACUGAAUGAUCAUCCUCGAGAUCAUCCCAACAUCAUCAUCGGCAUCCUGCCAAACUAUUACUGCUCACACACAUCAACAUAUAAAUCAUAUAUAAGUCAUUCCGUCAUGUGCGUGUUGAUCGAAUGGUGUGACCUAGUACGAACUUGUGCCCAUGAACAAGACGCGACUAUCGAUAGUUUAAACACACAAUCUACAGAGGUUAGUACACUGUACCCACACCACAGAACCCAUGGGCUCGCACUCCCAUUCGGGUGGACCAACGGCAUUCCGACAAAACCGAUCUACUGCCAUGACACUCUCCCAGCCACUACGACCAACUCCCCUCUGGGCUAAGUCAUGGGUGGCCCCAUGCCUACCAAAGGCAUCCAACGGCCACCGUCGUGGCAAAACAUGGCCACCGUCGUGGGAAAACAUAAACGGUCCCAAACAGGGACAAGUACCAUAACAACAACAACGGGCACACAAGGCUUAUGUCCCCUACCUGAUCAGGGUAGCGCACGCCCAUAACCUUCCCACGUUGGAGGCACCAUCGAGAGACACGGCAAUAUCAUCGCAUUAGGGUCUCCCCAUAAAGGCAAAUGUGGUUGCAUUGGUCAGCUCGAUUUGGUGGCACCUAACCAACUUAAUGGCGGAAUUUACCGCAAAAAUAUAAUCGUGCUAACUGAUACUCCGAUACCAUCUAUCAACCUAUAAUCCAAGACAUAUCAAUAUCCAACAAAUAAUCCAAGCAUAAUAUCAUCAUACCAAAAUACUCCGAGGAUAGCAUAACACUAGCAUCAUGAUGAAUCCAAGACUGAUAUUACUACUACUUAAAUGUCAAGAACAAGCUAUCUAGCUAAGAUCCACAUGUAAACAUCAUCUCUGAAAUCAUUCUCCAAAACAUAAUGUCAACUAGCAUCGUGAUGAAAAUAAUUCUAGCCACUAAUAAUCCGAAGGCAGCAUGACAUUCCAAGUAAUACUCCAAAAUAUAAUACCAGAUUCCAACAUGAAAAUAAUCAUAGCAUUGGCCACUAAUAAUCCAACUGCAACAUGACAUCCAUCAAAUAGCAAGCAUAACUCAUAGUAAUCCAAACAGUAGCAUGACAAUAACAAGAUCAAAAACAACUCCAAGAAAAUGCCAUGCACAAAGUCAUGUAGCUAAAGCAAUAUUUUAAACAAGUUCAAAUAAUUUAAACCAUGUCACUGCAUUACAGUGAUGCAAAUGGAGGGUGUGGCUUGCCUGGGGUGGAAGGAUUCACCGGGAGAAAGUGCGAGAAACUCGCGGAAAGAAUCACCGGAAAACAUCCUCUCUCAGAGGGGGCUGAAUAAGGGCAGGGGCAAAAUGGUCAUUUUCAGAAUGUUGAAAUAUGGUGAAAAUGGAUCCAUCGGAAGUGGAUCGACGAAACAAAGAAGUAGGCUUCGGAAUCACCUCAUUUGGAGUUACGGUUGAAGAGUUGUGGCCGUUCGUUCAUUAGGCAGAAAAACUAACAGAAACUAUGCUUUUCUACUCUUAACUAACAAACAUUCACAAAAUAGGGGUUUCAGCCGGCGGCUGAAAAAGAGAAAGUGCCUUUUUAGAAAUGCUUCUUUGCUAUACUGAAAACGUAUUUUCAACAGAACACUUACUGUAAUACGAUUUCAAUAAGCGGAGACAUAGUCUGCCGAUUGCGCCUUCACUAAUCCAUGCUAGCAGGGCGGGGUCCACGCGUGAAGCGGCUGGCAGGUGGGGUCGCGCGGGGAAGCAGGGCUCACCAGGCCAGCUGGGAUGGGCGUCCUCCUCCUCCUCCUCGCACUCUAAUAGAGUAGAGGAGGGAGGCAGGAAAGGGGUGAUGCCGGCGAUGGCCCGGGCAGCUCCGGCUGUCUCCGGUCGGACAGGAGGCACUGGCCGACUCGGGCGGCUGUGCCGCACCCAGCCAGAGGGAGGACCGGCGUCGGGGAAGACUGGGGCAGAUGCGGCUUGGAGGCAACAGAGGAUGGGGCAACGACCGUUCUUGGGGCUGCGGCCAAACGUGGCUCCGGCGACAAGGCGAGUAGGUGGGGAUGGUCGCCGGAGUGCGGUGAUGGUUCUAGGGGAGCGGAGGGGGCGAGAGAAGCUCGGCAUGGUGCCAAUUUAGGCGAGCCGAGGCGGCGGCCAUGGAGGCAGAGGGGGGGGGAGAACUUUAGGAGCUCGGGGAAGGGACUAGGCGGGGCUCUAGGAAGAAGAGGGAGCUGAUGAAUUGCUCGGGAGGGCUUGGGGUUGCCUUAAAUAGGCAGAGGGGGAGGAGGCCGAGCUGUUGUUGCUGCGAACGCAUGUCUGCGCUGCGGAUGCGUGUGCACGCGCGUGAUCUUGGAGUUAGGCAACAAGAGGGAACAUGAGGGAGAGCUCACGGGGAAGAGGCGGCCAAGGGAGCGCAGGGAGGGAGAAGAGGGCGAGCUCUGAGCCAAACCGCCUCUGUUCGUCUGUGGGCACGCGACGGCUUGCGUCGAUGAGCGUUGGUGAAGAAGUGGACGGAGGGGAAGAGGGGUCCAGGGGAACGACGACGAUGAGAGGAAGACAAUGGACAUGCUCACGCGCGCGAAGACGACGAGAGGGAGAAGGGCCAAAGCACAUAUGACGCUCUGGACACGGCCUAGCGAGCAGAGCGUGUGAAUAUGCAUGCCAGCUACGGGGUCACCACCCAACAUGGCACGAGGCUGUAGGGGAUGUCAAACCUUGUAUGGUGGCUAGUCCUUCCAGAGUGAAGCAUUAAUGCAACUAUGGCUUGGUCUGAGGUGCUGUGGUUAAAUGGUAGUCAUCGUCUGAAGUUUACUCUAGUAAACUUGGCCAUGCACUGGUGAUCAACAGGAAAUUUGUUGGAGCCAAAGAGUUUGUCUAGGGUGUUUGGCUUAGGAAAGACUACGAUCCAGGGGAGUUUGAGGAGAAAUGAACCAAGGAUUAAUAUAAUUGCUUUGCAACUCCAUAUUUGGUCCAGAAACUUGAUCAACAUGAUGCACUCACAUGGAGUGAUGGAAUGGGAUGAAACUUGGCAAAGCCUCAUGAUAUGGACAUAUUAAGAUGCUGUAAAAUUUUCAUACCAACUGGAUUCACCAAAAUGGUACUUGCUUCACAAACAUCAUCUUUGUCCAGGAACUUGGAAUAAUUUUGGUGAUCCAAUGGCUCAAUGAAAUGAUCCCAAAUUUGGUGGAGGGAUGUUUUAUGGGUUGGAGCAUGAUCUAGUAAUAUUUAUCAGAAUUAUUGAAGCAAUAUAAAAUACACUUGCUUCACAACCUGAAAGUAUUGCCAAAAUCAAAGAUUUGAUCCUGUGCUCACAUAGAUGAUUGUAUGGAGCUGAAAUUUGUAGGAGGGUGUUAACAUGAGCAUAUGAAGGGGUGUGCAAAAUUUCAUCUCAUUUGGAUACUCCUAGCUAGUACUUCCUUCACAAAGCCUUCUGCCUGACAAAAACUUUGAAAAAUCACUGAAGGAAGUUGGCUAGGCAAAUGAAGAUGAAUUUUGGCAAGAGGCAAUGAUUUGGAUGAAAUAUCAUGCCCAAGAAGUUUGGGAGCAAUCAAUAAAAGAUAGGUGGCACUUCCUUCACAAAGUGCCAUCCAAGGCAGAAUAGAAAAUGGAAUAUUGGAGAAUUAUUUUUGAACUGGCCAAGGAAAUGUUUGGGCAUAUUUGAGCAAUAUAUGACCCAAAGGAAUUAUGAGAAUUAUUUGGCAAUUUUUGGAGGGACAGAAAUGUAGGUUGCUUCACAACCUAGGGCAAAUGAGGUUAUUCUUUUAAUGAAAAAGGAAUUUUCCCCAAGAAAAAGAGUAUUGGGAUUUGGGCUAGUAUGGAAAUGUCAUGGUCUUGGGAUGAGUUUGAUCAUGAUGAACCACUUGGGAGAGGAAAUGAGAAUGAUUUCCCAGGUGGCAAUGCCACAAAACCACUCCAAAAAGAAAAACAGAUAAAAAACCAAAUAAAUCAAAAGAAAAAGAAAAGGGCCAAAAGCUAGGCUGUUACAACUCUUACCCCCUUAAAGAAAUCUCGUCCUUGAGAUUUGGUUGCUCAGGGAAGAAGUAUGACUUGAGGACACCGUUUCCAACUCGGGUAUCCUUUUUCCUUUAUUUAUUGUUCCCCCGAGAAUUUCAUAUGAUCAACUUACCUUGCUCUAGGGUGGUUUGCUUCACCUUUCCCCAAAUUCUGACGGGUUUUUGCUCAGAUACCAAAUCCUUUUUCUGGCAUGAAUUUUCUCAUAUCUGCUGCGAUAUCCAAUGGAUCUAAGCAGAAUUUUUUUCUUUGGUCAUGAAAAACUUUUUACUUCUGCCAUGGGGUUGCUUCAAAUAAAUGCAGGCCUUCUAGUUUCAAUAAAUGCCGAGAAUCAUGGCCAUUCUACUAAUGGGAUCUGACUGCUCAUAGGUGGCACUGAUUUAUCUUGAUUUAUUUCCUUUGUUUGAGCAUGAGAUAUGUACCAAAGAUUCGACUGUCUUCUGUCAUGAGCGAUGUAACGGAAUAUGGAUUUAUAGCUGUGUCAUACCUCAAAUAUUAACACCUUGGGGGUCCUGACAGGAGUGCUGGCGGGAAAAAUACUUUUCAUGACCUGUUGUCCAUGCACUUGGUUCCACCAGUUAAUAUACCUGAUCUGAGCUGAUGGUUCGGCUUUUGACUUUCUCAUUUUGUUGGUAUACCCAUCUGUGGUAACUGGCUGUAAGCUGCUGUAAUACUAUCGUUGAAGUCAACUUGUGGAGGUUGUAAAUAAAUCUUGGACCAGACAGACAUACUUGGAUAUUCCAUACUAACCAUUUUAAGCGGGUCAGCGAGAUAUGAAACCCUUGUAAAACAUAGUAGGCCUUUGAGGGUUUGCCUUUGCGGAUCCAUAUGUCAUCAUGGACUCCAACUGACUUGGGUAUCCGGACCCUGAUGGUCAUGCAAAAAUCAUCAUACCUUUGUUGUCAGUCUCACGCUUUCACGGUCCUGAUUUUCUUUGUUAGGAUAUCUUACUGAAAUAACUUGGCCACACAUGUCCUUGAUUCUUCAUAUGACCAUGGACGUGGUUAGUGCAUUAUUCCUUGUGCUUGUUUCCUGGCCUGGGUCAGCACAUAUAUGACAUAUACUUGGGGCUUGUAGUUGUACAAAGCUCGUUGUUGAGACCAAUCAUAUAAUAGGGUGGCAAGAGUUUAUGAUAUCACCUUAUCAGUGUGAAAAUAUUGGCCUUGGUGACCACUGUCAAGACUAUUGAUUCUGUGAUGUCAUCUCCAGAUCUUGUCGAUCCUUGUAAUUCAUGAGAUGUAUCUCUGCUCAUCUUCCUUUGCCUGACUCGUGAGGUUGUUGAAUCCUUACUUUCCAUAGGUAUAUCUGCUCGAUAAUUGUCGUACCUCGUAUGAGUGACUGAUAUGACCGGGGAUGCAUGCUCACCAUAUAUAAGAAGAAUAUGCCACCAAACACUUGAUUCUUGGGGUAGGCAUUUAUCCUGACUAGGUGAUAUUUCUGACAAAAUUAUUGCAAAUAUGAUCCGUAAAUUGUACUAUCAUCUACUGCCAACUCACCGCAUAUUCUCUGAGGAGGGUGCAAUAGUGUGAUACUGGCGCGGACAGAGUGGCUUACGAGAGAAGCCAUCCAAGUAACUUGCUGAGGAGGGCUCGUUAGCUUAUGCUCAAAUCUUUUGUCUGGGUAUCGUGCAGAAGAAGGCUCUUUAGCUUACACACGAAGCUUGUCCUGAGUAUUGUGCUGGAGAAGCCUGGGUUCCGUACUUGAGAAGCUUCUCCUCGGGUUUGCUUGUUGGGAAAGAUUAAAUUCCUUAUGUCAGAAGCCUUUACUAGGGUAUCUUGCGGUGAAAUACGAGGUAUCAUGGGCCGGAAACUAUUCACGUAUCAUGGUGAGGAAAAUUGAGGAGCCUUGAAUCAUAAAUUUCUUCCGAUAGCAUAUGGAUGAAGACCGAGUUUCUCAUAUUCAAAGCUUCAUACUGAUAUGCACACUAAAAUCCAUACACACGCCCAUAAUAUUCUGUGGCUGAUUAUUUGCAUGAGAAAAAUGGUUUGACUGUCUUUCUUGGCCAUAACAUAUUCUGACUUUCUCCAAGAGUAUAACAUAUUUCAAACAUCUUUCAUUACUGAGCCAAAACUUUGUAUAUGAUCCAUACCUCUGAUAGAAAAUAUACCGUUUAUCUUAUACCUGACUUGUCUUGCUGCUGACUUGAUCAUUACUCCUGUGAGGAUUUUGUACUGAUGUGUUUAGCUGAGGUUCUUCCUAAUAUUUGAAAUCCUUAUUGCUUCUUCGAGUUCGGUGUCGGAUGAUGAGAAGCUCUUUAUAGGGGAAAAGUAAUGUAACACCGGGGCCCAAGAAGAAAGAAGCCAAAGAAAACUCAGCUAAACAAAAGCACAACAACAAUCAAUUCACACACAAUCAAUGUCACAUAUUACUGCUAGUAACACCAUAUACAUGCCUACUUAAGCACACAAAUUUCACGGAAUCUUUGGUUCUACGAUCUAAAAUGUUGUGAUGGGCGCACGAGGACAAAUAAAUGUGUGGAAGAGUUGGUGUAAACAUUGCUACACCAAGUGCUAGCUUAGCCAGGUAGCAACCUGGACUAGCUCGAAGAUGAGGACUGAUACGUAUCUGUCGGAUUUAGGGUUCCAACAGACCCUUGAGGUUCGAACUCUGGGGUGCGCGUGAAGAUCUCUCCUCUACCAACCCACGCCCCAACGCCUCGCUAAGGAUCUAGGCUAGCAAGAUGGACAACACAAGGUAUACAGAGUUUAUACUGGUUCAGGCCACCAUUGUGGUGUAAUACCCUACUCCAGUGUGUGGUGUGUGGAUUGCCUCAGGGGCCGAUGAUGAACAAUACAAAGGAAGAACAACCUCGCGAGGGGUGUUCUUGUGGUGGUGUGUUUGGAGAGGAAUUGCUCCGUCUCUGUCGGCUCUGGGUGAGAUCCAGAUGAGAUGAUCCUCCUACUGUGGUGGCUAACCCUAUAUAUAGAGGCCCUGGUCCACUUCCCAAAUAUUGAGCGGGAAGGGCGCCAACAACGGCCAUUUUGAAGGGGAACAUCUAGUACACUUAUCCUGACUAAAGUUGGUCUUCGACUGCCAAAGGCUCUAAUGAUGACGCCGUAUUGGGCUCCACGGUGACCUCCAUCCUGCCGCUCUGCUGGUCUUGGUCUUGUUGCACCGAAACGGUAGCCUUUGCCUGAUGCCUCGGUACUCCGUGCCUGCGCUUGUCCCCUUUGCACCAAAGGGGAAACAAGGACAGUGCGCAGGCCGGCGCCCGCCUGGCGCCCGCCUGGUCUUGAUCGUCAUGGCUUGCGUCAUGAGCACCUCGCGAGGUACCCUUGCCUUGAUCUCUCCGCCUUCUCGUGAGCCUGCCUGGCGAGGCAGUUCCUGAGGGAGUCCCGUGUCGUCCGCCCUGCGAGGCUUGGCCCCUCGCGAGGGUCUUGAGCUUGAGUCGAUGAAGAUGGGCCGUACUGGGCCACCACUUGAGCCACGCCGCAGGCUGCAGGCAGGCAAGUCUGGGGACCCCCAUUCCCAGAACGUCUAUAGUAGCCCCCGGGCCCAAGGCGCGCUCGGACUUGGCUUAUCAAAGAAGCGAAGGGGCAAGUGCGAAGCGCCGCAGGCCCCAACAGCCUUCGGCCUUGGGCGACGCGUGGCGGUUGAUUGGAUGUGGGCGUCUCCGUUUCCCCACGCCCCUCAUUACGCGCUCGGCUAGGCGGACCCGUGGUUGCACACAGUUAUCCCUCUUUCGCUGUUCGCGCGCUCCCUGUCCUUCCUUCUUCCUCAAGCUCUAGCCUCUGCCUCCAAUCCAACUCGAGAUCUCCCCGCCUUCCCAUCGCCAUGGCGCCAACGAAGAAUGAAAAGGGGAAGAAGCCCGCGCCUUCGCCCCGCUCGCCGUCGGCAGCUGCUCCCGCCGUUGAUCAGUCGAUCAUACUCAACCUCGAAGCUGCGGACAAGGUCUGCUCCGCCCUUGCUUCCAUCUUCAACGAGUGCGGGAGGACGACCGUUUGGCCCCCGUCCCACGCCUCCUUCGAUAGGGUCAUCACGGAGGUCCAAUUUUCACCGAUGCCUUGUGGGCGGGUCUGGUUCCCCCCUUUUCUGCUUUCUUCAAUGCGGUGCUCUCCCAUUACCAGAUCCACAUGAUGCACCUUGGUCCCGAGUCCUUUACUCUCCUUGCUGUCUUCGCCUUUGUUUGUGAGGCCAUGGUGGGCAUUCCUCCCUCCGUUGCCCUCCUGCGCCACUUUUUCUCCUUGCGCCUGAGUGACCCAACUCAAUGCUCAAGGUGCGUGAGCUUCCUCGCCGUGCCAGAGACGGCUGCCUCAGGGAUCAAUUUCGGCCUUCCUCCUCCUGUGACCGGGUUCCGAGAGCGGUGGCUGUAUGUGGAUGUCGGGGUGCCCAGCCCCCUGCUCUCACACCCAACAUUGCCUGCUAUUCCCAACCCAGGCUGGGAUCAUGAGAAGCUCACGAGCCCCCGGCUCGCCUUCGUGUGGCGCCGCUUCGAGAGUUUGAGGGCGCUCUGUGUGACGGCGCCCCAGGUGGUGAAGGAGUUCCUUUAAUGUCGCAUUUCUCGUCUCCAGUGCCACUCCCGUCGGAUGUGGGCCUUUUCGGGGCGCGGAGACCGCAUGAGGCUCCAGGAGGAGGAUCUGGCGCCCGAAGCGUCGAGGACGAUGCUGAAGGCCUUGACUGGCGACCCUUCUCUAUGCAACAUCCGGCACGGGGCCACCCUCUUGUAUCUUUGAUCGGACAGGGCCGAUUUUGUGAGGCAGAUGCCCAGCUUCGACGAAUGGGGGCCGCACCCGGUCGGCCUCAUGGGGCCCCGUGAGAACCCAGUUGCUGUGGUCGCUCUCCCGGUUGCCCACAGCGGUCCUGCCUCAGGUGAUGGAGCAGGGAGGCGAGAACCGUCGAGAGCUGAGGGGCCUGAUGUUGAGAUGCUGACGCCGCGCAGGGCUCCUGAGGCGUCAUCUUCCGAAGUGCAUCCUGGAGUGGUGGCAGAUGAGGAGUCGCGACCUGAGGCUCCUGAGGCUAGGACUCCCGUGGCUUGGACUGAUCUUCAAGAGGCGGCGCCUCCCAGUCUGGCGCCCUUGGCGCAAGUCAUCCUGACGUUUCUUCUACGCUGCAUGCUGGCCCUCGCGUCGGUGGCUUAGGCCGAUUCCGCAUAGACUUCGAGGCCCUCCGCAAGAGGAAGGAGGCCUCGGGUGGCAAUGACCACCCCUGUCGCCCGUUGAAGUGCAGGAAGUAUUUUGCCAUCGACGAGUAAGUCCUUUUCUCUCUUAGCUCCUUACUUUACCAUUCCUUUAGCCGAUUGUGACCUUUCAGUGCCCUUCCUACCGUGUUUGCGGAGACAGCCGAGGAGUCACCCCCCAAGCCUCGUCUUCAUCGCUGACCUCAAGCGCCCCAAGCUCGAGCACAACCCUCGCCGCAGGGCCGACUAGAGAGGCAGGUCGUCCCGCUGGGUACCUUGAGCCUGCGCGUUUGCUGUCCCUCCUUCGCGAGCUUUCCUGGGGCACAUCCAGAUUGCUCCGUGCUCCUCCCCUGAUCGUGGACGACGACUUGCUGAGGUCGAUCUUGGGCUCCACUUCAGGAGAUGGACCGGCGCCGGGCUGGGUCCCUGGCAGGGCCCGUCCGGCGAUCGUUGGGGCGCCAGCCCCCAGCCCCCUACCGAGAGGGGGCGUGCCGCCUCGGGGCCCUCUGCCUACGCCGAUGGCGGAGGAGGACGCGGAGGACGUGCUCAGGCGCGCUCGAGAGCGCAGCGCCCUCCGCUGAGAGUUUCUUCAGAAGGCGACAGAUGUAGUGGGUCAGCUUGGUGUGGAUCUCGCGGGCGAGGAUGCGCGUCUUGAAGCCGAAGGUCUGCGCCUCGCUGAGGAGAGGCGCAGGCCGAAGGUGGCCGUCAUCCUUGCGUGUCACCAGUGUGAUCUUGACAACGUGAAGGCUGAAGCGUCUCUGGCGGCCUCGCGGAAGGCCUGCUCCCAAGCCGUCGAAGAGGCCCAAGAGGCAGAACGACGACGCGAGGCUGCAGAGGAGCACGUGUGGGAGCUCCAAGCCUGGAGCAACUCUCUGGAGCAGCAUGUGGAGCUGCGUAAGGCUGCCCUUGCGUCGCUGAAGGGGGCACCCGUCGAAGGGGUGGAGCUCCUCAAGCGUGAGGAGGCGCUGACGCUGGAGGCUGCCGAGCGUAACCUUGACCUUGAGCGGUUGGAGACGAGGGAGCGCUUGGUGACCCAGGCGGAAGAUGAUGUCGGCGCGCGCGAGGCCCGAGUCCAAGGAGAGAUCGACCGCCGCGUGGCGGAAGCUUGUUUGGGUCUUGAGCGCGAGUAGGAAGGGAGGUUGGAGUUGGUCAAAGCCGAAGCUGAGGGCAGGGCCGCCCUCAGGGUUAAGCUGACUGAAGUGACGCGGCGUGCGGAUUCCUCAGUAGCCGCCCUUGGCACAGUGCAGGCUGAGCUGGCCUCCUCCUGCACCGAACUGCUUCUUCUCCAAUAGAGGGUUGAUGACACCGAGGCCGUCGCACAACGGAACGAGGAUGAGAUCCGUCAGCGGCAGACUCUGGAGCAUGUGCAUGGCUCCAUGCUCCGAACGCUCAGGGAAAGGGCCAACGCAGCCCUGUGCAACAUCUGCGAGGCGGCUGUUGCGGAGCCUCGUGUAAUCAACUACACUGGCAAUCUCCGAUUCUUCACAGAUCUGGUGACGCAGGUGGAGAAUCGCUCUGAUAGGGCCUGCUGGCUUGUUGAGGAGAGGAGCCGAGUCCUGCUUGGGCGUGCCUUCUCUCUUGUCUUCAGCCAUCUUCAGGACAGAGAUCCCCACUUUGAUUUCGAUGCCGCCAUCGCACCAGUGCCCAUAGCCAUCCGGGGCGAUCUGGCAUAGUGGGUGGAGGACAACGUGGAUGCCCUCGUUAGGGCCUUCACUUCUGAUAACAACGGCGUGGUCGUGGCUGCUGAUGAAGGCGGCGUUGUGAAUGAGCAUGGCGCUGAUGACAACGAUGGUGAUGACGGCGACGAUGCCAGUGACGCUAGCGAUGCCUCUGGAGGUGUCCCAGAGGACGCGGUGAGCGACAUGUCCGACUGAUUGCACGCCGCCUCCGCUGCUUACCCUGCGCGGAAAAGUUUGGGCGUGGCCCUGAAGGUUGUGAGAGCAUUUUGGGAGGGGGAGCCCCUCGUGUAAAGGAUUGCAACUAGUACACUUGUAGACAUAACACCGAAUGCGCGCUUAUGCGGAGCCGCUGACCCCGUGGCGGGUCAGCUGACUCGUUUUACCUUUGACUCCGAUUGGCCUCGAGCGAGCCUGCGGAGGCCGCAGUGUCUUGAGUGUCUUCUGGGUGAACCCAUAGAUCUCGCGAUGAGAGCCUUCGGAGAGGGUGUGGCGACAGCGGUCCGGAGUGUUUGCAUGCUUGGCCUGGCCCGGCUCGCGAGGGGCUCAUGAGGGGGAGGCAACCGAUGCUAACUUUGGAUGCAAAGCCGAAAUCAGAACGCGAGAAUGCUCGAACGAGACUAAACACGCCUCCCCUAAACACACGCAAGUCUCAAGCUCAAAUCCUACUAAAAUUCAAAUCAAAGAAGCUUGAAAACAGAGAAAGAGGCAAAAGGCAAAGGCCGCGUCCGACACCUAGUCUAGUCUUCGACGUCUUCUCACCAGCGCGGAGCUAAGUGCUGCCACUAGGCGUGGGCGGGAGCCCCCGAGGCCUGAGGGCGGCUCUCCGGAGACUCCGGGGCAUGUAUAGCCCCAACUCAUUAUUACGUGAGAGUGUCAUGGGCGGUGAGCUUCACAGGCACUAGGCCUUCUUCACAGGUACCGGCCUUGCUUCAUAUUGCCAGAUGAGGGCCCCGCCUUGCGCCACACUCUACCAUCACCGACGGCGACCGGAAACCAAGGGUGACGCCAAUGGGGUAGAGUGGUCGCCAGCGGUUCCCCCGACGACCACGGGUCCUCUGCCGGGGGCAGGCCCUGGGGCACCUCCCCGACAAAGGGCCUACCUCCUGAGAACGCCUUGCGCCACAUGUCAUGGGGAGGAGCCUGGCUCCCGGCCCCUCUCGUGCUGCCCCCGGUGACCUCCUCCCGAGGGGAGGGAGGUUGCCGCACUCGGGCAGCCAUCCACUGCCGUGACCUGAACCUCCUGCGACCCAUGGUUAGCAUAAGCUUGCUCCUGAGGAAUUAGCGGUACUCAGUAGUUGCCGCCGCCGGCACGGCUGUCGAGGCUUCCGUGAGGCUCCUGAAAGAGCUCGGCUUCUAGCGCCUCUUCCUCCCAGCCUGGCCCGAGGAACGAGCCGUGGUCUUCUUCCAGGGCGUACCCUCGAUCCACCAUGUGGGGAACAUAGGCCUCCAGGGCCGCCACCCCGAAGGCCUCGCCGUAGUACUCCGCGCGCCAUGCAGUUCGACUCGAAGCUCCAUCUUGGGGGCGGUAGGGCGGCGGCCCGCUAGGACCAUAGGCAGUGAUGCGCAUGCCCUCGCUUACCAGGGGCGAUGCCGGUGCAGCUUGCUGCCCGGCGCUGAUGGCCAGGCCGGUGUUGAUGAAGCAUUGAGGUGCGCCCGGGGGUGCGUGGGCACGGAUUGGUCGGCCCCGGGAUCCGCCCNNNNNNNNNNNNNNNNNNNNNNNNNNNNNNNNNNNNNNNNNNNNNNNNNNNNNNNNNNNNNNNNNNNNNNNNNNNNNNNNNNNNNNNNNNNNNNNNNNNNNNNNNNNNNNNNNNNNNNNNNNNNNNNNNNNNNNNNNNNNNNNNNNNNNNNNNNNNNNNNNNNNNNNNNNNNNNNNNNNNNNNNNNNNNNNNNNNNNNNNNNNNNNNNNNNNNNNNNNNNNNNNNNNNNNNNNNNNNNNNNNNNNNNNNNNNNNNNNNNCACGCUCCAGCAGCACGUCAUGGCCGCUUUCUUGAAGUCUACACCGCAGCAGUUCUCGCGCCACCAUGAGCGCGGCCUUCAUGUUCGCCUGCUCCCAUCGGGUGUGCGGUGCUGUGGCUGCAGCAUGGCUCGAGGCCCUCGCUACCGACCGUACCUGCCGCGGAGUGAGGGUAGGCGACGACUGACCGCGUGGCCCGCGCCCCGCAGUGCCCUGCAAGGCGCGGGCUGCCUGAGGUGCGGGGUUGAGGUCACCUUGGGCAGGCGGCACGACAUGAGCAGGCCAUGCCGCCCAGCGGUCGAAGUUGGCCAUCGGGUUGCCGGACAUGGAGGCGGUGAAGCGGUGGCACGCAGGACAGCAGAAGGAAUAUUCCGACGCACCCCUACCUGGCGCGCCAAAUGUCGGAUUUAGGGUUCCGGCAGACCCUUGAGGUUCAAACUCUGAGGUGUGCGCGAAGAUCUCUCUUCUACCAACCCACGCCCCAACGCCUCGCUAAGGAUCUAGGCUAGCAAGAUGAACAACACAAGGGACACAGAGUUUAUACUGGUUCAGGCCACCAUUGUGGUGUAAUACCCUACUCCAGUGUGUGGUGUGUCGAUUGCCUCAGGGGCUGAUGAUGAACAAUACAAAGGAAGAACAGCCUCGCGAGGGGUGUUCUUGUGGUGGUGUGUUUGGAGAGGAAUUGCUCCGUCUCUGUCGGCUCUGGGUGAGAUCCAGAUGAGAUGAUCCUCCUACUGUGGUGGCUAGCCCUAUAUGUAGAGGCCCUGGUCCUCUUCCCAAAUAUUGAGCGGGAAGGGCGCCAACAACGGCCAUUUUGAAGGGGAACAUCUAGUACACUUAUCCUGACUAAAGUUAGUCUUCGACUGCCAAAGGCCCUGACGAUGACGCCCUCUUGGGCUCGACGGUGACCUCCAUCCUGCCGCUCUGCUGGUCUUGGUCUUGUUGCACCGAUACGGUAGCCUUUGCAUGAUGCCUCAGUACUCCACGCCUGUGCUUGUUCCCUUUGCACCAAAGGGGAAACAAGGACACUGCGCAGGCCGACGCCCGCCUGGUCUUGAUCAUCAUGGCUUGCGUCACGAGCACCUCACGAGGUACCCUUGCCUUGAUCUCUCCGCCUCCUCGCGAGCCUGCCCGGCAAGGCAGUUUCCGAGGGAGUCCCGUGUCGUCCGCCCCGCGAGGCUUGGCCCCUCGCGAGGGUCUUCAGCUUAAGUCGAUGAAGAUGGGCCAUACUGGGCCACCACUUGAGCCACGCCGCAGGCCGCAGGCAGGCCUGGGGACCCCCGUUCCCAGAACGCCGACAGUCUCCAAUGUAUCUAUAAUUUUUUAUUGUUCCAUGCUAUUAUAUUAUCUGUUUUGGAUGUUUAAUGGGCUUUAAUAUGCUCUUUUAUAUUAUUUUUGGGACUAAACUAUUAACCGGAGGCCCAGUGCCAGUUUCUACUUUUUUUUGCCUAUUUUAGAGUUUUGCAGAAAAGGAAUACCAAACGGAGUCCAAACAGAAUGAAACCUUCGCGAUAAUCUUUCUUGGAUCGAAAGCAAACCAGAAGACUUGGAGUUGAAGUCAGAGAUGUAACGAGGUGUCCACGAGGCAGGAGGGCACGCCUAGGGGGGUAGGCGCGCCCCCCACCCUCGUGGUCCCCUCGUAGCUCCACCAACCUAGUUCUUUCACCUAUAUAUACUCUUUUACCCUAAAAACAUCAAGGGAGGCCACGAAACCACUUUUCCACCGCCACAACCUUCUGUACCCGUGAGAUCCCAUCCUGGGACCUUUUCUGGCGAUCUGCCGGAGGGGGAUUCAAUCAGGGAGGGCUUCUACAUCAACACCAUUACCUCUUCGAUGAAGCGUGAGUAGUUUACCACAGACCUUCGGGUCCAUAGUUAUUAGCUAGAUGGCUUCUUCUCUCUCUUUGAUUCUCAAUACAAAGUUCUGCUCGACAUUCUUGGAGAUCUAUUCGAUGUAAUAUUCUUUUGCGAUGUGUUUGCCGAGAUUCGAUGAAUUGUGGAUUUAUGAUCAAGAUUAUCUAUGAAUCUUAUUUGGUUCUUCUUUGAAUUCUUAUAUGCAUGAUUUGAUAUCUUUGCAAGUCUCUUCGAAUUAUCGGUUUAAUUUGGCCUACUAGAUUGAUCUUUCUUGCCAUGGGAGAAGUGCUUAGCUUUGGGUUCAAUCUUGCGGUGUCCUUUCCCAGUGAUAGUAGGGGCAGCAAGGCACGUAUUGUAUUGUUGCCAUCGAGGAUAAAAAGAUGGGGUUUAUAUCAUAUUGCUUGAGUUUAUCCCUCUAUAUCAUGUCAUCUUGCUUAAUGUGUUACUCCAUUCUUAUGAACUUAAUACUGUAGAUGCAUGCUGGGUAACGGUCGAUGUGUGGAGUAAUAGUAGUAGAUGCAGAAUGGUUUUGGUCUACUUGCCACGGACGUGAUGCCUAUGUUCAUGAUCAUUGCCUUAGAUGUCAUCAUAAUUAUGCGCUUUUCUAUCAAUUGCUCGGCAAUAAUUUGUUCACUCACCGUAAUACAUGCUAUCUCGAGAGAAGCCACUAGUGAAACCUAUGGCCCCCGGGUCUCUUUUCCAUUAUAUUGCAUCUCUUUUCCAUAUUGUUGAAUCUCAUUUACUAUUUUGCAAUCUUUACUUUCCAAUCUAUACAACAAAAAUACCAAAAAUAUUUACCUUAUUAUCUCUAUUAGUUUUCACUUUUGCGAGUGACCGUGAAGGGAUUGACAACACCUUUAUCGCGCUGGUUGCAAGUUCUUGAUUGUUUGUGCAGGUAUUCGGUGACUUGUGCAUCGUCUCCUACUGGAUUGAUACCUUAGUUCUCAUAACUGAGGGAAAUACUUACGCUACUUUGCUGCAUCACCCUUUCCUCUUCAAGGGAAAACCAACGCAAGCUCAAGAGGUAGCAAGAAGGAUUGCUGGCGCCGUUGCCAGAGAGAUCUACGCCAAGUCAAGCCAUACCAAGUACCUAUCAUAAACUCUUCUCCCUUGCAUUACAUUAUUUUCCAUUCGCCUGUCGUUUUCCUCUCCCCCACUUCUAAAAUGAUUUUCGAAAACCCUUGUGUCGUGGAAUUAUCACGUCAGAUGCCCUAGUGUGAGGACUUAGUCAUGGAGCCAUCGCAACAUGAUUAGCUUAAAGGGGUUAAACCGGACAAAUGACACAGGGAGUUUAUACUGGUUCGGCCCCUUGCAGUGAAGGUAAAAGCCUACGAUCCUAUUGUGGUGGAAUUGAUGGGGUUUCCAUGACCAGGGAGCGAAUCCACUUUGCCUGGCUCUCGAGUUGUUUUUUCUUGUCCCUAAUCCGCCGCUAGGUCGUCCCUUUAUAUACAUAGGCUGACGCCCGUCGGUCUACAGAAUCCCGAGGCCGCUUCAUAAAUGUGUCCGGCUCGGUAUCUACUCUUUCCUACCUUACAUUACAAGUUACAUGCCUAUGGCAGUUUAUGUCUAUGGGCCCUAACCCGCCUCUGGGCUUUGGGCUCCCUUAUUAUGUUUCCUUCAUAAGUCGCCAUCUUCUAUAACUUCAUGGGCUUCAAUAUUGGUAGUCUCUCUGUGGAUAAACCAGCCCCUCCUGGGCGGUUUAUACCCACCAGUUAUAUCCCCAACAUUAGGCCCCAGAUUGAUUUGAACCUGUUCAUGUCAAUCUUCAACACAUAGGAAAAAUCCUUCUUCAACACUUAGCAUACGCCUUGUAAUCCGCCAUGGCAUCAUCUUCUGAUAUUAUAGUAAACCGCCAUGACGUCACCAGUUUAUUAAAAAAUCAUACAUACCUUCCCUUUAUUAAUGAGCCUCCGAAAAUCAAGGUGACAGCUCUGGCACAUAUCCAUUUUUUGGGCUCCUCAAUUCUCGUGUCUGUCGCUUAUCCCUUCGCCUUAUAAAUAACGCCGAGGGUCAUUUUUACUUUUCCCCCUCGUGCCUCAUUACUUCUUCUUCCUCCUCGUGUUGACGUAGCGUUCAAGCUCAGCCGCCGCCACCAAGUCUUCGUCCUAGACCUCAACUCCGGCCGCUGCAUCACCCUGAGCUUACCAAAAAAUCACGGUGCCUCUCUGCUGCUCCCGUGACACCGGUAAGUCUUCUUUCCUUCAACCCUAGAUCUGCCAUUAGGGUUUCUGUAUCCAUAUGUGUUUAUUAGUGUUCGCCUUUCUUCUUUGCUUCCCCUAUCUUGUAGUUUGUUGAUGCAAGGCCUAGUGACUAUCGCACGCGGUACUGAUCUUAAUACCCAUUUUUAAUAUUUGAAGGCCUCCCCUUUUGCAAGAGAUCCCAUCUGAAUCCAUGAACUGCUCUGCUGUCACAACUUAGGGUUUCAGACUUUUUCCUCUUUUUUGAACUGCAUUUGAUCCAAAAUGAUAGCAUCGAUCUGUAAAACCUGUUUCUGCAACACUUAGUCACUUUUCACUCAUAGAUCUAAAAUUUGGCAGCUGUGCGGGCGGUUUAACUUUUGAAUCAUAAUCCUCCAGGUACCAUUAGUCCCCUUUUAAACUGCCAACUGCUUAUCUCUGCAAACUGACAAUAUAUCUCCGGUUUAUAACUCUUUCAUUCUUGAAUACUUCCUGCCCCUUUACUUUUUACAAUUGAUCAUGACUGCUUAAACUGGCACCAAUCUUCCUCCAUGUCUUAUUUAACAAAUGGCCAAACAAUUUUAUUCUUGCAACUGGGUUCCUUCCCGGGUUACAGAAGAACAGCUGAAUGGGUGUGUUGCAACCGGCGCUUUAGCAAGUAAGGAAAUCAUCCACUAGAGGGUCCCCUGUCCAGAAGAUCCUCCUGAACCCAAGGAUGGAGAGGUGAUUGUAUUUGCUGAUCAUCUAGGUCGAGGGUUUAGCCCUCCUGGAUCAAAAUUCUUCCCUGACGUGCUUGCUAGCUUCCAGAUCCUCCCUCAAGAUAUCGGACCGAACUCCGUGUCCAAUAUUGCAAUUUUCAAGUAUUUUGCGAGGCUUAUCUGCAAGAAGAACCUACCGUUGAGUUAUUCAGAGACUUCUUUUACUUAAACCGCCGUACUGAAUUUACGGAUGGGACCAAUACUAAACUUGGCGGAGUUUCAAUUCAGAAAAGGAAGGAUGUCAGUUUCCCUCACACCAAGCAUCAUAGCCACUCCAAAGACUGGAAUCAAACUUGGUUUUAUUGUCAAAACACAGCUCCAACUGACAAAAAUCCUUUGCCGGGUUAUCGUGCUCACCGGCUUACCAAUACACAUCCAUUUCCACAACGACUUACUGCAAAGGAACGAGCUAAGUAUGCACCAUAGCUUUCAAAACUCCGAGCCUUUAUGGCGAAUGGUUUAACUGGCAUCGACUUUGUCCGUUGUUGAGUCUCUUGGAGUAUCUUGCCCUUAAGCCGCCGCCCCGGUUUAAUGUGCGAGUACACAGGGGAUGUCAAAGACCCUCAACGACACAUUGAAAUUCAGCUAACUGACAACAAGAUUACUAAAGCUGGCAAAAAGAUGUUGGAUGAACCGAUAUCCGAGUGCAUCAAGACAGGGCUUAGUCCCUUCUGUGUUUCCAAUAAACCGCUAACGUUAAGAAUUGCAUCCUUCUUGUCUUAAUUCGCCCCCUUUUAAAUAUUUCCUUAUAACUUCUUGUUCAUCUUUGCAGGGUGAUGAUCCAUUCUGGAAAAAGAAGCCGCAGGAUAAACUGGCGAAACCGCGGGAUAAACCGGUGAAAACACCUCGCCCAAAGACCAAAGUUACAAAGAAACCCACAAAGAAGAAAACUGCUGAAUCCCCUAACCCGACCAAUGAUGAAGAUCUUGAUGAUCCGGAGUCAGAGGUAGAACUUGAUUCUAUUGGUUCUUUUUUCAUACACCUUAUUGACAAUGAUCAUUAUCAGGAUGAUGUGGAGGCUAGCCAUGCUGAUGAUGUAGAGGUAAUUAUCCUUUCUUCCGAUUCAGAUCCUUUGCCAACACUAAAAACCCAUCGAGCAGUACAGAAAGUAAAUUUUUCACACGCUCUAGCUUAUUUGGAUCCACACUUUCUUUUGAGGACACAACAACAUGAAGCUCGCCACACAACCCGGCAUAGCGGCCAAGUGGUUACUUCCUUCGGUUUACCGAACACUCCGGUUCGUAAACGCCACCAAGAGGUCUCUUGUACUUCUGAUACACCUUGUCCCAAGACGGGUUAUUUCCGAUAUCCUCUUAAUCCGCCUGACUAGAAUUACCAGGGAACCUCCCAUUCAUCUUUUGGUGAAUCAACAGGGAUGAAGCUUCCAACCCUUAAAACGGUUCCUGGGUGAGUAGAAAUUUUGCUAAUCCGUCAUACCUUUAUAUUUUUGAUCCUUGCACUAUUCUGAUGCAUACUAAUUAUUUUCCAGGGCAAAGCCAGAGCCAGAAAGAAGGCCAAAGUGAACAAACCAGCUGAAGACCCCAUUCGGGGUGAACCAGAAAAGACUCCUGAACCGUCACACCCAGAUAUUGAUAAUAUUCCUGAUGGCCCGUCGUUGCUGGAUCAAGCCAUGGAAGCUGAGCACAUGGAUAUUGAUCCAUCAGCUCACGCUGAUGAUCCGCCAAGCCCGGCUAAAGGUGCUAAUGAUGAUGUUGUCAUUACUAGCACUGGUUACACCUCUCCUGGCCACCCCAUAGCCUUGUCCAAACACAACGCCAAAGAGGAAAAAACUGCUGGUGAUAAGGGCAAGUGGAAAGCAGAUUUGGACAGCUAUGCUCACCUCAGCGCCCAAGACAUUCAUUCUGGGAUUUUGAACUGUCUGUACACAAACCGUGACUAUGAAGCCGGUUUAGUGAACAUGAUGAAGGAGCGAUAUGAGGUAAAUCCCGUUGAACUCUUCAUAAGUAUUCCUUCCUUCUGAUCUAUUUAUAAUAUUUACUCCGGUAGCCCCCAAGGGCCGGUUUGGCAAUGCCCAUUCAAACCAGGACUUCAUAAAGUAAUGAUUCUUCAACUUUUGCUUGUGUAGCCCUCAAGGGCCGGUUUAUCUCUUCAAGAUGAACCGGGACUUCAUGUUGUAAGGCUCACCCUUCUUGUUAAAUACCUUUAGAAACCGGUUUACCAUCAUAGGAAAAAAUUCACAACUGUGUUGUUGAGGAAAUAGGCAUUAGUCCCCAAGUGCCAAGAUUAAUACUUGUAUUGAGCCUUGGGACUUUACCAUAUUGUUGAUAAGAAGCGAUAGGCAUUAGCCCCCAAGUGCCAAGUGUAUAACUUUUUAUGUGCUUGGGACUUCAAAUUUGUUCUGCUAACUCAUAAAAUACCUCUUGUAGGCUGAGCUGGACAAAACAGAAUCCCAAAUCGUCGACCUUGAGGAAAAUAUCAAGACCCAGCAAGCAGAAACCUCCAAGGCAGGGGAAGAGCUGACUGGUGCUUUAGAGGCCAUGGAACAAUUGAAGGAGAGCUUCAAGAAUGAGCGUCUAGGCUGGGAUGCAGAAAAAGCAACUUUGCAGAAGAAAGCUGAAGAUGCUGACACAACUCUUAAACCGGUGGCGGAAGAGUUAACCAACUUGAAACAACAAAUAAAUGCUAUGACUGCUGCUGUGUUUGGUAAGUAACUUCUUCUCCACAGUUGAAAUUUCACUAUUCCAUAAAUCUCCGGUUUACUGAUGUCUGCGACGAUGCAGGAUCUCGCAUUACGCAUUUGGGCUCCGAUAUGCAGAAGAAGCUGAAGGCUGGCUAUACAUUGAUAGAGCAACUGUAUACCGGCGCACAACAGAUUAUCUGCACAACUCCUUACAAUAAACCACCCCCAACUUUGAUCAAGGAUACCUUAGAAAGGCUGUCAAUGAUGCCCGCCUGGCUUGAAGAGAUAAAACGAUCAGCUGCAAGGGCCGGCGCUCUUACCGCACUAACCCGUGCCAAGGCGUGGAUAUCCGAUCUUGAUCCGGCUGACAUAGGGGAUGGCUAUCCAAGCAUCAAAGAGGAUGAAUUAGAAUUUAACAAUGAAGAUCUUCGGGCUUUUACGAAAGAGAUGCGCCCGUUAGCUAGUAAGUUGACUGAAGAAACCGAUCUUUCGUUUCAUCAAUCGAUUUAUGAUGCUCACAACAAGAGGGUCGAUACGCCAAGCUACGAAGCUCCCACUCUUAUUCCGCCAAUUCGUAAGCAUACUUAUGCCCCUAAAGUUGACCCCUCCAAUCUUAUGAGUGAUGAAGCCGUGUUUAGAGCCUUAACUGGGAUCGAUUGGUCAACCAUUGACUUCCAGCCACCGGAUAGAGGAGGAAGAUGAUCCGGCACAAGAUGAUCCGCAAUCAUCAAGCUAGCCUGCCACUGAUGCAUAAACUGGAGGCUGGUUACCUUCUUCGUUUUGCAAGACUUAUGCUUUUGGGCAUGAAAAUGCCGUGUAAUAGGCUAGUUGAAAACUUCUUGGAUCUAAUGUGCCAUCGUGCACUUUGCAUAAUACUGUUAAUCCGUCAUGAUUAUGCUAUGUCUGCUUAUGAUCCUUAGCAGCUUUAUUCAAUCAUGCAUGCAACAAGUUUAAAGUGUCCUGGUGGUUUAUCGCCGGACGGGUCAUAACACCCAACAUAAAACCAGGGUUUAUAACCAAGGUUGUACUUUUAACAAAAUAUGAAAUAUAUCAUACCUGUGAUAUUGAAUCACAUCGUUGGUUUACCAACUUAUUGUAGGAAGGGUGAUAACCCAAAUUUGGAGUAAUGAUAACUCCCCCAUAUUUUUCGGUUUAUAAUGAAAUCGUGUUGGGUUGUAAUAAACACCGGAUUAUAACUGAUCUUGCAUUGACAACUUAUAGUUGAAAGCCAAGCCGGGUCAUUGACACCGGUCAUCUUUGUAACUUUGUACUUGGCAACUCAAAAACCAGACUGGGUCAUAAGACAGCGGUUUAAACAUAAACCUCAUAAAAAGAAAAGAUUUGCCAAAUAGAAUCAUGGGAAGAUGCGAGGCUUUUCAUGGGCUGCCAGGCCACUGAGUUAAACCAUUUUACAAAGCCUUUUAAGAUGGACCUCACAUUAACCAAUCGUCGUUUUAACUUUGACAAGUUCAGGGUCUAUAUAAGAUUAACUUGCCAAACAUUCGACGGGUCAUACCAGGAUUACCUGGACAGAGUGACUUACUUAAAAAGGCAGGAUAACCUGGGGUUUUAGGUGAAUACACCUGGCUUCCAAGCCUGGUUUGAUAGCCUAUUACAAGGGUCACUAAAACUCUUUCUUGCUGUGCAAAAAGAGCCCCCAGGUAACAUUUUGAGCUGUGCUUAGUGGGCGCCUAUGUUUGAGUUGUGCUUUGCAACAAACUCUCUUUGGCUCCUUAUGAUUUUGGGUAUGAAGCCCCCAAGCUUUUUUUAUUGCUUUGUAAGCCGGAUUAAUGGACAAACAGAACUCCGCUUUAUAAACAAAAGCCCCCAUGUAACCAAGAAACCUUUAAGGAAGAACGACAAAGGCCUCGCUUUUGCAAGGAUGACAGUUUAUUAUAUUGAUCAUAAUAUAUACAUUGUCAAGAAUAUGUACAUAAUAGGAGCCUAUGGCUCAGGUGUAGUAAGGUUGAAGAUGAGCAAUAUUCCACGGCCGGCGGGUCUCCUCCUCCGAUUUGCGUGAGUCUUUGUGCUCUCGAACAUCGAUAAGGUAGUAUGACCCGUUGUUCAGAUUCUUGCUGACCACAAAGGGUCCUUCCCAAGUGGGGAUAACUUGUGCAUAUCGGUCUGAUCCUGGAUAAGCCGGAGCACUAAGUUGCCUUCUUGAAAAGUUCUGGUUUUAACCGGACGGCUGUGAUAAUGCCGCAGAUCUUGCUGAUAAAUCGUCGAACAAGCUGCUGCUAUGUCCCAUUUUUCAUCUAACAGGUCCAAUGCUUCUUGGCGUGCUUGUUCGUUGUCCGCUUCAAUAUAAGCUGCCACUCGAGGCGAGUCAUGGCGAAUAUCACUGGGGAGAACUGCCUCUGCCCAUAAACCAUGAACAAAGGCGUAUAACCCGUAGAUCGAUUGGGGGUGGUAUUAAUGCUCCACAAUAAAGAAGACAACUCUUCCACCCAACAACCCGGCGUCCUCUGCAAAUGAACCAUAAGCCGGGGCUUGAUGCCCUUCAGGAUUUCCUGAUUAGCUCUCUCAGCUUGACCAUUGGACUGUGGGUGAGCCACUGAUGAUACAUCAAGCCGGAUGUGCUCACGUUGACAAAAGUCCUCCAUAGCACCCUUAGAGAGGUUUGUGCCAUUAUCUGUUAUAAUGUUGUGUGGAAAACCAAAGUGGAAAAUCACCUUCUUCAUGAAUUGAACCGACGUGGCUGCAUCACACUUGCUGACUGGCUCCGCCUCUACCCACUUAGUGAACUUAUCAAUCGCCACCAGAAGGUGGGUCUUCUUAUCCUUGGACCUCUUAAAAGGCCCUACCAUAUCAAGCCCCCAAGUUGCAAACAGCCAGGUGAUUGGAAUCUUUCUCAAUUCUUGAGCCGGAACAUGAGCUCGGCGUGAAAACUUCUGACAACCAUCACACUUUUUCACCAAGUCCUCAGCAUCAACAUGAGCCGUUAGCCAAUAGAAGCCGUGACGAAAAGCUUUAGCCACCAAGGAUUUUGAACCGGCGUGGUGACCACAGUCGCCUUUGUGGAUCCUACGCAAAAUCUCACGACCUUCUUCAGGAGAAACGCAGCGCUGAAAUGCCCCCGAGACACUGCAGUGAUGUAACUCGCCAUUGACAAUAGUCAUGGACUUGGACCGCCGGAUUAUCUGUCUGGCCAAAACUCCAUCCUCCGGUAACUCGCCCCGGUUCAUAUACGCCAAAUAUGGAACCGUCCAAUCUGGGAUAAUAUGAAGAGCCGCCACCAACUGAGCCUCCGGAUCAGGAAUAGCCAAGUCCUCCUCUGUAGGUAGCUUGACUGACGGAUUAUGCAAAACAUCCAAAAAAUUGGGUGUAACCGGCUUACAUUGGGAAGCCAACCGGCUUAAAGCGUCCGCCGCUUCGUUCUUGCGCCAAUCAAUGUGCUCAACCUGGUGACCCUUGAAGUGCCCAACAACAACAUCCACCUCACGUUGAUAAGCCGCCAAAUACCAGAAACUUGCUGAGCCACCAAAUCAGAGUCCCCGAAGCAUCGUAUCUGGCUUAAGUUCAUUUCCUUAGCCAUCUGAAGACCGUGGAGCAGGGCCUCAUACUCAGCUGCAUUGUUAGUGCAAGGAAACAUCAAGCGGAGAACAUAACAAAAUUUGUCACCUCGAGGGGAAGUAAGAACAACUCCAGCCUCGAGCCCUCCAAUUUCCUGGACCCGUCGAAGUGAAUAGUCCAGUAUGUGUUAUCCGGUUUAUCCUCUGGUGCAUGUAACUCUGUCCAGUCAUUGAUGAAAUCCACCAGCGCCUGGGACUUGAUAGCUGUUCGAGGCAUAUAUUUUAACCCGUGAGGUCCAAGCUCAAUAGCCCACUUAGCAACUCGGCCAGUUGCCUCCUUGUUUUGGAUGAUAUCUCCCAAAGGAGCAGAACUAACCAUAGUGAUGGGAUGACCCUGAAAGUAUUGCUUAAGCUUCCGUCUCGCCAUAAAAACUCCAUACACAAGCUUUUGCCAAUGUGGAUAUCUCUGCUUUGACUCAAUGAGCACCUCACUGAUAUAAUAAACCGGCUGCUGAACCGGAUACUCCUUACCUGCCUCCUUGCGCUCCACCACAAUAGCCACAUUGACAACCCGGGCAUUGGCAGCCACAUAUAACAACAACUUCUCUUUAUCGACCGGAGUAGCAAGGACAGGUGGCUCGCUAACUGCUUCUUCAAGUCCUCAAACACCGUAUUAGCAGCAUCACUCCAGAUAAAGUUGUCUGUCUUUUUCAUCAUCUGAUAUAAAGGGAUAGCCUUCUCUCCCAACCGGCUGAUAAACCGUCUUAGUGCCGCAAUACGACCCGCCAGACGUUGAACAUCAUUGAUACACGCCGGUUUAGCCAGAGACUUAAUAGCCUUGAUCUUUUCUGGAUUAGCUUCAAUGCCCCUGUUAGACACCAGAAAACCCAAAAGCUUGCCUGCCAGAACACCGAAGACGCACUUGUCUGGGUUAAACAUCAUUUUAUAAACCCGGAGGUUAUCAAAGGUUUCCUUCAAAUCAUCUAUCAGCGUCUCCUUUUUCCUGGAUUUUACCACAAUAUCGUCCACAUAAGCAUGAACAUUGCACCCAAUUUGAUCAUGAAGACAAUUCUGCACACAUCGUUGAUAAGUCACCUGGAUACUCUUGAGCCCAAAAGGCAUAGAUACAUAGCAGAAGGCUCCAAAGGGAGUUAUAAAAGUUGUUUUCUCCUGGUCCUUAACUGCCAUCUUGAUCUGAUGAUAACCGGAAUAAGCAUCCAAAAAACUCAAGCGCUCACAACCCGCCGUAGCAUCAAUGAUCUAAUCAAUAUGAGGGAGAGCAAAAGGAUCAGCUGGACAAGCCUUGUUCAAAUCCGUGUAAUCCACACACAUGCGCCAAGUGCCAUUCUUCUUAAGCACCAGCGUCGGGUUAGCCAACCACUCCAGAUGAAAAACCUCAAUGAUAAACCCAGCCGCCAAAAGCCAGGCUACCUCCUCACCAAUAGCCUUGCGCCUUUCUUCAUUAAAGCGGUGAAGAAACUGCUUGACCGGUUUAAACUUGGGAUCAAUAUUGAGAGUGUGCUCAGCGAGUUCCCUCGAUACACCUGGCAUGCCAGAAGGUUUCCAUGCAAAGAUGUCCCGGUUCUCACGGAUGAACUCGAUGAGCGCGCUUUCCUAUUUCGGAUCCAGAUUAGUACUGAUACUGAACUGCUUGGAUGAAUCACCAGGAACGCAACUAGCUUAGUCUCAUCAGCCGAUUUAAACUUUAAGGUCGGGUCAUGCUCUGUAGUUGGCUUCUUUAGAGAAGUCAUGUCUGCUGGAUCAACAUUGUCCUUGUAGAACUUCAACUCCUCUACUGCGCAAACCGACUCAGCAUAGGCCGCAUCACCUUCUUCACAAUCCAAAGCAAUCUUACGGCUCCCAUGUACCGCAAUGGUCCCCUUAUGACCCGACAUCUUGAGCUAUAGAUAAACAUAAUAGGACCUUGCCAUGAACUUAGCAUAAGCCGACCGUCCAAACAGGGCAUGAUAUGGGCUCUAGAUUUUCACCACUUCAAAGGUUAAGGUUUCUGAUCUGGAAUCACGAUCAUCUCCAAACACGACCUCUAGAGCUAUCUUACCAACCGGGUAUGCCGAUUUACCAGGUACCAGACCAUGAAAACAAUGUUUGACGGUUUGAGAUUUUUAUCUGUCAGUCCCAUGCGACGAAAGGUUUCAUAAUACAAGAUGUUGAUACUGCUCCCUCCAUCCAUGAGCACCUAGGUGAACUUAUAACCUCCGACCUGAGGCGCCACCUGAUGAUGUUAUGUACCUAGGGUAGGGUCAUGGACCUAUCUAGGAUACCAUACCCAAGGACAUCCUUAGACGAAGCUACCUUUCAGUCGACCAAGAGGGACUCUACUCGACCGGCUAGAAGACACUCGACCAUGAAGACUCACUCGACCACCAGGAGUUCAUGAUCUACUCUGUAUCCAAACGGUCUGUAAUUAAGUAGUCUUAAUGGUCAUGAUGACACUUUAUGUAGGGCGUUACCAGUAACGCCCGGCCUUAAUGUACUUUAACCCUCUGCUACGUGGGCUGGCUGGGGUCCUGGUGUCCUCUAUAUAAGCCACCCCCUCCACUGGUAGAAGGGUUCGCACCCCUGUAACUCAUAUACGCAUAAACCAGUCGACCGCCUCCGAGCUCCGAGACGUAGGGCUAUUACUUCCUCAGAGAAGGGCCUGAACUCGUUAAACACUCGUGUGUACAACUACUCCAUAGCUAGGAUCUUGCCUCUCCAUACCUACCCCCCAUUCUACUGUCAGACUUAGAACCACGACAGUUGGCGCCCACCGUGGGGCAGGUGUCUUAGCGACUUUUUGGAUAAGUUGCAAUUUGUCCGAUUGCCUUCAUCAUGGUUUCCGGCGGAGCUCUGGUCGAGGGCCGUGAGAUCCGUCUCGGUGCGCUCGCUUUCAUCGCCGACGACUCCACUUGGCUCCAGGAGGCACCACUCGACAUCGACACGCUCCCCGUCCGCGGGGCGACGCACUUUCGGGCGUGUGUCCGUGGCGUCCUGCUGCGGCAGCCGUCGACCCCAUACCGGUUGACUCCUGUGCCGUCCUCCCUCCCUGUCUCCCGCCAGCGCAAGCGCUCUGGUCGGUCGAGGCUCCAGCGAUGGGUGAGACACGCAAUGGCUCGCCAAUCGGCCACCACCCAAGUCGCGGCAAUUAAGCUCGACGAAUCUCUCUACGGCCUGUUCGACUGGCUCCAUAGAGACUGCAUCCGAGUGCGAUAGCAGUGAUCCAGCGGCGGAGGUCCUGAUGGUCAACGGGCCUCGUAGCCCUCCCGGUUUCCCCCGCAACAACGGGAUGGACGACGGGGGCGAUCCCGCUCAGGCCCACGAAGAGUAUCAGCCCGAGCCACUCACUUCUCAGCAGAGGGAAGAACUUCGCCGCCGGAACAUGGAUGCCCUGCAUACUCCCAUUGCAGGAGAAACUCCUGAGGCUCGUGUCCUGGAAGAGGUGCGUUUGGCCAAUUUGGUUGAACGCACUCGACUGGAGAACCUCCAGCGAGCACUCGACGAGCGUGCGCGUCAACGAGUACCCGACUCUAGCCGACGUCAGCUCUUUCCGCAACCGACACAGGUAUAUCGAACCCCGAUUCAGAAUUUGGCAGCUGCAGCCCGUAUAAUGGAGUCAAUUCAGCCCUCUCAGUCGGAGGCUGGAAGAGGCUUGAUGCAGAUCAGAGAUUUGCUCUAGGCGGUAGGAGAUCAGAAUUCAGUCGUGUCACAGUCGCGCAACAGGAUUCACAGUCGAUCCAUCGCUGCGAAUACUGUUCAGUCGGCUCACAGUCCAAGGUCGCCUCCGAGGCGCGUGGGACGUGAAGGCCGGCGGGACCACUAUGAUGAUCGAUUUGAUCGUGAUGACAGGCGUCGAGUGCUCACUCCUCCCACGAGAAGUGGGUCUAACGCCCAUCGGCAACAAGAUGACAGACGCCAGCUCAGUGUUGGGCGGAGAGCUCCAGUCGACCCCAGAGAGCCAGGCUUUGACACGAGAUCCAUCAUCGUGCAAGGUUUCGUCGACCGGAACAGAGCUCAUAGAGGUGGCCAUGACAGAGAUGUGCCCACAAGUAGCCGAGUCCACGUUUCAGGUCCAGAAUGCUUUAGCAGAGCCAUCAGAGCCGCAGUGAUACCCCCCAACUUCAGGUUGGCGACUGGAGUGAGUAGGUUCACCGGAGAGUCUAAGCCUGAAACUUGGCUUGAAGACUACCGAGUGGCUGUUCAGAUUGGUGGCGGUAAUGAUGAGGUGGCCAUGAAACAUUUGCCACUUAUGCUAGAGGAUUCAGCCAGGGCGUGGUUGAAUCAGUUAGCUCCUAGCAGCAUUUACACCUGGGAAGAUCUUUCCCGAGUGUUCAUCAGGACGUUCGAGGGAACUUGCAAGCGACCGGCCGGAUUGACAGAGCUGCAAGUUUGCAUACAAAAGUCGAGUGAAACUCUGAGAGAUUACAUCCAGAGAUGGAUCACUUUGCAUCACACUGUAGAGAAUGUGUCAGACCAUCAAGCGGUCUGCGCCUUCAAGGAUGGUGUCAAGAACAGAGAGUUGAGCCUAAAUUUUGGUCGAACUGGAGAUAUGACCCUGAGUCGGAUGAUGGAAAUAGCCACCAAGUACGCCAAUGGCGAAGAAGAGGACCGACUCCAAAGUGGCAAGUACAAGCCGAGUCAGUCGGAGAAAGGAAACUCCAGUCGGAAGCAGAAGCGUAAGGCCGAGCCAGCUGCUCCUGGAGAGGCUCUGGCUGUGACUCAGGGCAAAUUCAAAGGGAAGCCCAAAGGAUCUUGGAAGCCCAAGAAGGUAAAAGAUAAGGAAGGUAAUGACGUGAUGGAUCUACCGUGUCAUAUCCACACGAAGAAAGACGAAGAGGGUAACUUCAUCUACCCAAAGCAUACCACUCGCCAGUGCCGGCUCUUAAUCCAGCAGUUUUAAGGAAAACAGCCGAAGGACAAGGAGAAGGAGUCGGACAAGGCUGAGGACAAGGAGGACAGUGAUGGAGAGUACCCUCAUGUCAACUCCACUCUGAUGAUUUUUGCUGAUGUAGAGAGCAAAAGUCGACUGAAAGUGAUCAACCGUGAGGUCAAUAUGGUCGCCCCGGCGACACCAAGCUAUCUGAGAUGGUCGCAAACUCCCAUCACUUUCGACCAGUCUGAUCACCCCACUCACAUUGCCACCCCUGGGAGGCAAGCGCCGGUGGUCGACCCAGUCAUCGAAGGCACUCGACUGACGAAGGUACUGAUGGAUGGCGGCAGUGGAUUGAAUAUACUGUAUGCAGAGACGCUCAAGGGAAUGGGCAUUGAGAUGUCCAGGCUCAGUUCCAGCAACAUGAGUUUUCACGGAGCCAUCCCUGGAAAGAAGGCUGAGUCACUCGGCCAAAUAGCUCUGGAUGUAGUGUUCGGCGACUCGAAGCAUUUCCGCAAAGAGAAGCUGACAUUUGAAGUCAUGGAUUUCCGAAGCGCCUACCACGCUAUUUUGCGAAGACCAGCCUAUGCCCGCUUCAUGGCUCGACCAUGUUAUGUGUACCUCAAAUUAAAGAUGCCUAGCCCCAAAGGCAUGAUCACUAUCACUGGCAGCUAGAAGAAGGCAGAAGAGUGUUUCCAGAAAGGCUCAAAGAUUGCGGAUGACCAAAUAACAGUGGUAGAGCUGGAGGAAUACAAGAAGAAUGCAGAUCCGAUUGAUUUGCUGCGGGCCAAGAAGCCCGCCACAGAGUCAACAUUUCAGUCGUCUGGAGAGACGAAGCCAGUUCAUAUCCACCCGACUGACCCCAAUGCAGCACCGACCCAUAUUUCCACAACACUCGACUCUAAAUAGGAAGAAGCGCUCAUCCAGUUCCUCCGUGAGAACUGGGACAUCUUUGCAUGGAAGCCAGCUGACAUGCCGGGUGUUCCCAGGGGGCUGGCUGAGCAUCGCCUUAGAGUCGACUCAAAAGCGAAACCUGUUAAAGAACAUCUUCGACGGUCCACCAUUCAGAAGAAAAAAGCCAUUGGCGAGGAGGUGGCUCGACUCCUUGCAGCAGAGUUUAUCCGAGAGAUAUACCACUCCGAGUGGCUCGCCAAUGUCGUCAUGGUUCCCAAGAAGGACAACUCACUUCGCAUGUGCAUUGAUUUCAAACAUAUCAAUCAGGCCUGCCCGAAAGAUCAUUUUCCUCUCCCUCGCAUCGACCAAAUUGUUGACUCGACCGCAGGGUGCGAGAGAUUGUCUUUUUUAGACGCUUAUUCCGGGUAUCAUGAGAUCCGUCCGUAUGGACCUGACGAAAUCAAAACAGCUUUCAUCACUCCAUUCGGGUGCUUCUGCUAUAUCACCAUGCCAUUCGGCCUCAAGAAUGCCGGAGCCACGUUCAUGAGAAUGAUUCAAAAGUGUUUACUCACUCAAAUCAGUCGGAAUGUGGAAGCGUACAUGGAUGAUAUCGUGGUCAAGUCGCGAAAGGGUUCCGACCUAUUGACUGACCUAGCUGAAACAUUUGCCAAUCUCAGAAGGUAUGAUAUCAAGCUCAAUCCAUCGAAGUGCAAAUUCGGAGUACCUGGCGGAAAGUUACUCGAUUUUCUCGUUUCAGAACGAGGAAUCGAUGCUAACCCAGAAAAAAGUUGGCACCAUACUCCGAAUGAAAUGCCCUGUGCGUGUGCACGACGUCCAGAAGCUUACUGGAUGCUUGGCCGCUUUAAGUCGAUUCAUCUCUCGCCUCGGUGAAAAGGCAUUGCCCCUUUACCGACUGAUGAAGAAGGCAGACAAGUUCGAGUGGACUCCAGAAGCUGAUGUAGCGUUUGCCGAGUUAAAAACUCUGCUCUCCACCCAGCCGAUGCUUGCUGCUCCAAUCAACAAAGAGCCUCUGUUGCUUUAUAUUGCAGCCACAGGACAAGUCAUCAGUACAGUACUUACGGUCGAGCAGGAAGAAGAAGGGAAAGCCUUCAAAGUUCAGCGCCCAGUGUAUUAUCUCUCUGAAGUUUUGACCCCAUCGAAGCAAAGAUAUCCUCAUUAUCAGAAGCUCGUAUAUGGGAUCUACAUGACCAUGAAGAAGGUUGCUCAUUAUUUCUCUGAUCAUGACAUUACAGUCGUCAGCGACGCACCAUUGUCAGAGAUUCUGUACAACAGAGAUGCAACUCGUCGAGUGGCUAAGUGGGCGAUUGAACUCCUUCCCCUUGAUGUCAAAUUCGAGGCAAAGAAAGCCAUUAAGUCCCAGGCUAUAGCAGAUUUCCUUGCCGAGUGGAUUGAGCAACAGCAGCCGACUCAAGUUCACUCGGAGCAUUGGACCAUGUUCUUUGAUGGCUCUAAGAUGUUAAAUGGUUCUGGUGCUGGGGUUGUUUUGGUUUCCCCCCGAGGAGACAAGCUCAGAUAUGUGCUCCAGAUCCACUUUGAUUCCUCCAACAAUGAAGCAGAAUAUGAAGCACUCUUGUAUGGGUUGCGCAUGGCCAUUUCACUCGGCGUCCGUCGCCUUAUGGUUUAUGGCGACUCAGAUUUGGUGGUCAAUCAGGUGAUGAAGGAGUGGGACGUUAGAAGCCCAGCCAUGACUGGAUACUGCAAUGCAGUGAGGAAGCUCGAAAAGAAGUUCGAAGGGUUAGAGCUCCACCACAUACUCCGACUGAAAAAUCAAGCAGCUGAUGAUCUGGCGAAGAUAGGAUCCAAGAGAGAAGCCAUCCCCAGUGAUGUGUUCUUGGAGCAUAUCCACACUCCGUCAGUCAUAGAAGAUCCUUUUACCGAUGAAGCUCCGCAACCUAAGAGUGUUACGGACCCGACUGAGGUUGAAGUCCCAGCAGUGGUCGACCUGAUCAUGGAAGUUUUAGUGAUCACUCCAGAUUGGACAGUACUGUAUAUCGCGUAUAUCUUGAGGAAAGAACUCCCGGAGGACGAAGAAGAGGCUCGACAGAUCGUCCGCCAAUCUAAGGCCUUUACCGUGAUAAGAGGACAGUUGUACAGAGAAAGCGCGACUGGAGUUGGUCAGAAAUGCAUAACACCGGAGGAAGGUCGAAUAAUCCUUGAUGACAUCCACUCGGGUACCUGUGGACAUCAUGCGUCCUCUCGGACCAUCAUGGCCAAAGCAUACCGAGCCGGAUUUUAUUGGCCAAGAGCGAAUGAAAUGGCGAAGGAGAUAGUCGACAAGUGCGAGGGAUGUCAAUUUUACUCCAACAUGUCACACAAGCCCGCGUCAGCUUUGAAGACUAUACCACUCGUCUGGCCCUUUGCAGUGUGGGGUUUGGAUAUGGUCGGUCCUUUGAGAACAGGCAGAAGCGGUUUUACCCAUGUGCUGGUAGCAGUCGACAAGUUCACUAAGUGGAUCGAAGCUAAACCCAUCAAGAACCUCGAUGCCGGUACUGCUGUCAGCUUCAUCAGAGAAUUGAUAUUCAGAUAUGGAGUCCCGCACAGCAUCAUCACUGACAACGGGUCAAACUUCGACUCCGAAGAGUUCAGAGUUUUUUGCACGUCUCAAGGCACACGAGUCGACUAUGCUUCAGUCGCUCAUCCACAGUCGAAUGGACAGGCAGAACGAGCAAACGAUUUGAUUCUCAAAGGGUUGAAACCCCGUUUGAUGCGUGAUCUUAAGCAUGCAGCUGGUGCAUGGGUCAAUGAACUUCCCUCGGUGCUUUGGGGGUUAAGGACCACGCCCAACCGGUCGACUGGAAGAACUCCAUUCUUCUUGGUCUACGGAGCUGAAGCAGUCUUGCCGAGCGACCUUCUCCACAAUGCUCCCCGGGUCGAGCUCUACACCGAAGCUGAAGCAGAACAAGCGCGGCAGGAUGCAGUCGACCUUUUAGAGGAAGAAAGGGAGAUGGCUCUGAUCAGAUCGACCAUUUACCAACAAGACUUGCGUCGCUUCCACGCCAAAAACGUGAAGAGUCGAGCCUUCCAGGAAGGAGAUUUAGUUCUCCGAGUGGAUCAGCAGAAACCACACAAGCUUGCUCCUUCUUGGGAAGGUCCCUUCAUCGUCACCAAGGUUCUCCACAAUGGAGCAUACCGUCUUUACAAUGUCGAGCAUCAGAUCGACGAGCCCCGAGCUUGGAACGCGGAGCUUCUCCGCCCCUUUUAUACUUAAGUAUUCACUCGGAUGACUUGUAAUAAAAGUACUUCUGUAGUUUAUUUAUCAAAGACAAGAGCUUUAUAAUUUCCCCAAUAACCAUUAUUUCUUUUGUCCACACAAAACAAUCCCCCAGUGGGUGGCUUCGUUGCGAAUCCAAUUCGCCCAAGUCUGUAAAAAAAAUCCUAACCGAGUGGUGAGCCAGUCUCCCACACGAAGGCUUAGCUGCGAAAUCCGUUUCGCCUAAGAUAAACAAAAUCCUACCGAGUGGUAAGCCAGCCUUCCACUCGGAGGCUUAGCUGCAGUCCAAGUACUCGCCUAAGAUAAACAAAAUCCUACCGAGUGGUAAGCCAGCCUUCGACUCGGAGGCUUAGCUGCAGUCCAAGUACUCGCCUAAGAUAAACAAAAUCAUGUCGAGUGGUAAGCCAGCCUUCCACUCGGAGGCUUAGCUGCAGUCCAAGUACUCGCCUAAGAUAAACAAAAAUCCUACCGAGGGGUAAGCCAGCCUUCCACUCGGAGGCUUAGCUGCAGCAUUGCGCUCGCCUAAGUACAAAUACAACAUGUGCUCUGCAAGGAGGACGAGGUGCAGGUAGACUGCUACCCUCUCCUUCCGAGCUACGCCACAAGUACAACGUGCGCUCUGCAAGGAGGACGAGGUGCAGGUCGACUGCUACCCUCUCCUUCCGAGCUACGCCACAAGUACAACGUGCGCUCUGCAAGGAGGACGAGGUGCAUGUCGACUGCUACCCUCUCCUUCCGAGCUACACCACAAAUACAACGUGCGCUUUGCAAGGAGGACAAGGUGCAGGUCAACUGCUACCCUCUCCUUCCGAGCUACGCCACCAAUACAAAAUCCUACUGAGUGGAGAGCAGACCUCCCACUCGGAGGCUUAGCUACAACCCAGUGCUCGCCUAAGUUCUUGAAAAUCCUACCGAGUGGAGAGCAAACCUCCCACUCGGGGGCUUAGCUACAGCCCAGUGCUCGCCUAAGUAUAUGAAAUCCUACCGAGUGGAGAGCAGACCUCCCACUCGGGGUCUUAGCUACAGCCCAGUGCUUGCCUAAGUUUUUAGAAAUCCUACCGGGUGGAGAGCAGACCUCUCACUCGGGGGCUUAGCUGCAGCCCAGUGCUCGCCUAAGUUCUUGAAAAUCCUACCGGGUGGAGAGCAAACCUCCCACUCGGGGGCUUAGCUGCAGCCCAGUGCUCGCCUAAGUUUUUAGAAAUCCUACCGAGUGGAGAGCAGACCUCCCACUCGGGGGCUUAGCUACAGCCCAGUGCUCGCCUAAGUGUAUUGGGGAACAAGUCGACUGCAACGAGCGCUUCGCUUUAACCUGCAAAAGACACCUCAAACCAAAUGCAAACAUAUUCAACAUCGAAUCCAAGUUCAGAUAACACCUAACGCAACCAAAAGUGCUCAGGCGCUAGGCCUGUUAAGGUUUGUCGGUUACAAAACUCACUCGGCAUACCGAGGCAAAUUUAAAGUAUCAAGCUCAGAAGUUUUUUACCCCUCCUGCGGAGGGCUGGAAGGUGCAACAAACUCGUCCAGAUCAAUUCCAUCUGCAAUCCGAGUGGCAGCAGCAAUGAAGGUCUCCAUGAAAGAUCUGAAAUCGUGCUUCUUGGUAUUGGCCACCCUAAGAGCCACCAGCUUGUCCUCUCGUGCAUCCUUGCAGUGAACGCGGACUAGAGACAGAGCAACAUCCGCACCGCACCUGGCCGAAGACUUCUUCCACUCCUACACUCGACUUGGGAGCUCGUUCAGUCGAGUCAUCAGAGACUCGAGGUCGCUUUGGAGUGUCUCUCUUGGCCAGAGUGUUGUGUCGAUGCGAGAAGUUGCGACUUUCAUCCUUGCGAGAUAGUCGAUGACAGCAGCAACACGAGAUUCAAGCCGGAGCACAUUCAUGGCAACUUCAUCUUUCACGGGAGAGUUGAUGGGGUCCAGGUUUACUUCCAGUCGACCAGUUUCCUCUUCAAAGUUCUGGCAAAAUUCUGCAAGCACAACCACCGAGUCAAGACAACAGUCGGAGGUUACAGUUAAAAUAUUUGUUUGAUACAAAAUAUUACCUUCAAGCAUGAGGAACAACUUCUUGGCGAGUCCACCCAGAUAAGCCUCCAGAUUGUUCUUCUUUCUCAUCAACUCACUGGCCUUGUCAUUUAGGGUGAUCUUGUCACUUUUCAGUCGACUGACCUCCUGGUUGGCAGCAUCAAGAGCAGCUUUCAGAUUGGUGUUUUCUUCUUCAAGCUUGGUCACUGAAGCCAGCUUCUCAUAUGCAAGCUUGGUCUUCUCUAAAGCAGUUUUUUGCAUCUCAGCCAAGUCAAGUUCUUGCUUCUUCAGGGCAUCCCUCACUUUGUCUGCAAAGUUACAGUGAGAUUAGAUUCGGAAACAAGUGAGAGGCAAAGACAGUCAUCAAAGGCCUCACCAAGCAUACCUUUAGCUUCCUCCUUCGCCUUCGUCAAGUUCUCUUGGGCCAGUUUCAGAUCGAGCUCGAGCUGAAUGUGUUUGUUCUCCAACUCAGUAUAGCAAGCCACAAGGUCACAGGAUUUCUACGAAGAACCAAUCGACAGAUGUCAAAGACAAUUCACUUCCGAGUGAGUAAGGAAAAAUCAUAGCAUUUCUAAGACUACGGCCGAAUACAAACUUUCGACCAUAGUCUCGGGGACUACACCCAGUGGGUGCACUCAGCAUGCCCCCACUAGAGUCGACCAGUCGACCAACAAAAAAAAAC
Molecule: long non-coding RNA, 95666 nt
Filed under: Triticum aestivum (bread wheat)
Lineage: Eukaryota; Viridiplantae; Streptophyta; Magnoliopsida; Poales; Poaceae
Description: long non-coding RNA (TAES_LNC006699)
Rfam family: MIR1120/MIR1122 microRNA precursor family (bases 11859-11945)
Source: RNAcentral